UAGAGUCUCAAAGUUAAAAUCAGUGAAACCAUCAAAGGCAUUUUCACCUCUUGAUUUGAGCAAGCGUUUGUGAUUGUAUUCGGUGUUAACAAAGGUUAUGUGAAAGCCUCGAAGGUGAAGAAGCUUAGCUAGUUUGAACAAUGGAUUGAUAUGGCCUUGAGUUGGAUAUGGAAUCAACACAGCAUGUGGUUUUCUCUUUGCAAAAUUACUCAUCUUUGAUCAGUCUAUGAUAUGUCAUAAAACUAUACAAAAGAUAAAACAGGUUACGUAAUGUUACAUAUUUUGGUUUUUGUAUGUUUUGCAACAAGUAACACGAGGAACAUUUUUUUAUAAUUAAAAUAAUGGAGCGGCAAAUAGUACGCCUCUUCUAUCCGUAUAGAUAAAUCAAUAGCAAGUGGUCCACAUUUAUUAAUACAUGUCUCUUUGUCUGAAUAUGUUUUCAAAUGAAUCAUAGUUUCAAAUGAAUCAUCAAUAUCAUUCUAGUCCUUGCAAAUAUCACCUAAGCGCCAUGUAAAUUUUCCAAAAAUGCCCUUGUGUAUUCCGGAUUUUAAAAUCCGGAUUCAUGUUUACUAUUUCGAAUUUUAUAAUCCGGACAAUUCUUAUGUAUAAUCAGCCAUCAGACUCUCACAUUUCAGCAAUUUUGAGUUUUGUUUUUAAAAACAACAAAAAAACUAAGUAAAAAAAAUGCUAAAAGCCUGUCAAAUAAAAUCAUAAAAAUAGAAACAUAAAAUUCUAAAAAUCAAAUAAAACUAAUGCAAAUUUUUCCGAAUUUUUCUGAGAAUAUGAAAAAUUAAAAAAAAUGAAAAAUGGGUCUAAACGAUGGAAUUUUGGAUUUUGAGGGGCGGAGUCCCUUAAGAAGUCUCUUCUGUGGGAGUCAUGGUCCUUGAAUUGUUUCUGAUUUUCUGCGGAAGUUUCGGAGCAAUCCAAUCAAGUAGCCCGAAAACCCGAUUUUUGACUAAGAACAUGUAACAAUGACCCAAAACAGAAGGAUGAAAGUUAGGAAGAUUAAUAUUGUCCCUAAAAUGACUAUCCAUAUUACAAACAUGUUUAGAAUUUGUGCUGAUACAGUUCAGAUUAUAUAAUCCGAACUGUUUUACCUUGAAAAAAGUUGUUUAGGGGAUUUCCGGAUUAUAUAAUCCGGAAACAUCAUGUAACACGCCCUAAUUUUUGAAAUUUCUGGAUUAUAAAAUCCGGAAAAAUCCGUUACUCAUUUUUUCACCCUCUAACAAAAGAAAACACCAUUCUGGAUUAUAAAAUCCGGAAACUUAAGGACAUUUUUGGAAAAAUAGGGCGCGCGAGGAAACCCACAGGGUGGGAAAAGUAACUCCCUAAAAUCUUACAACUUCAUAUUUUUAGGCCCCUUAAAUUAAAGCCCAAAAUAUUAAGAUCCAAGUCCAACGAGAUUUUAGGAUCCAUCAGCAGCCACUUUCUUGCAUGAAAUGUGCAUGGCUUCUUACAUGAGAUUGCACAUGGCACUUUGAGUGAAAUUACACUUGGAUGAUUGCAUGAAUAACACAUGUCCUUGUUGCGUGUAGCUCUCUUGCCGCAUGACUUAAUGCAUGUAACUCUCUUGCCACUAGGCUUAAUGCAUAUAAUUCUUCAUUUUCAUUCUCCUAUAGAUAAGAGUUUCUAAUGUAACUUCAUCAUUCAAGUUUUAUAAAGUGAGUGUUCAUCAAAACCGACCAUCUAUUUGUUCUUGUCCGGUUGUUGUAAACCAUUUUUUCAAAGAUUAAUGAUAUUUGUAGACAACUCUCAUUUUUUCUCUUCUUAUUGGUCAAAAUAAUAGAGAGAGACGGCAAAAAGUUAAGAAGAUAAUGUGAAAAUGAAAGAGAUAGUUGCUUUAAAGUUAUACAAAAAUAAUUGUAUAAAUAUGAUUUCUCUUUUUCAAAUUAAUUGGUUUUGAAAAAAAAUACAAAAAUGUCCUACAUUGAAACAUGAAUACCAAAAUAACUUGUUGUAGAUUGUUUCCUUCGUCAUGGCAGUGAGGUUACCAUGAAGAAUUUGUAAACAGUUUGAAGGCGAAGGAGUUUAUAAAAACGUGAAACCGAAAAAUCACAAGAUGGAAGAGGAAAGGAGAUGCAACAGUCAUUGUGUAAAUGGUGAAACACUGAAAGGUUAAUGACAAAUGCAAUAAAAAAUAAUGUUUUAAUAUUGGCAAAUUCUAUGGUACACCUAAUAUAUUUGAGUGUACCGGUACACCCACUCUUUAAAUUAAUAGUUAAAUAAGUUAUUUUUUGAAGAAAAAUAUUAUUUUUUAUCAUUUAUAAUUAUAAUAACUAAAUCUUAUUCAUAAAAAAUGUCAACAAAAUAAAAUUACUAUUUUUUGAAUUUUUAUCACUCAUAAUCGAGAACAUUCAUUAUUUUUUAUGAUAAUAUGUAAAAAUAAUUACUAUAAUUCUUAUAAACAAUGAAAUGAUGUUUUUUCUUAUGAAAUAAUGUUCUAUAAAAUAUAAAUAUUGAAAAUAGCUAUUUAUUACAUAAAAAAUAUCGUUAAUUUAUAAAAUUAUGAAGCAGGAGUACCGGUACACCUCACUUUGUGAGUGUACCGUAGAAGUUCCCUUUAAUAUUUAGUAUUUUUAAAAAAUUCAACAGAUGACAGAAAAAUAUCAGUUAUUUCUUGUCAAAAAAAAAAUAUCAGUUAUUAAAUUUUGACAGCUUAUACAACGAUUAUAUAACGUACACUUUGCAAAAUAGACAACACUUUUUUUUAAGCAACUUUUAUAUAAUCAUUGUUGAUAUAUACAUUUGAAAAAAAAAAAAAAGGAACCUAUCUUCGUCAUUUGGAAUGGCGACGCUCUUCCAAUCAUUUCCUAAUCCUCGCUAAUCCAAAUUGCAAGGUCCAGCUAGUUUCCAAAAAGUAAAAGAUUUUGGUAUUUAGUUCUUAAUGUAGGGCAUUUUUGUAAUUUUUUAGGGUUAAAUAUGUUUUUAGUCCUUACAUUUUACGCCUAUUUGAAGAAUAGUCCCUACAUUUCAUUAAAUGUUUUUAAAAUCCUCCAUAUUUUAUCUCGGUUAUCAAAAUUAGCUGCCGUUAAUUCUCGUAAAGAUCAUAUUUUGAGAGAGAGAAAACAUAUAAUAUUUUUGCUCAAGAAAGAUCAAAUGCCAAGAAAGUUGCUUACCGACGAUAAGUAUAGUACAUAUUUGACUAUAUGAGGUCAGUGUACAAGUAUCAUACAAUAUGAUUGAAUCCAUUUAGAUUGGUCCGGUGACGUUGGUUUAGGACCUUCAAUUAUGCUCUCUAUAGGUUAUUGUGUUCGAUUUUCCCUAUCGUCAAUUUCGGUGAAUUAAUUUAGUUUCUUAAAAAAACAUAAAGUGGAAGUGAUUAGAAAGACACAUAAUUUAUUAUUAAUAUUGUAAUGUAUUCUUGAAAUGUAUGAGGCAGCCUCUGGACAAGUUAUUAGCCUUCCAAAGUCUGAAGUUUAUUAUAGUAGAAGUCUUCCGAUCCCUACACAAGAGUCCAUCACGGCAAUCCUUGGUGUUGGUGCCGUUAUGGGAACUUGGAAGUAUCUGCCUUCCAUGAUUGGCCGAAGCAAAGAAGCCACCUUCGGCUUUAUUAAAGACUGUGUUUGGCAUAAAAUCAAUUUUUGGAGUAGCAAAUGUCUUUCCAAAGUAGGCAGAGAAGUUCUUAUUAAAUCGGUACUCCAAUCCAUUCCUUCUUAUGUUAUGAGUAUUUAUUUGUUGCCAAACAGAUUAGUCGAUGCUAUAGAAAAAUGAUUAAUGCAUUUUGGUGGGGAAAUGGCGGUUCUACUAGAUGAAGUUUGCAUUGACUUUCUUGGGAAAGGUUAUCUGUUCAUAAAAAUUAUGGUGGAAUGAGAUUUAAAGAUCUUACGUCCUUUAAUGUAGCAAUGCUAGGUAAAUAGGGUUGGAAGUUUCAAACAGAUUCAGAUAGUCUUGUGUCACGUUUGUUUAAGGCGCGCUAUAUUCCUCAUACUGAUUUUCUGAUUUGUCGAAUUGGUGCUAAUCCUAGUUAUGUGUGGCGUAGUAUUUUUAGUGCUAAAAUAGAUGUCCAACAUGGUGCUAGAUGGAGGAUUGGAACGGGUGCUAAUAUUCCUUUGUUUGGUGCACCGUGGCUCAAAGAUGGGCGAUCUUUUACAACAAAUUGUCCUAUGUAUGAAUCUCUUUCUCAUGUUAAAGUACAGAAUAUUAUCGAGCCAACGACAAAGGUUUGGAGCACCACUCUUAUAUCUUCUCCUUUUCGUUAUAAUACUAUCCAGAUUAUUUUGAAUACUACUCUUCAUCCACUUGUUAGCGAAAACAAAUUAGUGCGAAAGGCUGAGAAAAAUGGUAAUUAUUCUGUCCGUAAUGCAUAUCGUAUUUGUGUAACUGACAUUGCAGAUAAUUUCCAUUUACAUGUGUCGGGGAGAUGGAAUUUGAUUUGGAAGCUUAAAGUUCCUCCCAAGAUCAAAAACUUUGUGUGGCGUAAGUGUCAGGGAUGUUUCCUGAUGACAUCUCGUCAUUACGUAAUUUUAUAUGUAUUUUGAUCACAAAUUGGAGUUCACAAGGAAUCUUAUGCAGCAAAAAGAGCAGAAAAUGUGUCAUGAUUUGGAACAAACGUGACACGAUUUUAGAAACCAAAACAUGCUUUCAAUAUUGAGGAAAACGUGUCACGAUGGCAAAAACGUGACACGAUUUGAGGAAACCCUAAUUUAGCUUUUUGUUAUUCAGAGGAAACCAUGUCACGAUUAACUUAAAACGCGACACGAUUUUGGGCGAAUUUCUAUGCCUAUUUAAGCUGAAGUCUAUUCCAAAGACAAGCGUUACAAUUUGAAGAGAGCAAAGUGCGAUUUUGAGACUACAAGAUGGCUAGGAGGGCGAUUUCUUCAUCCUUUUACCUGUUCAUGUAUGUAUUGAUUCCUCUAAUGAUUAUGUUAUUUGUAAACACCAUUAUGACUAGCUAAAUCCAUUAGAGGUUAGGUCUGAGAUGAUUCUUUAUAACCUUAAUUGAACCAUGUUGCUGUGAAACUCUAUUUAUUGUGAAUGACAAUAUAGUUUUUAUUCAAUUCAAUUGUUCUUAAUACUUUUUAUCUCGUGAUCAAAUAUAAACAUGAUUUAGUGAGAACGAAUGACUACUGACCCUAGCUUUCGACUUAGACUGAAUUGAAUUGUUCUAAUAAACAUGGUUAGUCUAGGAAUGAAUAAUCAUUUAUUAGUGAUAUUAGGUUAACAUGCUUAAACCUUCAAAAGUUAGUAGACCACCUAAGGAAUUAGGGGCUACAAGUAACCCUAGAAGAGGGUCCGAACUCAAUGGAUUGAUUAUGACUAUUUUGUUAAUUAUCGUGGAACUAAUGAAUCAUUCAUAAGAAUAGGUGCAGUAUACCAAUUAGGGGAACAUAGAUGAUUCGAAAGACCUAAACUCAUCUCUCUCUUAUUCUUAAAACCAACUUUACUUUAUUUCGUUAAUUUUAUGCAAUCAAACCAAUCAACUGCCUAGUGGCAAAUAAAAAUAACUUUUGUACAUCCUAACUUACAACGUAAUUGAAUUAUUGAAAUUAAAAUCAGUCCUUGUGGGAACGAUAUUUUUACUACUUCGAUAGUAUUCGGUACACUUGCGAAACGUCUAUCAUUUCCCAACACGCACACGCCUUAGCAGCCGAGGAGUGCAUUGUUCCACACAGUCUGUUCUUUGUGGUAGUAACUAUGAAGAUAAGAUUCAUGUGUUGUUGGAAUGCCCAGGUGCAAGGAAAGCUUGGCGUGAGGUUCAAUUAUGGGACACGAUUGACAAAACUCUCCGAAAAAAUUAUAAUAUGGAUACACUUAUUUUUACUCUUCUUGAUCAACUGCCUUUGGUCCAAAGAGAAUUAGUUUUCAGAACUCUCAUGUCGAGUUCAAUAGGAGGCAAGCCAAUGGGGUCGCUAAUGAAUUAGCUAGGGUAGCCCCAUCUCAUACUAGCUCCCAUGUUUAUGAUAAUGUACCGUCAUGUAUUUCUUCUUUGAUUGAUAAUGAGAAGCAAUGAAUUUCUCCUUUCAAAAAAAAAAAAAAUAUAUAUUUUAAUGUAUAUAUUCUAUCCACACCAGUCUUGGAGGAGUUUACUAUGGUCGGUCCAUUACAUUGUACCGUUACAUGACAAAACUUAUACAACCAAAAUAACUAUAUUUAAAACUAUGUAACGAGAAACACUCCAAUCUGUUUACUUGUCUUGUUCUAUUUCCUUUGUAGUUUUCUUGCAUAUCAUAUAUUGUAAUAUUCCAUUUGUUUCUAUUAAAGAAAAUACUCAUCCUUAGAAUACUUUAACAUUGCACAAGAAAAUUAUCAGAAAUGAGUAAUUCUGCAAGCAGAAAACCACAUGCUGUGUUGAUUCCAUAUCCACUUCAAGGCCAUAUCAAUCCAAUGUUCAGAUUAGCAAAACUACUUCACCUUAGAGGCUUUCACAUAACCUUUGUUAACACCGAAUACAAUCACAAACGUUUGCUCAAAUCAAGAGGUCCUAAUGCUUUUGAUGGUUUCACCGAUUUUCGCUUUGAGACUAUUCCUGAUGGUUUAACUCCAAUGGAUGGCGAUGGUGGUGAUGCUACUCAAGACUUGAUAUCUCUUCGCGAAUCAAUCAGAAAGAAUUGCAUCGAACCUUUUCGCGAACUUUUAGCUAAACUUAAUGACUCUGCAAAAGCCGGUCUUAUACCUUUUGUUACUUGCUUAGUUUCUGAUUGUAUUAUGCCAUUUACUACACAAGUUGCUGAAGAACUUGCACUCCCAAUAGUGAUCUUUUUCCCGUCAAGUGCUUGUUCUUUCCUGUCUAUUUUACACUUUCGUGCACUUAUUGAGAAAGGUCUCAUACCACUCAAAGGUAACAGUUUGUGUUCCUUUUCUUAUUAUUUAAGAGAGAUGUGUGUGUACAUAUCAAGGUUUUGAAAACAAGGUCUGCAACCGCGAUCUAGGCUGAGCAUAAAGAUUGCGACGUCUUUAUGAUCGUAUAUGAGGCUGCAUUAGGCUUAUUUGGUUGCGAUUAUGAUUCAUAUAAAAAUAGCGACAUCAUAGAGAUGAUUAUUGCGACCAAGAUUGAAAACCUUGAUAUUUAUAUAUUUCUGCUAUUUACUUUUGCAAUUAUGAUAUGCAGAUGAGAGUUAUUUGACAAAUGGAUAUUUGGACACUAAAGUUGACUGGAUUCCAGGUUUGCGAAACUUUAGACUGAAGGACCUUCCUGAUUUUAUACGGACAACAGAUGCUAAUGAUUUGAUGUUAGAAUUUAUCUUUGAAAUGGUAGAUAGACUUCAUAGAGCUUCUGCUAUUUUUUUAAAUACUUCUAAUGAUCUUGAGAGUGAUGUUAUGAAUGCUCUUUAUUCUAUGCUCCCUUCUCUAUACACCAUUGGCCCAUUUGCUUCGUUUUUGAAUCAAAGUCCACAAAAUCACUUGGAAUCUUUAGGUUCCAAUCUUUGGAAAGAAGAUACUAAAUGUCUUGAAUGGCUUGAAUCAAAAGAAUCAGGAUCUGUUGUUUAUGUUAAUUUUGGUAGCAUCACGAUUAUGUCUCCGGAGAAAUUGUUAGAGUUUGCUUGGGGUUUGGCCAAUAGCAAGAAAACCUUUUUAUGGAUCAUUAGGCCUGAUCUUGUCAUUGGUGGCUCAGUGGUUUUGUCGUCUGAGUUUGUGAAUGAAAUUGCAGAUAGAGGCCUAAUAGCAAGUUGGUGUCCACAAGAGAAAGUUUUGAACCACCCUUCAAUUGGCGGAUUCUUGACUCAUUGCGGAUGGAACUCAACCACUGAGAGCAUAUGCGCUGGAGUGCCAAUGCUUUGUUGGCAAUUCUUUGGUGAUCAACCAACAAACUGUAGAUUUAUUUGCAAUGAAUGGGAGAUUGGGAUCGAAAUCGAUAUGAAUGUGAAGAGAGAGGAGGUUGAAAAGCUUGUCAAUGAAUUGAUGGUGGGAGAGAAAGGAAAUAAAAUGAGGAAAAAGGUUAUGGAGUUGAAAAAGAAGGCAGACGAGGACACUAGACUUGGCGGGUCUUCAUACUUGAACUUGGACAAAGUGAUCAAGGAGGUGUUGCUUAAACAAAAUUAGUUCAAAGUGAUUUAUUUUUUGCAAAGAAGUACUUUUCUUGUAUAUCGAUUUUCUCUUGUUUAAUAUAUUUCUUUGACAAGCAAAAACAUAUGAUUGUGGACCACCACCAUAAGUUUUGUUCCUAAGCUUAUGCAAGCUACACAGAAACAGUGUCUGAUGUUAUCAAGACUCAUUCAUCCAAAAUAUAUAUAUGCUGCAGCUUCACUCUACAUAUUCAAAAUAUAAUUUUAUAUCAUUCAACUCGAUUAAUAGAAAAAACAUUUUCACACUUACAAUAUUCCGGUAAAAGUAUAACGGAUUCAUCACAUAAAACAGAACAGAUUCUAGUUUUAGCCCAAAAAAUAAGAGCAAAACAAUUAAGAAAUAGACUAGAGACCAAAGUUGCAAAAUUCAACUUUAUAUGCAUACCAUAUAACUUCAAAAUGUUGAUACUCAAAACAUUUAAGAUUAGCCAGAAUCACAACUUCAGUUUAGGAACUCCAGCUGAUGAUAGGUUCCAUCAUUAUAAACUCAUUAACUUAUUACCAUCAUUGUAUUUGUACUUGCUAAUACACUGCAAUAACAUCAUAACUUAAGACCCUGUUUGGAUUAACAGCUAAAUUUAUAGCUUAUAGUAUUAGUACUUACCAUAAUAAGCACUUAGUUAUAAGCUAUAUUUAUAAUGCGAAAAUAAAAUAAAGUUAAAUUAGUUUUUUUAUAAGCUGUAAGCUCUUUUUAUAAGCUACUCUUCUAGAGCUUACGGAAAUAAGUUGAAAACAACUCAUGAACAUAUAAGAAGUUGUUUACAUAAAUUCUGCAAACAGUCUUCUAAGUGUUUAUGCCGGUAAAUAAGUUCAAUUAAGCUAAACCAAACAGACCCUAAAUCAUGAAUAGCUAGAAAUUUAAGUGCGGAAUAAGGUUGAAACCCUGAUCAACCAAAUUAUAAACCUAUGAAGCACGGACACAGACAGAGACAUUGGACACGAUACUCACAUGUGUUGGAGCUUGUCAAAGAAAUAUAUUCAAUAAGAGAAAAUCAAUAUAGAAAUACAGUACUUUGCAGGGAAAAAAAUCACUUUAAUCUAAUUUUGUUUGAGCAGCACCUCCUUAAUCACUUUUUCCAAGUUCACAUAUGAACAACCACCUGGUCUUGUGUCCUCCUCUGCCUUCUUCUUCAAUUCCAUGGCCUUUUGCCUCAUCUUCUUUCCUUUAUCUCCCACCAUUAAUUCAUUGAUCAGCUUCUCCACCUCCUCUCUCUUCACAUUGGUAUCAAUUUCUGCUCCAAUCUCCCAUUCAUUGCAAAUAUAUCUGCAAUUUGUUGGCUGCUCAGCAAAAAAAGGCCAACACAACAUUGGUACUCCGGCACAGAUGCUUUCCAUUGUGGAGUUCCAUCCACAAUGAGUCAAGAAUCCUCCAACUGAAGGAUGGUUCAACACUUUCUCUUGCGGACACCAGCUUGCUAUUACGCCUCUAUCCGAAGUUUCAUUCACAAAAUCGGAUGACAAAAUAACCGAGCCACCAAUGACAAGGUCAGGCCUAAUAAUCCACAAAAAAGGUUUCUUGCUGUUGGCCAAACCCCAAGCGAACUCUAACAGUUGAUCUGGAGUCAUGACCGUGAUGCUUCCAAAAUUCACAUAAACUACAGAACCUUGUUCCUUAGAUUCAAGCCAUUCAAGACAUUUCAUAUCUUCUUUCCAAAGAUUAGAACCUAUAGAAGCCAAGUUAUUUUGCGGACUUUGAUUCAAAAAUGAAGUUAAAGGGCCAAUGGCAUAAAUAGAAGGGAUCUUAAUAGAUAGAGCAUUUAUUACAUCAUUCUCAAGUUCAUCAGAAGUAUUGAAAACAAUAGAAUUAGCUUCAUGAACCCUAUCGGCCGCUUCAAUGAUAAAUUUUAUCAUUAUAUCAUUAGGAUCAGUAGUUCUUAUAAAGUCAGGCAGGUCCUUUAGUCUAAAGUUUCCCAAACCUGGAAUCCAGUCAACUUUAGUGUCCAAAUAUCCAUUUGUCAAAUAACUCUCAUCUGCAUAUCAUAAUCACAAAAGCCAUUAACAUCAAACUCUCCAAACUUCUAAUACAUAUUAAGACUUAACUAUUUCAUAAGUUCUAGAUAUAAAAGGAUCAGAUUCUUACAACAUGGACAAAGAAAUAACAUAUAUAAAGUGUUACCUUUGAGUGGUAUGACACCUUUAUCAAUCAAUGUACGAAAGUGCAAAGCCGACAGAAGUGAACAUGCACUAGCUGAACUAAAUAGAACACUAGGUAAACCAUGUUCUUCAGCAGCUUGUAUAGUAAAAGUCAAUCCAAUAUCAGAAACUAAGCAACUAACAGGAGGAAUAUGACCAUCAUUGGAAGAAUCUUUAAGUCUAGCAAGAAGUUCACAGAAGGGGUGAUAGAAAUUCUUUCUUAUUGAAUCGGAAAGAGAGAUAAUGUCUUGACUAACAUCACCAUCGCCUUCUAUCGGAGUUAAACCAUCUGGAAUAGUCUCAAAGGUAAAAUCAGUGAAACCAUCAAAGGCUUUUGGACCUCUUGAUUUGAGCAAACGUUUGUGAUUGUAUUCGGUGUUGACAAAGGUUAUGUGAAAGCCUCUAAGAUGAAGAAGUUUUGCUAGUUUUAACAACGGAUUGAUAUGGCCUUGAAGUGGAUAUGGAGUUAUCACUGCAUGUGGCUUAAUUCUCUCUGCAAAAUUGCUCAUGUUUGAAUUUGUGUGUGUAAGAUAAGUUUAAGAAUAAAGGGAUACAAGUGAUCUUUGCUUUAAUAGAGAGAAAAUGUCAUCUUCAUUGUUUGGUGUAAGAAAAUGAGGGAAGUACAAAGGAUAAGUGUUAUACCCUGUUUUUGGACCUAAAAAUACUGGGCCCAAUUUCAUUUCAAACUUUGUCAAUUAUCAAAUUUCAACUGCACAGUUCAAAUUGUCUCUGCCUCGCAGUAUUUUUCAAUCACAAUUUUACCUAUGUUUUUCUUGCAUAAAACCUUUCGAAAUGUCUUUACUUGUCUUGUAAGUCAUUCAAAAGUGUCUCUGAAUCAUUACAUUGCUUUUUCCACAGUUUAUUUCAAAAUUUGCAAAGAAGUCAUACAGAAGGGUAUUUUGGUCAUUUCCCGCAGUGGGACCCAUUUUCAUCCUUGUGACUGUCUCUGAGUCUUUUCAAAUUCAUUUUUAACUUUCCAUCAGUAAACCUUGCUAAUUUCGUUUCAAACUUGCAUCUGAGUCAGUGUCGAGUUAAUUUGAUUCUGUUUAGGUCAUUUUUAGCCCUAGGGGCAUUUUGGUCAUUUCACAUAAAAUUUUGGCAUGGGGAGGUUACUUUGAAGUACCUCAUUUAGGCCAUUGGUUCGUUUUAGUCCGUUUUGUCAAUUUUAUUUUUUUGUUUCGCUUUACGUUUUGUCAGGUUACCAAUUUUAUUUCAAUUUUAUUUUAUUUUGCAUUUUGGUCCUCAAAGAGGUCCAAAAUUGCAUUUCAGUCCAGAAUUCUUUCUAUUUGCAUUUUUAGUCCUUUUUGUUAUUUCCAUUUUAGUCCUUUAAUUUUUCAAUUUUGCAGAAAAGGGCUCAAAGUGUCAAGCUCACGUUUUUUUUCAGUUAAAGUCCAGAUGUCACAAUUCUAUUGGUCCAAGAUCACACAUGUCAGCUAUAAAAGGUGUACAGUGCCACACAGACCCAUUAAUCACACGCCAACUCAUAAACACAAAAUCAAUUUUCUCUUUCUCAGCAAUUAGAUCAAAAACAGAAAAUCUCUCAGAAUUUCUCAAGAACACCAGGAACAAAAACCCUAACCGUUUUCCAGAAACCCUAAUUUUCAUCAGAAUCAACAUUUUUUGCAUCAAUCCUCAGAGAUUCGUGUGAAUCUUCAUCACCGGACUGAAGAUUUUCCUGCAAUUCCAAGUGCGAGCUCGCAUUGAAGCAAGCUCAAGCACUGAUCACAGGAUCUCCUCGCGUGGAUCUAAGAAACAUUGAAGCAAGCUCAAGCACGUAAUCACAGAGAAGCAGAGAAAGAGUCAGAGAAGAUGAAGAAUCUGGACCGGUGAAGCAAACAGAAUCAAAAAUCAUCAAGAACAGAAUCAAGAUUUCCAAAGAUUUCCUCCAUUAAAGGUUUCAACCAAAACCUUAGGUAAAACUCAUAAUCUUUUCUCAGAAAAUAAUAUCACUGUUAAACCUAAAAAUCACGCAAGCAAAACAGAUCCAAAAUUUCCAGAAUUCAAAGCCAAAACCGUAACCGUGAACACAAAACCUAGAUCCAUAAGGAUCUAAGUUUUGAAAGCAAAAACAAACAUCAAAGAGGUGUUAAACAACGAAAUGAUGUAGAUCUUCAAGGAUCUAAACGUUUUCUUUCAAAAAAUCAAAAUCAAAUUCAAAGCCGUACGACAAAUUUCCAGAUCUACAUCGUUUCGAAUUGAAUUUGAAAAAACAAUUGCUGGAUUCGUGUUUAGGGUUAAAGGACGAAUUGAUUGAUGAAGAAAUUUUGAAAUUCUGGAAAUUUUAGGUCACCGGAGUUCUUGAACUCGCCGGAGAAGAUGAAGUUUCCGGCGGACCUUCAAGGUCUCCGCCGUAGCUUCAUCCUCGCCGGCGGCGAGGUUAGUGAGAGGUGAGAGAAGAGAGAGGAACUUAGAGAGAGAAAGGGGAGUGAAAAGUGAAGAAAACCGGAACCUCUUCCCUUAUAUAAGCUAGUGAACCAGACCGGUUCAAGACCGGUCCAAUCCUGUUGAUUCCAGGCCGUUUGAUCUAGGGUUUCAGGAUCCUGGAUCAAUCCUGUGGCUCCUGUGAAUCCGGUUCUUUAGGGUUUUGGGUUGGGCCUUUGGUUUCUUUGGAUCUUUACGUUUUGCUAUUUCUGUGCUAUUCACACCCCUAUUUUUUGCUGCCUGCACCUAUGUCUUGAUUAAAAUUGUGAUAAAAUUCCUAGAAAAAUUCAUACAUGUUUCUUGAUAUUUUCUUAGUGUUUUUAUGACAUUUUUGCACAUUAAGGAUCUAUGAAAAUUUUGUAUAAUCAAUUCAUAGCAUUUUAAUUCUCUUUGAAUUAUUUGUUAUGGAUUCUUCUUCACACAUUUGUCCUUGAUGUGAGAAUAUGUAAUAAAAGCUACUUGAUGUGUUAAUAUGAGAGAUUUGUGCCUAUAAUUUCAUGUUGAUUUGCUGUUUUGAUUUGGUUUAUGAGUUCUUGUUUUUAUGAACAAUAUAUCCAUAUUUUGAAAGAUAUAAAAUGCCAAGUUUACUCUAGAAAAUAUGGCAUGAAAUCAUGCUUGCAUGUUUCCAAUAAUUCCAUGCUAUAACUUGAGAUAAAGAAAACUCUUUCAAAAUUUGUUAAAGCAUGAGAAUUAGAGGCCAAGAAUGCUUUAGGUUUCAUACCUAAGUUUUUAGGGUUUAAUGUCAUUUUGUUAACUUUUUGUGCCAUCUUGCAUGCUUUUAUUUCUUAGUACUUGUUAUGUUUUUUCUUUUCACUAACAAGUUUAUUUCCAUGUUUCAUGCAUCCCAUUUAGCAUUCCCUCCACUUUCUUUAGCCUAGCCUUUAUCUUUUGCAAGUUUUAAUUCAUUUGGUAAUGUAAUUUGUUAUCAUUGGUUUGUAGCUUGGCAAAGGGGCCAUAGAAUGUAUUUAGGCAAUUUUUGUAAUAUGGACUAUGGACACUAUGAUGCACCGACACGCACACACUCACCUUAGAUGUAUGCAUAGGAUUGUAUGGUUAAAUAAGCGUUUAGGUUUUAAACACUUAGAGAAAAUCCAUCUUUUUUUCAAAAAAAAAUAAUUGAACUUCACUUCAAAAACUUUCCUAAUAAGUAUGAAGUCAACACUUCAUUUUUUUCCUUUCUUUUUUUCUUAAGAAAAAUUCAAUUCAUCUUAAUCAUUUAGACUUUCUUUCUAAUCACUAAUCAAACCUCACUUUUUGCUAAAUCUAAUGCUCAUGAAGCCUCCCAAUCUCCUUCUUCAAAACCUUUUUUCUCAAAACUUAAAAUUAAACAAUUAGAACAAAAAACAAGUCUUUUUAGCAAGAACUACGCCGGUUUUGAUCCCGUAAAACGGUACGUAGGCAAUGAGUCAAAACUCAUCCAAGCCGAAAUAAAAUCCAAUUCUACUUCUUCUCACCCCCAUUCUUCACUAAUCAUACUUUCUUUUUUACAAAUAAGCAAUAAAACUAAAGCGUAGAAAUAAACUUAGGAAAGCGGUUCUUAUGGAGUACCAUAAUCGCUCCGGGUGCCUAACACCUUCCCGUAGCGAAAACGACCCCCGAACUUAGAAUCUAAGGGUUUUUCUCAAUUUUGCCCUUCCCAAGAAAAAAUAGAGAAUAUCAACGGUCAAAAGGUUCAAGUCCAAUUAAUGGCUUGGCACCCAAAAACCAUGAUAACAGAAAUGGCGACUUCACUGGGGAUUUUUUUAGCGGGUCACGCCUAGUUUUCCUUAGUUUAUUUACGCUUUGUUUUAUUGCUUACAUAUGUGAAUACUUGUUUACUUUCAUUUGACGUGUGGGGUGAGAAUAUCAAAAGUCCUAUACCCGGGCUGAGUGAACUUAUGUUUAGGUAGAGAUAUAAUCGAGAAUUCGAUCCGGGGGUUGCCUCGUGUAUUGGAUUAUGCGAUCAAUCUCACAUAGCUGAGGCAUUUUGAAGGUGAUAUUGUCGGCGUGUGUUGUCAUGCUUAGGCACUUCACUUUCAAUUGUUCGACGAAGCUAUGAACCGUAGUUACCAAACCCAUCCUAGCCUUUUUAGGACGUAGUGCGGUGGCUAAAUUGAGUGUUGUCUCAAACUUUAGUCGUCACGCGAUACUACACUCAAGCUAGACCUUCUCACAAAUAAUCAUGGAACGGGUGUCGUCCUGUACUACCAUGAUAUAUGUGAGAGAGGUUGCAGUUUGGGAACUGUGUUAGAACCAUGGUUACUACUAUCCAAAGCCUUAGUUCACCGGACGCCGUGUCCAUCCGUGGCCCCGUUACUUUGAAACUCAAUCCACUUUUAACAACACGAUCAUGCAUACAUGCAUUCAUGCAUAAACAUUUUUCAUGCAUUCAUCGAAGGGUUUAAACAAAUGGAAAUUUUUGUAAAUAAUCACAGGUAUGAAGAAGACUAAGUGCUACAAGUUCAAGGAAGUGGAUUUGGUUAGUUUGAGAGAGUUGGCACUCAAGGUCAAGAGUCAAACAGGGUUCCGACUCCGGUAUGGGGGAUUGCUUACUUUGCUCCGAACCGAUGUGGACGAGAAGCUAGUGCACACUCUAGUGCAAUUUUAUGAUCCAAGCUUCUGUUGCUUCACCUUCCCGGACUUCCAGUUGGUUCCUACUCUCGAGGCUUACUCCAAUCUAGUGGGUUUACCUAUGGCCGAGAAGACGCCUUUCACCGGUCCCGGGACUUCUCUUACUCCUCUGGUUAUUGCUAAGGAUCUCUACCUCAAGACUUCCGACGUCUCCAACCAUCUUAUUACCAAGUCUCACAUUCGGGGGUUCACUUCGAAGUAUCUUCUUGAUCAGGCUAAUCUCGGUACUACUCGUCAGGAUACACUCGAGGCUAUUCUUGCUUUGCUUAUCUACGGGCUCAUUCUCUUCCCGAACCUCGACAACUUCGUGGACAUGAAUGCUAUCGAGAUCUUUCAUUCCAAGAACCCGGUUCCUACUUUGCUAGCGGAUACCUACCACGCCAUUCAUGACAGGACUCUCAAGGGCCGUGGGUAUAUUCUUUGCUGCAUACCUCUUCUGUAUAGGUGGUUUAUUUCGCACCUUCCGAGUUCCUUCCAUGAUAACUCGGAGAACUGGUCCUACUCGCAGCGGAUUAUGGCCCUCACUCCUAAUGAGGUCGUCUGGCUCACUCCGGCCGCUCAGGUGAAGGAAAUUGUCAUGGGUUGUGGAGACUUUCUCAAUGUACCUCUUCUUGGUACUCGUGGAGGAAUUAACUACAACCCCGAGCUUGCUAUGAGGCAGUUUGGUUUUCCUAUGAAGUCGAAGCCCAUCAAUCUUGCUACAUCUCCAGAGUUCUUCUUCUAUGCGAAUGCUCCUACCGGACAAAGGAAAGCUUUCAUGGAUGCUUGGUCCAAGGUUCGAAGGAAGAGUGUGAAGCAUCUAGGUGUGAGAUCCGGUAUUGCUCAUGAGGCCUAUACUCAGUGGGUGAUAGAUCGAGCUGAGGAGAUCGGUAUGCCUUAUCCAGCUAUGAGAUAUGUGUCUUCGUCUACUCCAUCUAUGCCUCUACCUCUACUCCCCGCGACUCAGGAUAUGUAUCAGGAGCAUCUAGCUAUGGAGAGUCGUGAGAAGCAAGUGUGGAAAGCUCGGUACAAUCAAGCCGAGAAUCUAAUCAUGACUUUGGAUGGUAGAGAUGAGCAGAAGACUCAUGAGAAUCUAAUGUUGAAGAAAGAGCUAGCUAAGGCCCGGAGGGAAUUGGAAGAGAAAGAUGAGCUGCUUAUGAGGGACUCCAAGAGAGCCAGAGGACGACGAGACUUCUUUGCCAGAUACUGUGAUUCAGAUUCCGAGUCCGAUGAUCUUCCGACUACUUCCUAUGCUUGAGGGCUUCAUAUGUUUAUUUCAAAGUCUUUCUGUUGAGAAUACUAUGUAGUUUUGUUUAUUUGCAAGAUUUCUAAUUUGUUUAAAAAUCCUUCGAUGAGAGAAUAAGUCUUUUGCAUUUGCAUUUGCACAUCAUGCAUCAUAUGCAUCAUGCAUUGGUCACAAAGGCUUCCAAGUGCUUACCACCUCCUGGUUUCUCUGCCGCAGUGUGAAAAGUGGCUCGUGCUCAGAGAAUUUACGAACCUGAUAGAAUUGAUCGAACCAGAGAAUACAGAAGAAAGAAAAGGGCUAUGGAAGAAGAGAACACACAGCUUCGUACCGAAUUGGCAUCUCUAAGGGAGGAAUUGGCCAAAGCUCAUGAUGCUAUGACUGCUCUGUUGGCUGCUCAGGAACAACCAGUUCCUGUAGUUUCUACAGCUGCAAAUGUGACUCCUACCGUAACAACUGAUCCCCGCUCUAUCAUGCCAUCCGGGUACCCUUACGGACUUCCGCUGUACUAUACUACUAAUACAGGGGCAGGGACCUCUGGUACUACCAACAAUGGCCCAAUCCCAGGGGCAAACUUAACUCCUGUUAGUACCGCCUUGACUCAAGCUGCAACGACUGUUACCGAGCCCAUUGUGAAUGCGGUGCCUCUAUUUGUCCAUGCUAAUGCGCACCACGGGAGUAUUGCCACAACCGGAACUAUGGAAGAGAGAAUGGAAGAACUUGCCAAAGAGCUCCGACGGGAAAUUAAGGCCAACAGGGGAAACGGGGACUCCAUUAAAACCCAGGAUCUCUGCUUGGUAUCGAAGGUAGAUGUUCCAAAAAAGUUCAAAGUCCCGGAGUUCGACAAAUAUAACGGGCUGACUUGUCCUCAAAAUCAUAUUGUCAAAUACGUCCGGAAGAUGGGCAACUACAAGGACAAUGAUUCCCUUAUGAUCCAUUACUUCCAAGACAGUCUGAUGGAAGAUGCUGCAGAGUGGUAUACUAGUCUGAGCAAAGAUGAUGUCCAUACCUUUGAUGAGCUAGCCACCGCUUUCAGGAGCCACUACGGGUUUAACACUCGUUUGAAGCCGAAUAGGGAGUUCCUCAGGUCCCUAUCUCAGAAAAAGGAGGAGAGUUUCCGUGAAUAUGCGCAAAGGUGGAGAGGGGCAGCUGCCCGUAUCACUCCUGCUUUAGAUGAAGAAGAAAUGACCCAGACAUUCUUAAAGACCUUGAAGAAGGAUUAUGUUGAGAGGAUGAUCAUCGCCGCCCCGAACAACUUUUCAGAGAUGGUCACUAUGGGAACCCGUCUUGAGGAAGCAGUCAGGGAUGGAAUCAUUGUGUUUGAGAAAGCUGAAUCUUCUACGAGUGCAUCGAAGAGGUAUGGUAAUGGACACCACAAGAAGAAAGAAACGGAAGUGGGGAUGGUGUCAGCUGGAGCCGGUCAAUCUAUGGCUACUGUUGCACCUAUCAAUGCAGCUCAAAUGCCUCCGUCAUACCCAUAUAUGCCGUAUUCUCAGCAUCCGUUCUUCCCACCGUUUUAUCAUCAGUAUCCUUUGCCACCAGGCCAACCUCAGGUUCCUGUCAAUGCCAUCGCUCAACAGGUACAACAUCAACCGCCAGUUCAACAGCAGCAGCAGCAGUAUACUAGACCAACUUUUCCUCCUAUACCAAUGUUGUAUGCUGAGUUGCUUCCAACUUUACUCCAGAGAGGACAUUGCACAACUAGACAGGGCAAGCCACCACCUGAUCCGUUGCCUCCAAGGUUCAGGUCUGAUCCCAAAUGUGACUUUCAUCAAGGUGCCUUAGGUCAUGAUGUCGAGGGGUGUUAUGCUUUGAAGUAUAUUGUGAAGAAGCUCAUUGAUCAGGGAAAGCUGACUUUUGAGAACAAUGUUCCACAUGUCCUUGACAAUCCACUACCAAAUCAUGCCGCUGUGAAUAUGAUCGAAGUGUGUGAGGAAGCUCCUAGACUUGAUGUCCGCAAUGUUGCCACUCCCCUGGUGCCUCUGCAUAUCAAGCUAUGCAAAGCUUCUCUGUUCAGCCAUGAUCAUGCCAAGUGUCUAGGAUGCCUCCGUGAUCCUUUGGGUUGCCAUACUGUUCAAGACGACAUCCAAAGCCUGAUGGAUGAUAAUCUUCUGACUGUCAGUGAUGUUUGCGUGGUCGUGCCAGUUUUUCACGAUCCGCCUGUCAAGAGUGUACCUUUGAAGAAGAAUGCUGAGCCUUUGGUGAUAAGGUUGCCAGGACCAAUUCCUUAUGUUUCGGACAAGGCAGUGCCAUACAAGUACAAUGCUACUAUGAUAGAAAAUGGAGUAGAGGUGCCUCUAGCCUCCUUUGCCACAGUAAGCAAUAUUGCCGAAGGGACUUCUGCAGCGCUAAGAAGCGGGAAGGUUCGUCCGCCAUUAUUUCAGAAGAAGGUAGCUACGCCAAUCACUCCACCAGUUGAAGAAGCAACUCCAACCGUUGUUUCACCCAUUGCUACAGAUGUGAAUCAGCCAGGCAAGUCUAUAGAGGAUUCGAAUUUAGAUGAGAUUCUGAGAAUAAUAAAGAGGAGCGACUACAAGAUCGUUGAUCAAUUGCUGCAAACUCCUUCGAAGAUAUCCGUCUUGUCACUACUCUUGAGCUCUGAGGCUCAUAGGAAUACCUUGUUGAAAGUGCUGGAGCAGGCUUAUGUUGACCACGAAGUCUCGGUAGAUCGUUUCGGUGGCAUAGUGGGAAAUAUCACUGCUUGUAACAACCUCUGGUUCAGUGAAGAAGAGUGGCCAGAAGUGGGAAAGGGUCACAAUCUGGCUUUGCACAUCUCGGUGAACUGUAAAUCAGACAUGAUAUCAAAUGUGUUGGUGGAUACCGGUUCCUCUCUCAAUGUAAUGCCCAAGACAACUCUAGAUCAGUUGAGCUACCGCGGGACCCCGUUGAGGAGAAGUACUUUCUUGGUCAAAGCUUUUGACGGAUCUCGAAAGAAUGUGCUGGGAGAGAUAGACUUGCCGAUAACUAUUGGCCCUGAGAAUUUCUUGGUUACCUUCCAAGUGAUGGACAUUAAUGCAUCCUACAGUUGCCUGCUGGGAAGACCGUGGAUACACGAUGCAGGUGCGGUUACUUCCACUUUACAUCAGAAGUUGAAAUUUGUGAAGAAUGGAAAACUCGUUACAAUCCAUGGUGAAGAAGCAUACUUAGUCAGCCAGUUGUCUUCUUUUUCUUGUGUUGAAGCAGGGUCUGCUGAAGGGACUGCUUUCCAAGGUUUGACCAUUGAAGGCGCAGAGCCUAAGGAAGCUGGGGCUGCUAUGGCUUCAUUGAAAGAUGCUCAGAGAGCCAUCCAAGAAGGUCAGACUGCCGGCUGGGGCAAGGUGAUACAGCUCUGUGAGAACAAGCGUAAAGAAGGUCUCGGGUUCUCCCCGUCAUCAAGGGUUUCCUCGGGAGUCUUCCACAGUGCAGGGUUUGUUAAUGCUAUCUCUGAAGAAGCCACUGGAUCUGGUCUCAGGCCUGUAUUUGUUACACCAGGAGGCAUUGCGACAAAUUGGGAUGCCGUUGACAUUCCUUCAAUCAUGCAUGUUUCUGAGUAAUGUGUCUUGUUGCUUUAGUACUUUGUUUUCAAAAUAACAAUCCUCUCGCUCUGCCCAAAGCGAGAGUGAUAUUUUCUGUAAGGGCAUGUUUGUUUCGGCAUUGCCGUUGAUUAAUAAAAUUUUGUCGUUUCUUCCACGACUACUUUUUUUAAGUGCUUUUUCCCUUGGAAGCAAUGGUAAUGCCAGAAAAAACCAAAACGUCUGUAUUUUCUUAUUAAUUUCAAAAAUCUGCAUGAAAAAAAACUCUUUCUAAAAAUCAUCCAAUCAUUAUAUGCAGGUUGAACCAUAAUAAAUCCGUUGAACACAGUAAUCCUACGGUUCCUCCAAGUUUUGAUUUCCCUGUAUAUGAAGCCGAAGAUGAGGAAGGUGAUGACAUACCGUAUGAGAUCACUCGGUUACUUGAGCAAGAAAAGAAAGCCAUUCAGUCUCACCAAGAAGAGAUUGAGCUUAUCAACAUAGGUACCGAGGAAAACAAGCGAGAAAUCAAGAUUGGUGCUACCCUAGAGGAAGGGGUUAAACAGAAGAUCAUCCAACUCCUCCGGGAAUAUCCGGAUAUUUUUGCAUGGUCCUAUGAAGAUAUGCCAGGUCUAGACCCUAUGAUCGUGGAGCAUCGGAUCCCUACCAAGCCUGAAUGUCCUCCCGUCAGGCAGAAAUUGAGAAGGACUCAUCCUGACAUGGCCCUCAAGAUUAAGAGUGAAGUUCAAAAGCAGAUUGAUGCGGGUUUCCUCAUGACAGUGGAGGUAUCCCGAAUGGGUUGCCAAUAUUGUGCCUGUGCCAAAGAAGGAUGGUAAAGUCCGGAUGUGUGUUGACUUUAGGGACUUGAACAAAGCCAGUCCAAAAGACAACUUUCCGUUACCUCAUAUUGAUGUGCUUGUUGAUAAUACUGCUCAAUCUAAGGUGUUCUCCUUCAUGGACGGUUUUUCCGGUUAUAAUCAGAUCAAAAUGUCUCCUGAAGAUAGAGAAAAGACAUCUUUUAUCACGCCAUGGGGUACUUUCUGCUACAAAGUGAUGCCGUUCGGCCUAAUCAAUGCUGGUGCUACCUACCAAAGGGGAAUGACCACUCUGUUUCAUGACAUGAUUCACAAAGAAGUUGAGGUAUAUGUGGAUGACAUGAUUGUGAAGUCAGCAGAUGAGGAGCAGCAUGUUGAAUAUUUAACAAAGAUGUUUGAAAGGUUGAGAAAAUACAAGCUGCGACUGAAUCCCAACAAAUGUACAUUCGGUGUCAGGUCUGGAAAGUUAUUAGGCUUCAUUGUCAGCCAAAAGGGCAUUGAAGUCGAUCCUGAUAAAGUCCGGGCCAUCCGAGAAAUGCCAGCUCCACAGACAGAGAAGCAAGUCAGAGGUUUCUUGGGACGUUUGAAUUACAUCUCCCGAUUCAUAUCUCAUAUGACUGCAACCUGCGGGCCGAUCUUCAAACUACUUAGAAAGAACCAGCCUGUUGUAUGGGAUGAUGAAUGCCAAGAAGCUUUUGAUAGCAUCAAGAAUUACCUGCUGGAACCACCUAUCCUUGUCCCACCCGUGGAAGGAAGGCCUUUGAUUAUGUAUUUGGCAGUAUUUGAUGAAUCCAUGGGAUGUGUACUUGGUCAACAAGAUGAAACCGGAAAGAAAGAGCAUGCUAUCUACUAUCUAAGCAAGAAGUUCACCGAUUGUGAAACUCGGUAUACAAUGCUUGAAAAGACUUGUUGUGCUCUAGCUUGGGCUGCCAAACGCCUGCGCCAUUAUUUGGUGAAUCAUACAACUUGGUUGAUAUCCAGAAUGGAUCCGAUAAAGUAUAUCUUUGAGAAAGCGGCCGUUACUGGGAAGAUCGCACGCUGGCAGAUGCUUUUGUCUGAAUAUGAUAUUGUGUUCAAAACUCAAAAGGCAAUCAAAGGCAGCAUUCUUGCCGAUCACCUUGCUUAUCAACCUCUUGAUGAUUACCAACCAAUUGAAUUCGAUUUCCCUGAUGAAGAGAUCAUGUAUUUGAAAUCCAAAGACUGCGACGAACCGUUGAUUAAUGAAGGUCCAGAUCCCAAUAGCAAGUGGGGUUUAGUCUUUGAUGGUGCUGUCAAUGCUUAUGGCAAAGGAAUUGGGGCAGUCAUUGUAUCCCCGCAAGGGCAUCACAUUCCUUUUACCGCCCGUAUUCUGUUCGAAUGUACAAACAAUAUGGCUGAGUAUGAAGCAUGUAUCUUCGGGAUCGAGGGAGCAAUUGACAUGAGAAUCAAACACCUCGACAUCUAUGGAGAUUCUGCGCUCGUCAUCAAUCAGAUAAAGGGUGAAUGGGAGACCCACCAUGCUAAGUUGAUUCCUUAUCGUGAUUAUGCGAGACGUCUUCUGACAUAUUUUACAAAGGUUGAGCUGCAUCAUAUUCCUCGUGAUGAGAACCAAAUGGCUGAUGCUCUUGCUACUCUAUCUUCCAUGUUUCGAGUAAACCAUUGGAAUGAUGUGCCAUUAAUUAAAGUGCAACGCCUUGAAAGACCUUCGCAUGUGUUUGCUAUUGGGGAUGUGAUCGAUCAGGCUGGUGAAAAUAUGGUUGACUAUAGACCCUGGUACUACGACAUCAAACAGUUCUUGCUGAGCCGUGAGUAUCCGCCGGGUGCUUCCAAACAAGACAAGAAGACCUUGAGAAGAUUGGCCGGUAGAUUCUUGUUAGAUGGAGAUAUUCUGUACAAGAGGAACUAUGACAUGGUAUUGUUAAGAUGUGUUGAUGAACAUGAAGCAGAGCAGUUAAUGCAUGAUGUACAUGACGGUACCUUCGGGACCCAUGCUACAGGGCAUACUAUGUCAAGAAAGUUGCUACGGGCAGGUUACUACUGGAUGGCCAUGGAGCAUGAUUGCUACCAAUACGCCAGAAAAUGCCACAAAUGUCAAAUCUAUGCUGAUAAGAUUCAUGUGCCUCCGCACGCUCUCAAUGUUAUGUCAUCCCCAUGGCCGUUCUCAAUGUGGGGCAUCGAUAUGAUUGGAAGAAUUGAACCGAAAGCUUCAAAUGGUCAUCGUUUCAUCUUAGUGGCAAUUGACUACUUUACCAAAUGGGUUGAAGCAGCAUCUUAUACCAAUGUGACCAAGCAAGUGGUAGCUAAGUUCAUCAAGAACAACAUCAUCUGUCGAUAUGGUGUUCCCAGCAAGAUUAUUACCGACAAUGGUACCAACCUGAACAACAAUGUGGUGCAAGCUCUUUGUGAAGAAUUCAAAAUUGAGCAUCAUAACUCUUCUCCUUAUAGACCUCAGAUGAAUGGUGCAGUUGAGGCCGCCAAUAAGAAUAUCAAGAGAAUUGUCCAGAAGAUGGUAACCACUUACAAGGACUGGCAUGAGAUGUUACCCUAUGCUCUGCAUGGCUACCGUACUACCAUGCGCAGUUCAACCGGGGCAACCCCUUUCUCUCUUGUAUAUGGUAUGGAAGCAGUUCUUCCUUUGGAAGUGGAGAUCCCAUCUCUCCGUGUGAUCAUGGAAGCAAAGUUAUCCGAAGCUGAAUGGUGCCAAAGCCGGUAUGAUCAGUUGAAUUUGAUUGAGGAAAAACGUAUGGAUGCCAUGGCUCGUGGACAGUCAUAUCAAGCAAGAAUGAAGACUGCCUUUGACAAGAAAGUCCAUCCUCGAGAAUUCAAGGUAGGGGAACUUGUAUUGAAAAGGAGGAUAAGCCAGCAACCCGACCCGAGGGGCAAGUGGACGCCUAACUAUGAAGGUCCUUAUGUCGUCAAGAAGGCCUUCUCCGGUGGUGCUUUAAUCCUUACACACAUGGAUGGUGUAGAGCUUCCAAAUCCAGUGAAUGCCGAUAUAGUCAAGAAAUACUUUGCCUAAAAAUAUGAAAAGAACAGCGUGGUAGGUCGAAAACCCGAAAGGGCGGCCUAGGCAAAAAUGCGCUUCCCGGUGGAUCGAAAACCCGAAAGGGCGGUCCAGGCAAAAAUAAGGGACAAAAAAAACAACAAAUAUGAAAAGCUCGCUGAGAUUGUACACAACUCAGGCAAGAAUGAGCGUCUCGAUGAGCCGAAAACCCGGAAGGUCGGUUCAUGCAAAAAUGAGAUUGAAACAAAAGGCAAGUAACUAUAUCUGGCCAACCACCGUCCCCCUUGGGGCAUCUGCAGCUGUUAAUGCCUAUCUUCAUCAAAAGCUUCUGUACUUGUGAAUUCGAAGUUUCUGGGAAAUGUCAUGAUUACUGUGUUCAAUGUACCACCAACCAAUAAAAUUACCAUUUUCCAAGCUUUGUGAAUCCGUGGAGUCGUGCCUUCGGCUGAUCACCACUCUUAUACAUCAAUUUGAGCUUGUGCUUUUGUUUGAAACUCUAUUUUUCUUCUACUUUCAAAGCUGUAUACAAAACAUUCUCUUUCCAUUUUGAUAAUGACAAUGCUUGAAACAAACAUUUUUGAAAAUUGAAAACUUUUUGUCUAUUUUGAAAAGCAAACCCGAGCAACAGGGUACAUUCAAAUGAACAUGCAUGAGCGAGUGUGUGUGGGUGUCUAUCUUCAAUAUAUGUUACAAGCAGGUUCUCCUCCAAGAUAAUCUGUGGUCAAUGGCAAGAAUGAAAAAACAGAAUGAAAAUGCAUGAAAAUGAAUGAGCUCGCUAAGUUGAAAACCCGAAAGGGCGACUUAGGCAAAAAUGAGCACCCCGCUGGAUUGACAACCCGAAAGGGCAGUUCAGGCAAAAAUGGGGCAUUGAAAAGAAUUUAUUUCCCCGGUGGGUCGAAAACCCGAAAGGGCGAUCCAGGCAAAAAUGGGAUGCAAAAAAUGAAUGAUGAAGAUUGAGAAUAUAACAUGCAAAAAGCAUUGACCACAGAUGCGAUGUCCACAACAUGCCCAGCACAACGGCAUUAUCCCCAGUAAAGUCUCUCAAGAUUCUAUCCCCAGCAAGUUGCAUAGCUACCAGCCCUCAGCCUAGGUCCCGAAACGUCUCCCAACGACGUCAUCUCCAAAGAGGAUUUCCAAGAAUGUGUAAUAUAGCUCGAGCCACUACGUGCCCAAUACUCUGAUGUCUUGUCUUCCCCGUGAAGUCGUGCCUACAAAAUGCCAACAGUCAUGCAUUACAAGCAUUCAUACAUGCAUAAUCAUGCAUAUUACGUACCCAUGCAUUUAAUGAAAUUGUUAUAUCAUCCAUGCAUAUUGCAUUUCCAAUGUCAACAUCAGUCUCAAUUCAACACUCAUGUCAGGUUCUCUGUCAAAACCUUGUGAGCCAAUAAUAUCGGUCAAUUUCUACCUUUCAAUUCAAAUCGACGUCAAGUCAAUCUCAAUCUAUAUUUUGUCAACAAACCAAUCCCCAGUGAAUAUGUUUUUGUUCGGUCAAGUUACUAGUUCGCAUCCAAGAACGACUUGCACCCGUUUACUUUUCAAUGUUAUCGGUCGAGUGCCCAGCUCAAUCCAAGAGCAGCUUGUACCUGUCUAUUUGUUUCUGUCCGGUGGAGUAACCAGUUCGCAUCCAAGAACAAGCUCACACCUGUUUAUUUGCCUUGCUUUCGGUCGAGUAACCAGUUCGAAUCCUUAAGAACAACUCGUACCUGCCAAUUUUACAUGUUUUCAGUCGAGUCACCAGUUCGAAUCCGUAAGAACAACUCGUACUUGCCAAUUUUCUCUUUUUCCCAGUCGGGUCACCAGUUCGAAUCCAUAAGAACAACUCGCACUUUCCAGUAUCCCCAAGUGAGUUAUCAGUUCGAAUCCAUAAGAACAACUCAUAUUUGUCCAGUAACCUCUAUCCCCUGUGGAGUGACCAGUUCGAAUCCAUAAGAACAACUCGCAGUUGUCUGUUUGUUUCAUUCCCGGUCAGGUGCCCAGCUCGAUCCAAGAGCAGCUUGUACCUGUCCAACUUGUUUCUAGUUUCCCGUUACUCUGCUAUUCACUAUCUUUGUCAAUGUCUACCAAUCCCGCAAUGGAUACGACAUAUUUUGUUAAUUCCAAUCCCCAUGAGGUCUUGCAUUCAUAAUCCAAACGAUGCAUGGCAUGCAUAUUAUUUGAAAAUGGGUAGGCGUAUUUUUACGUCCAAACACAGUGCAAAUGCUAAUAUUUAAGUAUCUUCGUCCUGUCAAGCCAAAGACUCCGUCUCUUGACUCUCCAGACAAAGAAACUUAAAUAGGGGCAGCUGUUAUACCCUGUUUUUGGACCUAAAAAUACUGGGCCCAAUUUCAUUUCAAACUUUGUCAAUUAUCAAAUUUCAACUGCACAGUUCAAAUUGUCUCUGCCUCGCAGUAUUUUUCAAUCACAAUUUUACCUAUGUUUUUCUUGCAUAAAACCUUUCGAAAUGUCUUUACUUGUCUUGUAAGUCAUUCAAAAGUGUCUCUGAAUCAUUACAUUGCUUUUUCCACAGUUUAUUUCAAAAUUUGCAAAGAAGUCAUACAGAAGGGUAUUUUGGUCAUUUCCCGCAGUGGGACCCAUUUUCAUCCUUGUGACUGUCUCUGAGUCUUUUCAAAUUCAUUUUUAACUUUCCAUCAGUAAACCUUGCUAAUUUCGUUUCAAACUUGCAUCUGAGUCAGUGUCGAGUUAAUUUGAUUCUGUUUAGGUCAUUUUUAGCCCUAGGGGCAUUUUGGUCAUUUCACAUAAAAUUUUGGCAUGGGGAGGUUACUUUGAAGUACCUCAUUUAGGCCAUUGGUUCGUUUUAGUCCGUUUUGUCAAUUUUAUUUUUUUGUUUCGCUUUACGUUUUGUCAGGUUACCAAUUUUAUUUCAAUUUUAUUUUAUUUUGCAUUUUGGUCCUCAAAGAGGUCCAAAAUUGCAUUUCAGUCCAGAAUUCUUUCUAUUUGCAUUUUUAGUCCUUUUUGUUAUUUCCAUUUUAGUCCUUUAAUUUUUCAAUUUUGCAGAAAAGGGCUCAAAGUGUCAAGCUCACGUUUUUUUUCAGUUAAAGUCCAGAUGUCACAAUUCUAUUGGUCCAAGAUCACACAUGUCAGCUAUAAAAGGUGUACAGUGCCACACAGACCCAUUAAUCACACGCCAACUCAUAAACACAAAAUCAAUUUUCUCUUUCUCAGCAAUUAGAUCAAAAACAGAAAAUCUCUCAGAAUUUCUCAAGAACACCAGGAACAAAAACCCUAACCGUUUUCCAGAAACCCUAAUUUUCAUCAGAAUCAACAUUUUUUGCAUCAAUCCUCAGAGAUUCGUGUGAAUCUUCAUCACCGGACUGAAGAUUUUCCUGCAAUUCCAAGUGCGAGCUCGCAUUGAAGCAAGCUCAAGCACUGAUCACAGGAUCUCCUCGCGUGGAUCUAAGAAACAUUGAAGCAAGCUCAAGCACGUAAUCACAGAGAAGCAGAGAAAGAGUCAGAGAAGAUGAAGAAUCUGGACCGGUGAAGCAAACAGAAUCAAAAAUCAUCAAGAACAGAAUCAAGAUUUCCAAAGAUUUCCUCCAUUAAAGGUUUCAACCAAAACCUUAGGUAAAACUCAUAAUCUUUUCUCAGAAAAUAAUAUCACUGUUAAACCUAAAAAUCACGCAAGCAAAACAGAUCCAAAAUUUCCAGAAUUCAAAGCCAAAACCGUAACCGUGAACACAAAACCUAGAUCCAUAAGGAUCUAAGUUUUGAAAGCAAAAACAAACAUCAAAGAGGUGUUAAACAACGAAAUGAUGUAGAUCUUCAAGGAUCUAAACGUUUUCUUUCAAAAAAUCAAAAUCAAAUUCAAAGCCGUACGACAAAUUUCCAGAUCUACAUCGUUUCGAAUUGAAUUUGAAAAAACAAUUGCUGGAUUCGUGUUUAGGGUUAAAGGACGAAUUGAUUGAUGAAGAAAUUUUGAAAUUCUGGAAAUUUUAGGUCACCGGAGUUCUUGAACUCGCCGGAGAAGAUGAAGUUUCCGGCGGACCUUCAAGGUCUCCGCCGUAGCUUCAUCCUCGCCGGCGGCGAGGUUAGUGAGAGGUGAGAGAAGAGAGAGGAACUUAGAGAGAGAAAGGGGAGUGAAAAGUGAAGAAAACCGGAACCUCUUCCCUUAUAUAAGCUAGUGAACCAGACCGGUUCAAGACCGGUCCAAUCCUGUUGAUUCCAGGCCGUUUGAUCUAGGGUUUCAGGAUCCUGGAUCAAUCCUGUGGCUCCUGUGAAUCCGGUUCUUUAGGGUUUUGGGUUGGGCCUUUGGUUUCUUUGGAUCUUUACGUUUUGCUAUUUCUGUGCUAUUCACACCCCUAUUUUUUGCUGCCUGCACCUAUGUCUUGAUUAAAAUUGUGAUAAAAUUCCUAGAAAAAUUCAUACAUGUUUCUUGAUAUUUUCUUAGUGUUUUUAUGACAUUUUUGCACAUUAAGGAUCUAUGAAAAUUUUGUAUAAUCAAUUCAUAGCAUUUUAAUUCUCUUUGAAUUAUUUGUUAUGGAUUCUUCUUCACACAUUUGUCCUUGAUGUGAGAAUAUGUAAUAAAAGCUACUUGAUGUGUUAAUAUGAGAGAUUUGUGCCUAUAAUUUCAUGUUGAUUUGCUGUUUUGAUUUGGUUUAUGAGUUCUUGUUUUUAUGAACAAUAUAUCCAUAUUUUGAAAGAUAUAAAAUGCCAAGUUUACUCUAGAAAAUAUGGCAUGAAAUCAUGCUUGCAUGUUUCCAAUAAUUCCAUGCUAUAACUUGAGAUAAAGAAAACUCUUUCAAAAUUUGUUAAAGCAUGAGAAUUAGAGGCCAAGAAUGCUUUAGGUUUCAUACCUAAGUUUUUAGGGUUUAAUGUCAUUUUGUUAACUUUUUGUGCCAUCUUGCAUGCUUUUAUUUCUUAGUACUUGUUAUGUUUUUUCUUUUCACUAACAAGUUUAUUUCCAUGUUUCAUGCAUCCUGUUAUCAUGGUUUUUGGGUGCCAAGCCAUUAAUUGGACUUGUACCUUUCGACCGUUGAUAUCUCUAUUUUUUCUUGGGAAGGGCAAAAUUGAGAAAAAACCCUUAGAUUCUAAGUUCGGGGGUCGGUUUUACUACGGGAAGGUGUUAGGCACCCGGAGUAACUAUAGUCCUCUAUAGGAGCCGUUUUCCUAAGUCUAUAUUCACGCUUAUUUUUACUUACUUUUGAAGAUGGGAGGUUUAUUUAGUUAAGAAUGAGGGGAGAGAAGUUGUAAGACUUUUUAAUUUUAUUUCGGCUUGGAUGAGUUUUGACUCAUUGCCUACGUACCGUUUUACGGGAUCAAAACCGGCGUAGUUCUUGCUAAAAAAAAGACUUGUUUUUCUUUUGUUUUAAUUGUUUGAUUUUAAGUUUUAAAAAAAGGUUUUGAAGAAGGAGAUUGGGAGGCUUCAUGAGCAUUAGAUUUAGCAAAAAAGGUGAGGUUUGAUUAGUGAUUUAGAAAGAAAGUCUAAAUGAUUAAGAUGAAUUGAAUUUUUCUUAAGAAAAAAGAGAAAGGAAAAAAAAAAUGAAGUGUUGACUUCAUACUUAUUAUGAAAAUUUUUGAAGUGAAGUUCAAUUGCUUUUUUUGAAAAAAAGAUGGAUUUUCCCUAAGUGUUCAAACCUAAGCGCUUAUCUAACCAUACAAUCCUAUGCAUACAUCUAAGGUGAGUGUGUGCGUGUCGGUGCGUCAUAGUGUCCAUAGUCCAUAUUACAAAAAUUGCCUAAAUACAUUCUAUGGCCCCUUUGCCAAGCUACAAACCAAUGAUAACAAAUUACAUUACCAAAUGAAUUAAAACUUGCAAAAAAAACAAAUGCUAGGCUAAAAAGUGGAGGGAAUGCUGAGUUUUUAUGGAGAUUCUGUUAGGUUUCUUCGGAAACACUUGGAUUUGGCUUUUGCUUGUUGAUUUCUGGCUUUGAACCGAAAAUAAAUCGGUGAUUCUUCUUUUCUCACUGAUUCCGUUUCUUCAUCUUCUUCGCCGGCUUAAAACCUUGCUUCUUUCCCUUUUCUUCUCCUUUUUCAACGCCUCUGUGAUCGGUGUUGGAGUUCUUCGCCACUGGGGAAGAAUUCUCACCUUGAAUUGCAGAGGGAUCAACUCAGUGAUGAAGAUUCGCCAUUGAAUCUCUGAGAGUUUGAUGCAAAAAUCAAUGAAUUUGUGUAUGAAUUUUGGUUCUGGAAAUUUCUAGGGUUCUUGUGUUCUUGAUGAACUUGAUGAUUUUUCUGUUUCUGAUCUAACUGAAUGGAGAGAGAAAGUCUCAUUGUGUUUGUUGAGUUGGCGUGUGAUUAAUGGCUUUGAAUCUGACUCACUGUUUAUAUAGUUGACAUGUGUACACUUGAGCCAAUGAAAUUGUGACACGUACCCUGGACUUGCUCACUUGGGCGCUGCUUGCUAUUUUAAGGACCAAUCUGCAAAUUGUGAAAAUGACAAGGACUGGACUGCAAAAUUAAAAAAAACUUGAAAUGAAAUAAAUAAUAAAAAAACAGUUUGGACAAAAAUGCAAUUUUGGGACCUCAAUUGAGGGACCAAAAUGCAAUACAAAAUAAAAUUUGAAUAAAAAACGUAAUUUGACCAAACGUAAAGUGAAACAAAAAUAAAAUUGACAAAACGGACUAAAACGAACCAAUGGCCUAAAUGAGGUACUUCAAAGUAACCUCCCCAUGCCAAAAUUUCAUGUGAAAUGACCAAAAUGCCCCUAGGGCUAAAAAUGACCUAAACUGACUCAAACAGACUUGACACUGACUCAGAUGCAAGUUUGAAAUGAAUUUAAACAGGGUUUACUGACGAAAUGUCAAAAAAUGAAUUUGAAAAGACUCGGAGAUAGUCACAAGGAUGAAGAUGGGUCCCACUGCAGGAAAUGACCAAAAUACCCUUCUGUAUGACCUUUUGCAAAUUUUGAAAUAAACUGUAGAAAAAGCAAUGUAAUGAUUCAGAGGCACUUUUGAAUGACUUACAAGACAAGUAAAGACAUUUUGAAAGGUUUUAUGCAAGAAAAACAUAGGUAAAAUUGUGAUUGAAAAUACUGCGAAGCAGAGACAAUUUGAACUGUGCAGUUGAAAUUUGAUAAUUGACAAAGUUUGAAAUGAAAUUGGGCCCAGUAUUUUUAGGUCCAAAAACAGGGUAUAACAGCUGCCCCUAUUUAAGUUUCUUUGUCUGGAGAGUCAAGAGACGGAGUCUUUGGCUUGACAGGACGAAGAUACUUAAAUAUUAGCAUUUGCACUGUGUUUGGACGUAAAAAUACGCCUACCUAUUUUCAAAUAAUAUGCAUGCCAUGCGUCAUUUGGACUAUGAAUGCAAGACCUCAGGGGGAUUGGAAUUAACAAAAUAUGUCGUAUCCAUUGCGGGAUUGGUAGACAUUGACAAAGAUAGUGAAUAGCAGAGUAACGGGAAACUAGAAACAAGUUGGACAGGUACAAGCUGUUCUUGGAUUCAAACUAGCCACUUGACCGGGGAUGAAACAAACAGACAACUGCGAGUUGUUCUUAUGGAUUCGAACUGGUCACUUCACAGGGGAUAGAGGUUACUGGACAAACAUGAGUUGUUCUUAUGAAUUCGAACUGAUAACUCACUUGGGGAUGUUGGAAAGUGCGAGUUGUUCUUAUGGAUUCGAACUGGUGACCCGACUGGGGAAAUUGACAAGUACGAGUUGUUCUUAUGGAUUCGAACUGGUCACUCGACCGAAAGCAAAGGCAAAUAAACAGGUGUGAGCUUGUUCUUGGAUGCGAACUGGUUACUCCACCGGACAGAAAUAGAUAGACAGGUACAAGCUGCUCUUGGAUUGAGCUAGCCACUUGACCAAACGGAAACAUAUUGACAGGUACGAGCUGCUCUUGGAUUGAGCUGGACACUCGACCGAUAACAUAAGCAAAUUGAUAGGUACAAGCUGUUCUUGGACUUGAACUAGCCACUUGACCAAACAGAAACAUAUUCACUGGGGAUUGAGUUUUGUUUGACGAAAUAUAGAUUGAGAUUGACUUGGCGUCGAUUUGGUUUGAAAGGUAGAAAUUGAUUGAUAUUAUUGGAUCACAAGGCUUUGACAGAGAACCUGACAUGAGUAUUGAAUUGAGACUGAUGUUGACAUUGGAAAUGCAAUAUGCAUGGAUGAUAUAACAGUUCCAUUAAAUGCAUGGGCACGUAAUAUGCAUGAUUAUGCAUGUAUGAAUGCUUGUAAUGCAUGACUGUUGGCAUUUUGUAGGCACGACUUCACGGGGAAGACAAGACAUCAGAGUAUUGGGCACGUAGUGGCUCGUGCUAUAUUACACAUUCUUGGAAAUCCUCUUUGGAGAUGACGUCGUUGGGAGACGUAUCGGAACCAUGGCUGAGGGCAGGUAGCUAUGCAACUUGCUGGGGAUAGAAUCUCGAGAGACUUUACUGGGGAUAAUGCCGUUGUGCUGGGCAUGUUGUGGACAUCGCAUCUGUGGUCAAUGCUUUUUGCAUGCUAUUUUCUCAUUCUCAUUUUUCGCAUCCCAUUUUUGCCUGGAUCGCCCUUUCGGGUUUUCGAUCCACCGGGGAAAUAGAUUCUUUUCAAUGCCCCAUUUUUGCCUGAACUGCCCUUUCGGGUUGUCAAUCCAGCGGGGUGCUCAUUUUUGCCUAAGCCGCCCUUCCGGGUUUUCAACUUAGCGAGCCUUUUCAUUUUCAUGCAUUUUCAUUCUGUUUUUUCAUUCUUGCCAUUGACCACAGAUUAUCUUGGAGGAGAACCUGCUUGUAACAUAUAUUGAAAUAGACAUUAACAUACUCUCGCUCAUGCAUGUUUCAUUUGAACGUACCCUGUUGCUCAGGUUUGCUUUUCAAAACAGACAAAAAGUUUUCAAUUUUCAAAAUGUUUGUUUCAAGCAUUGUCAUUAUCAAAAUAGAAAGAAAAUGUUUUGUAUAUAGCUUUGAAAGUAAAAAGAAAAAUAGAGUUUCAAACAACAGCACAAGCUCAAUUUGAUGUAUAAGAGUGGUGGUCAGCCGAAGGCAUGACUCCACGGAUUCACAAAGCUUGGAAAAUGGUAAUUUUUAUUGGUUGGUGGUACAUUGAACACGGUAACCACUACAGUUCUUAGAAACUUUGAAUUCACAAGUACAGAAGCUUUUGAUGAAGAUAGGCAUUAACAGCUGCAGAUGCCCCAAGGGGGACGGUGGUUGGCCAGAUAUAGUUACUUGCCUUUUGUUUCAAUCUCAUUUUUGCAUGAACCGCCCUUCCGGGUUUUCGGCUCAUCGAGACGCUCAUUCUUGCCUGAGUUGCGUACAAUCUCAGCGAGCUUUUCAUAUUUGUUUUUUUUUUUUUUUUUUUUUGUCCCUUAUUUUUGCCUGGACCGCCCUUUCGGGUUUUCGAUCCAUCGGGAAGCGCAUUUUUGCCUAGGCCGCCCUUUCGGGUUUUCGACCUACCACGCUGUUCUUUUCACAUUUCUAGGCAAAGUAUUUCUUGACUAUAUCGGCAUUCACUGGAUUUGGAAGCUCUACACCAUCCAUGUGUGUAAGGAUUAAAGCACCACCGGAGAAGGCCUUCUUGACAACAUAAGGACCUUCAUAGUUAGGCGUCCACUUGCCCCUUGGGUCGGGUUGCUGGCUUAUCCUCCUUUUCAAUACAAGUUCCCCUACCUUGAAUUCUCGAGGAUGGACUUUCUUGUCAAAAGCAGUCUUCAUUCUUGCUUGAUAUGACUGUCCACGAGCCAUGGCAUCCAUACGUUUUCCCUCAAUCAAAUUCAACUGAUCAUACCGGCUUUGGCACCAUUCAGCCUCAGAUAACUUUGCUUCCAUUAUCACACGGAGAGAUGGGAUCUCCACUUCCAAAGGAAGAACUGCUUCCAUACCAUAUACAAGAGAGAAAGGGGUUGCCCCGGUUGAACUGCGCACGGUAGUGCGGUAGCCAUGCAGAGCAUAGGGUAACAUCUCAUGCCAGUCCUUGUAAGUGGUUACCAUCUUCUGGACAAUUCUCUUGAUAUUCUUAUUGGCGGCCUCAACUGCACCAUUCAUCUGAGGUCUAUAGGGAGAAGAGUUAUGAUGCUCAAUUUUGAAUUCUUCACAAAGAACUUGCACCACAUUAUUGUUCAGGUUGGUACCAUUGUCGGUAAUAAUCUUGCUGGGAACACCAUAUCGACAGAUGAUGUUGUUCUUGAUGAACUUAGCUACCACUUGCUUGGUCACAUUGGUAUAAGAUGCUGCUUCAACCCAUUUGGUAAAGUAGUCAAUUGCCACUAAGAUGAAACGAUGACCAUUUGAAGCCUUCGGUUCAAUUCUUCCAAUCAUGUCGAUGCCCCACAUCGAGAACGGCCAUGGGGAUGACAUAACAUUGAGAGCGUGCGGAGGCACAUGAAUCUUAUCAGCAUAGAUUUGACAUUUGUGGCAUUUUCUGGCGUACUGGUAGCAAUCAUGCUCCAUAGUCAUCCAGUAGUAACCUGCCCGUAGCAACUUUCUUGACAUAGUAUGCCCUGUAGCAUGGGUCCCGAAGGUACCGUCAUGUACAUCAUGCAUUAACUGCUCUGCCUCAUGUUCAUCAACACAUCUUAACAAUACCAUGUCAUAGUUUCUCUUGUACAGAAUAUCUCCAUCUAACAGGAAUCUACUGGCCAAUCUUCUCAAGGUCUUCUUGUCUUGUUUGGAAGCACCCGGCGGAUACUCACGGCUCAGCAAGAACCGUUUGAUGUCGUAGUACCAGGGUUUAUAGUCAACCACAUUUUCGCCAGCCUGAUCGAUCACAUCCCCAAUAGCAAACACAUGGGAAGGUCUUUCAAGGCGUUGCACUUUGAUUACUGGCACAUCAUUCCAAUGGUUUACUCGGAACAUGGAAGAUAGAGUAGCAAGAGCAUCCGCCAUUUGGUUCUCAUCACGAGGAAUAUGAUGCAGCUCAACCUUUGUAAAAUAUGUCAGAAGACGUCUCGCAUAAUCACGAUAAGGAAUCAACUUAGCAUGGUGGGUCUCCCAUUCACCCUUUAUCUGAUUGAUGACGAGCGCAGAAUCUCCAUAGAUGUCGAGGUGUUUGAUUCUCAUGUCAAUUGCUUCCUCGAUCCCGAAGAUACAUGCUUCAUACUCAGCCAUGUUGUUGGUACAUUCGAACAGAAUUCGGGCGGUAAAGGGAAUGUGAUGCCCUUGCGGGGAUACAAUGACUGCCCCAAUUCCUUUGCCAUAAGCAUUGACAGCACCAUCAAAGACUAAACCCCACUUGCUAUUGGGAUCUGGACCUUCAUUAAUCAACGGUUCGUCGCAGUCUUUGGAUUUCAAAUACAUGAUCUCUUCAUCAGGGAAAUCGAAUUCAAUUGGUUGGUAAUCAUCAAGAGGUUGAUAAGCAAGGUGAUUGGCAAGAAUGCUGCCUUUGAUUGCCUUUUGAGUUUUGAACACAAUAUCAUAUUCAGACAAAAGCAUCUGCCAGCGUGCGAUCUUCCCAGUAACGGCCGCUUUCUCAAAGAUAUACUUUAUCGGAUCCAUUCUGGAUAUCAACCAAGUUGUAUGAUUCACCAAAUAAUGGCGCAGGCGUUUGGCAGCCCAAGCUAAAGCACAACAAGUCUUUUCAAGCAUUGUAUAUCGAGUUUCACAAUCGGUGAACUUCUUACUUAGAUAGUAGAUAGCAUGCUCUUUCUUUCCGGUUUCAUCUUGUUGACCAAGUACACAUCCCAUGGAUUCAUCAAAUACUGCCAAAUACAUAAUCAAAGGCCUUCCUUCCACGGGUGGGACAAGGAUAGGUGGUUCCAGCAGGUAAUUCUUGAUGCUAUCAAAAGCUUCUUGGCAUUCAUCAUUCCAUACAACAGGCUGGUUCUUUCUAAGUAGCUUGAAAAUCGGCCCGCAGGUUGCAGUCAUGUGAGAUAUGAAUCGGGAGAUGUAAUUCAAACGUCCCAAGAAACCUCUGACUUGCUUCUCUGUCUGUGGAGCUGGCAUUUCUCGGAUGGCCCGGACUUUAUCAGGAUCGACUUCAAUGCCCUUUUGGCUGACAAUGAAGCCUAAUAACUUUCCGGACCUGACACUGAAUGUACAUUUGUUGGGAUUCAAUCGCAGCUUGUAUUUUCUCAACCUUUCAAACAUCUUUGUUAAAUAUUCAACAUGCUGCUCCUCAUCUGCUGACUUCACAAUCAUGUCAUCCACAUAUACCUCAACUUCUUUGUGAAUCAUGUCAUGAAACAGAGUGGUCAUUCCCCUUUGGUAGGUAGCACCGGCAUUGAUUAGGCCGAACGGCAUCACUUUGUAACAGAAAGUACCCCAUGGAGUGAUAAAAGAUGUCUUUUCUCUAUCUUCAGGGGACAUUUUGAUCUGAUUGUAACCGGAGAAACCGUCCAUGAAGGAGAACACCUUAGAUUGAGCAGUAUUAUCAACAAUCACAUCAAUAUGAGGUAAUGGAAAGUUGUCUUUUGGACUGGCUUUGUUCAAGUCCCUGAAGUCAACACACAUCCGGACUUUACCAUCCUUCUUUGGCACAGGCACAAUAUUGGCAACCCAUUCGGGAUACUCAACUGUCAUGAGGAAACCCGCAUCGAUCUGCUUUUGAACUUCAUUCUUGAUCUUGAGGGCCAUGUCAGGAUGAGUCCUCCUCAAUUUCUGCCUGACGGGAGGACAUUCAGGCUUGGUAGGGAUCCGAUGCUCCACGAUCAUAGGGUCUAGACCUGGCAUAUCUUCAUAGGACCAUGCAAAAAUAUCCGGAUAUUCCCGGAGGAGUUGGAUGAUCUUCUGUUUAACCCCUUCCUCUAGAGUAGCACCAAUCUUGAUUUCUCGCUUGUUUUCCUCGGUACCUAUGUUGAUAAGCUCAAUCUCUUCUUGGUGAGGCUGAAUGGCUUUCUUUUCUUGCUCAAGUAACCGAGUGAUCUCAUACGGUAUGUCAUCACCUUCCUCAUCUUCGGCUUCAUAUACAGGGAAAUCAAAACUUGGAGGAACCGUAGGAUUACUGUGUUCAACGGGUUUAUUAUGGUUCAACCUGCAUAUAAUGAUUGGAUGAUUUUAGAAAGAGCUUUUUUUUUUCAUGCAGAUUUUUGAAACUAAUAAGAAAAUACAGACGUUUUGGUUUUUUCUGGCAUUACCAUUGUUUCCAAGGGAAAAAGCACUAAAAGAAAAGUAGUCGUGGAAGAAACGACAAAAUUUUAUUAACCAACGGCAAUGCCGAAACAAACAUGCCCUUACAGAAAAUAUCACUCUCGCUUUGGGCAGAGCGAGAGGAUUGUUAUUUUGAAAACAAAGCACUAAAGCAACAAGACACAUUACUCAGAAACAUGCAUGAUUGAAGGAAUGUCAAUGGCAUCCCAAUUCGUCGCAAUGCCUCCUGGUGUAACAAAUACAGGCCUGAGACCAGAUCCAGUGGCUUCUUCAGAGAUAACAUUAACAAACCCUGCACUGUGGAAGACUCCUGAGGAAACCCUUGACGAUGGAGAGAACCCGAGACCUUCUUUACGCUUGUUCUCACAGAGCUGUAUCACCUUGCCCCAGCCGGCAGUCUGACCUUCUUGGAUGGCUCUCUGAGCAUCUUUCAAUGAAGCCAUAGCAGCCCCAGCUUCCUUAGACUCUGCACCUUCGAUGGUCAAACCUUGGAAAGCAGUCCCUUCAGCAGACCCUGCUUCAACACAAGAAAAAGAAGACAACUGGCUGACUAAGUAUGCUUCUUCACCAUGGAUUGUAACGAGUUUUCCAUUCUUCACAAAUUUCAACUUCUGAUGUAAGGUGGAAGUAACCGCACCUGCAUCGUGUAUCCACGGUCUUCCCAGCAGGCAACUGUAGGAUGCAUUAAUGUCCAUCACUUGGAAGGUAACCAAGAAAUUCUCAGGGCCAAUAGUUAUCGGCAAGUCUAUCUCCCCCAGCACAUUCUUUCGAGAUCCGUCAAAAGCUUUGACCAAGAAAGUACUUCUCCUCAACGGGGUCCCACGGUAGCUCAACUGAUCUAGAGUUGUCUUGGGCAUUACAUUGAGAGAGGAACCGGUAUCUACCAACACAUUUGAUAUCAUGUCUGAUUUACAAUUCACCGAGAUGUGCAAAGCCAGAUUGUGACUCCUUCCCACUUCCGGCAACUCUUCUUCACUAAACCAGAGGUUGUUACAAGCAGUAAUAUUUCCCACUAUACCACCGAAACGAUCUACCGAGACUUCGUGGUCAACAUAUGCCUGCUCCAGCACUUUCAACAAGGUGUUCCUGUGAGCCUCAGAGCUCAAGAGUAGCGACAAGACAGAUAUCUUCGAAGGAGUUUGCAGCAAUUGAUCAACGAUCUUGUAGUCGCUCCUCUUUAUUAUUCUCAGAAUCUCGUCUAAAUUUGAAUCCUCUAUAGAUUUGCCUGGCUGAUUCACAUCUGUAGCAAUGGGUGAAACAACGGUUGGAGUUGCUUCUUUAACUGGUGGAGUAAUUGGCGUAGCUACCUUCUUCUGAAAUAACGGCGGACGAACCUUCCCGCUUCUCAGCGCUGCAGAAGUCCCUUCGGCAAUAUUGCUUACUGUGGCAAAGGAGGCUAGAGGCACCUCUACUCCAUUUUCUAUCAUAGUGGCAUUGUACUUGUAUGGCACUGCCUUGUCCGAAGCAUAAGGAAUUGGUCCUGGCAACCUUAUUACCAAAGGCUCAGCAUUCUUCUUCAAAGGUACACUCUUGACAGGCGGAUCGUGAAAAACCGGCACAACCACGCAAACAUCACUGACAGUCAGAAGAUUAUCAUUCAUCAAGCUUUGGAUGUCGUCUUGAACAGUAUAGCAGCCCAAAGGAUCACAGAGGCAUCCUAGACACUUGGCAUGAUCAUGGCUGAACAGAGAAGCUUUGCACAGCUUGAUGUGCAGAGGCACCAGAGGAGUAGCAACAUUGCGGACAUCAAGUCUAGGAGCUUCCUCACACACUUCGAUCAUAUUCACAGCGGCAUGAUUUGGUAGUGGAUUGUCAAGGACAUGUGGAACAUUGUUCUCAAAAGUCAGCUUUCCCUGAUCAAUGAGCUUCUUCACGAUAUACUUCAAAGCAUAACACCCCUCGACAUCAUGACCUAAAGCACCUUGAUGAAAGUCACAUUUGAGAUCAGACCUGAACCUUGGAGGCAACGGAUCAGGUGGGGGCUUACCCUGUCUAGUUGUACAAUGUCCUCUCUGGAGUAGAGUUGGAAGCAACUCAGCAUACAACAUUGGUAUAGGAGGAAAAGUUGGCCUAGUAUACUGCUGCUGCUGCUGUUGUUGUUGUUGUUGAACCGGCAACUGUUGUUUCAUCUGUUGGGCAAUUGCAUUGACGGGCACUUGAGGCUGGCCCGGUGGCAAAGGGUACUGAUGAUAAAACGGUGGGAAGAACGGAUGCUGAGAAUACGGCAUAUAUGGGUAUGACGGAGGCAUUUGAGCUGCAUUGAUAGGAGCAACGGUAGCCAUAGAUUGACCGGCUGCAGCUGACACCAUUCCCACUUCCGUUUCUUUCUUCUUGUGGUGUCCAUUACCAUACCUCUUCGAUGCACUCGUAGAAGAUUCAGCUUUCUCAAACACAAUGAUCCCAUCUCUGACUGCUUCCUCAAGACGGGUUCCCAUGGUGACCAUCUCCGAAAAGUUGUUCGGGGCAGCAAUGAUCAUUCUCUCAACAUAAUCUUUCUUCAAGGUCUUUAAGAACGUCUGGGUCAUUUCUUCUUCAUCUAAAGCAGGAGUGAUACGGGCAGCUGCCCCUCUCCACCUUUGCGCAUAUUCACGGAAACUUUCCUCCUUUUUCUGAGAUAGGGACCUGAGAAACUCCCUAUUCGGCUUCAAACGAGUGUUAAACCCGUAGUGGCUCCUGAAAGCGGUGGCCAGCUCAUCAAAAGUAUGGACAUCGUCUUUGCUCAGACUAGUAUACCACUCCGCAGCAUCUUCCAUCAGACUGUCUUGGAAGUAAUGGAUCAUAAGGGAAUCAUUGUCCUUGUAGUUGCCCAUUUUCCGGACGUAUUUGACAAUAUGAUUUUGAGGACAAGUCAGCCCGUUAUACUUGUCGAACUCCGGGACUUUGAACUUUUUUGGAACAUCUACCUUCGAUACCAAGCAGAGGUCCUGGGUUUUAAUGGAGUCUCCAUUUCCCCUGUUGGCCUUAAUUUCCCGUCGGAGCUCUUUGGCAAGUUCUUCCAUUCUCUCUUCCAUAGUUCCGGUUGUGGUAAUACUCCCGUGGUGUGCGUUGGCAUGGACAAAUAGAGGCACCGCAUUCACAAUGGGCUCGGUAACAGUUGUUGCAGCUUGAGUCAAGGCGGUACUAAUAGGAGUUAAGUUUGCCCCUGGGAUUGGGCCACUGUUGGUAGUACCAGAGGUCCCUGCCCCUGUGUUAGCAGUAUAGUACAGCGGAAGUCCGUAAGGAUACCCGGAUGGCAUGAUAGAGCGGGGAUCAGUUGUUACAGUAGGAGUCACAUUUGCAGCUGUAGAAACUACAGGAACUGGUUGUUCCUGAGCAGCCAACAGAGCAGUCAUAGCAUCAUGAGCUUUGGCCAAUUCCUCCCUUAGAGAUGCCAAUUCGGUACGAAGCUGUGUGUUCUCUUCUUCCAUAGCCCUUUUCUUUCUUCUGUAUUCUCUGGUUCGAUCAAUUCUAUCAGGUUCGUAAACUCUCUGAGCACGAGCCACUUUUCACACUGCGGCAGAGAAACCAGGAGGUGGUAAGCACUUGGAAGCCUUUGUGACCAAUGCAUGAUGCAUAUGAUGCAUGAUGUGCAAAUGCAAAUGCAAAAGACUUAUUUUCUCAUCGAAGGAUUUUUAAACAAAUUAGAAAUCUUGCAAAUAAACAAAACUACAUAGUAUUCUCAACAGAAAGACUUUGAAAUAAACAUAUGAAGCCCUCAAGCAUAGGAAGCAGUCGGAAGAUCAUCGGACUCGGAAUCUGAAUCACAGUAUCUGGCAAAGAAGUCUCGUCGUCCUCUGGCUCUCUUGGAAUCCCUCAUAAGCAGCUCGUCUUUCUCUUCCAAUUCCCUCCGGGCCUUAGCUAGCUCUUUCUUCAACAUUAAAUUCUCAUGAGUCUUCUGCUCAUCUCUACCAUCCAAAGUCAUGAUUAGAUUCUCGGCUUGAUUAUACCGAGCUUUCCACACUUGCUUCUCACGACUCUCCAUAGCUAGAUGCUCCUGAUACAUAUCCUGAGUCGCGGGGAGUAGAGGUAGAGGCAUAGAUGGAGUAGACGAAGACACGUAUCUCAUAGCUGGAUAAGGCAUACCAAUCUCCUCAGCUCGAUCUAUCACCCACUGAGUAUAGGCCUCAUGAGCAACACCGGAUCUCACACCUAGAUGCUUCACACUCUUCCUUCGAACCUUGGACCAAGCAUCCAUGAAAGCUUUCCUUUGUCCGGUAGGAGCAUUCGCAUAGAAGAAGAACUCUGGAGAUGUAGCAAGAUUGAUGGGCUUCGACUUCAUAGGGAAACCAAACUGUCUCAUAGCAAGCUCGGGAUUGUAGUUAAUUCCUCCCCGAGUACCAAGAAGAGGUACAUUGAGAAAGUCUCCACAACCCAUAAUGAUUUCCUUCACUUGAGCGGCAGGAGUGAGCCAGACGACCUCAUUAGGAGUGAGGGCCAUAAUCCGCUGCGAGUAGGACCAGUUCUCCGAGUUAUCAUGGAAGGAACUCGGAAGGUGCGAAAUAAACCACCUAUACAAAAGAGAUGUGCAGCAAAGAAUAUACCCACGGCCCUUGAGAGUCCUGUCAUGAAUGGCGUGGUAAGUAUCCGCUAGCAAAGUAGGAACCGGGUUCUUGGAAUGAAAGAUCUCGAUAGCAUUCAUGUCCACGAAGUUGUCGAGGUUCGGAAAGAGAAUGAGCCCGUAGAUAAGCAAAGCAAGAAUAGCCUCAAGUGUAUCCUGACGAGUAGUACCGAGAUUAGCCUGAUCAAGAAGAUACUUCGAAGUAAACCCCCGGAUGUGAGACUUGGUAAUAAGAUGGUUGGAGACGUCGGAAGUCUUGAGGUAGAGAUCCUUAGCAAUAACCAGAGGAGUAAGAGGAGUCCCAGGACCGGUGAAAGGCGUCUUCUCGGCUAUAGGUAAACCCACUAGAUUGGAGUAAGCCUCAAGAGUAGGAACCAACUGGAAGUCCGGGAAAGUGAAGCAACGGAAGCUCGGAUCAUAAAAUUGCACCAGAGUGUGCACUAGCUUCUCGUCCACAUCGGUUCGGAGCAAAGUAAGCAAUCCCCCAUACCGGAGUCGGAACCCUGUUUGGCUCUUGACCUUGAGCGCCAACUCUCUCAAACUAACCAAAUCCACUUCCUUGAACUUGUAGCACUUAGUCUUCUUCAUACCUGUGAUUAUUUACAAAAAAUUUCCAUUUGUUUAAGUCCUUCGAUGAAUGCAUGAAAAAUGUUUAUGCAUGAAUGCAUGUAUGCAUGAUUGUGUUGUUUAGUUACAAUGUGGGUUGAGAUUCAAAGUAACAAGGCCACGGAUGGACACGGUGUCCGGUGAACUAAGGCUUUGGAUAGUAGUAACCAAGGUUCUAACACAGUUCCCAAACUGCAACCUCUCUCACAUAUAUCAUGGUAGUACAGGACGACACCCGUUCCAUGUUUAUUUGUGAGAAGGUCUAGCUUGAGUGUAGUAUCGCGUGACGACUAAAGUUUGAGACAACACUCAAUUUAGCCACCGCACUACGUCCUAAGAAGGCUAGGAUGGGUUUGGUAACUACGGUUCAUAGCUUCGUCGAACAAUUGAAAGUGAAGUGCCUAAGCAUGACAACACACGCCGACAAUACCACCUUCAAAAUGCCUCAGCUAUGUGAGAUUGAUCGCAUAAUCCAAUACACGAGGCAACCCCCGGAUCGAAUUGUCGAUUAUAUCUCUACCUAAACAUAAGUUCACUCAGCCCGGGUAUAGGACUUUUGAUAUUCUCACCCCACACGUCAAAUGAAAAUAAACAAGUAUUCACAUGUGUAGGCAAUAAAAUAAAGCAUAAAUAUACACUAAGGAAAACUAGGCGCGACCCGCUAAAAAGAAUUUCCCCAGUGAAGUCGCCAUUUCUGUUAUCAUGGUUUUUGGGUGCCAAGCCAUUAAUUGGACUUGUACCUUUCGACCGUUGAUAUCUCUAUUUUUUCUUGGGAAGGGCAAAAUUGAGAAAAAACCCUUAGAUUCUAAGUUCGGGGGUCGGUUUUACUACGGGAAGGUGUUAGGCACCCGGAGUAACUAUAGUCCUCUAUAGGAGCCGUUUUCCUAAGUCUAUAUUCACGCUUAUUUUUACUUACUUUUGAAGAUGGGAGGUUUAUUUAGUUAAGAAUGAGGGGAGAGAAGUUGUAAGACUUUUUAAUUUUAUUUCGGCUUGGAUGAGUUUUGACUCAUUGCCUACGUACCGUUUUACGGGAUCAAAACCGGCGUAGUUCUUGCUAAAAAAAAGACUUGUUUUUCUUUUGUUUUAAUUGUUUGAUUUUAAGUUUUAAAAAAAGGUUUUGAAGAAGGAGAUUGGGAGGCUUCAUGAGCAUUAGAUUUAGCAAAAAAGGUGAGGUUUGAUUAGUGAUUUAGAAAGAAAGUCUAAAUGAUUAAGAUGAAUUGAAUUUUUCUUAAGAAAAAAGAGAAAGGAAAAAAAAAAUGAAGUGUUGACUUCAUACUUAUUAUGAAAAUUUUUGAAGUGAAGUUCAAUUGCUUUUUUUGAAAAAAAGAUGGAUUUUCCCUAAGUGUUCAAACCUAAGCGCUUAUCUAACCAUACAAUCCUAUGCAUACAUCUAAGGUGAGUGUGUGCGUGUCGGUGCGUCAUAGUGUCCAUAGUCCAUAUUACAAAAAUUGCCUAAAUACAUUCUAUGGCCCCUUUGCCAAGCUACAAACCAAUGAUAACAAAUUACAUUACCAAAUGAAUUAAAACUUGCAAAAAAAACAAAUGCUAGGCUAAAAAGUGGAGGGAAUGCUGAGUUUUUAUGGAGAUUCUGUUAGGUUUCUUCGGAAACACUUGGAUUUGGCUUUUGCUUGUUGAUUUCUGGCUUUGAACCGAAAAUAAAUCGGUGAUUCUUCUUUUCUCACUGAUUCCGUUUCUUCAUCUUCUUCGCCGGCUUAAAACCUUGCUUCUUUCCCUUUUCUUCUCCUUUUUCAACGCCUCUGUGAUCGGUGUUGGAGUUCUUCGCCACUGGGGAAGAAUUCUCACCUUGAAUUGCAGAGGGAUCAACUCAGUGAUGAAGAUUCGCCAUUGAAUCUCUGAGAGUUUGAUGCAAAAAUCAAUGAAUUUGUGUAUGAAUUUUGGUUCUGGAAAUUUCUAGGGUUCUUGUGUUCUUGAUGAACUUGAUGAUUUUUCUGUUUCUGAUCUAACUGAAUGGAGAGAGAAAGUCUCAUUGUGUUUGUUGAGUUGGCGUGUGAUUAAUGGCUUUGAAUCUGACUCACUGUUUAUAUAGUUGACAUGUGUACACUUGAGCCAAUGAAAUUGUGACACGUACCCUGGACUUGCUCACUUGGGCGCUGCUUGCUAUUUUAAGGACCAAUCUGCAAAUUGUGAAAAUGACAAGGACUGGACUGCAAAAUUAAAAAAAACUUGAAAUGAAAUAAAUAAUAAAAAAACAGUUUGGACAAAAAUGCAAUUUUGGGACCUCAAUUGAGGGACCAAAAUGCAAUACAAAAUAAAAUUUGAAUAAAAAACGUAAUUUGACCAAACGUAAAGUGAAACAAAAAUAAAAUUGACAAAACGGACUAAAACGAACCAAUGGCCUAAAUGAGGUACUUCAAAGUAACCUCCCCAUGCCAAAAUUUCAUGUGAAAUGACCAAAAUGCCCCUAGGGCUAAAAAUGACCUAAACUGACUCAAACAGACUUGACACUGACUUAGAUGCAAGUUUGAAAUGAAUUUAAACAGGGUUUACUGACGAAAUGUCAAAAAAUGAAUUUGAAAAGACUCGGAGAUAGUCACAAGGAUAAAGAUGGGUCCCACUGCAGGAAAUGACCAAAAUACCCUUCUGUAUGACCUUUUGCAAAUUUUGAAAUAAACUGUAGAAAAAGCAAUGUAAUGAUUCAGAGGCACUUUUGAAUGACUUACAAGACAAGUAAAGACAUUUUGAAAGGUUUUAUGCAAGAAAAACAUAGGUAAAAUUGUGAUUGAAAAUACUGCGAAGCAGAGACAAUUUGAACUGUGCAGUUGAAAUUUGAUAAUUGACAAAGUUUAAAAUGAAAUUGGGCCCAGUAUUUUUAGGUCCAAAAACAGGGUAUAACACAUCCCAUUUAGCAUUCCCUCCACUUUCUUUAGCCUAGCCUUUAUCUUUUGCAAGUUUUAAUUCAUUUGGUAAUGUAAUUUGUUAUCAUUGGUUUGUAGCUUGGCAAAGGGGCCAUAGAAUGUAUUUAGGCAAUUUUUGUAAUAUGGACUAUGGACACUAUGAUGCACCGACACGCACACACUCACCUUAGAUGUAUGCAUAGGAUUGUAUGGUUAAAUAAGCGUUUAGGUUUUAAACACUUAGAGAAAAUCCAUCUUUUUUUCAAAAAAAAAUAAUUGAACUUCACUUCAAAAACUUUCCUAAUAAGUAUGAAGUCAACACUUCAUUUUUUUCCUUUCUUUUUUUCUUAAGAAAAAUUCAAUUCAUCUUAAUCAUUUAGACUUUCUUUCUAAUCACUAAUCAAACCUCACUUUUUGCUAAAUCUAAUGCUCAUGAAGCCUCCCAAUCUCCUUCUUCAAAACCUUUUUUCUCAAAACUUAAAAUUAAACAAUUAGAACAAAAAACAAGUCUUUUUAGCAAGAACUACGCCGGUUUUGAUCCCGUAAAACGGUACGUAGGCAAUGAGUCAAAACUCAUCCAAGCCGAAAUAAAAUCCAAUUCUACUUCUUCUCACCCCCAUUCUUCACUAAUCAUACUUUCUUUUUUACAAAUAAGCAAUAAAACUAAAGCGUAGAAAUAAACUUAGGAAAGCGGUUCUUAUGGAGUACCAUAAUCGCUCCGGGUGCCUAACACCUUCCCGUAGCGAAAACGACCCCCGAACUUAGAAUCUAAGGGUUUUUCUCAAUUUUGCCCUUCCCAAGAAAAAAUAGAGAAUAUCAACGGUCAAAAGGUUCAAGUCCAAUUAAUGGCUUGGCACCCAAAAACCAUGAUAACAAUAAGAAACUGAAAUAGUGUAUUUUGUUUAUAACCCUCCGUCCCAUAAAAACCGAGCCAUUUGCAAAAAAAUAUUGUCUCAGAAAAAUUGACUCAUUUCACUUUUCAAUACAAUAUUAAUUACUUUUUUUUUCCUUUCAAUUAUAACACUAAUUAAUAUUACUUUCACCACUCCCAAUUUAAUAUAUUCUAAUUUGCAUUUAUGAUAAAGAAGAAUGCACCAAUAGUUACUCAAAACCAUUUUUCUCUCUCUUUUUACUUAUACAUAUUUUCUUAAUAAGUGUGAAAUGAGCUAAGAGCUGAGCUCGAGCUCAGUUAAAAUGGGACGGAGGAGGAAUGUAAUUCAAAGUAACUCAAUUUUAUGCUAUUUAUUUAUUUAUGCUGAAGCCUCAUUAUAAUAGUAUAUAGUGAUAUGUGUGAGAAGCAUAGGAAAAGUACAUAUGGUGAUGAAUGAUGGAACAAGCUUAAAGUCAUAAUUAUUAUUGUUCAAUCAUAAAUAGAUGGUCCCCCAAUUAGAAAAGUAUUUAUGAUCCCCCAUUUUAAAAUGACCCUCGUCCUUUUUUAGAAUUUUAAUCUUAAUAAUGGUGAUAUAUCAUAAUUAAAUGGAUGCAUUUAGGAAGUUUAUAAAUAAUUUUAUAGGUAUUGAUGAUUUUACAUUAUCGGAUCGUAUGACACAUCAUUUAAAAUAUGUCAUGUUAUAGUUUUUUAGUUUAAAAAUAUGAAGAAAAAGAUAUGUCACGUCAGUACUUUUGAGUCCAAAAAUAUAAAAAUAGGCCAAAACGAAUUAUUCUAAAAUUUGGGACAAAUUUCAUGAAAAUAAAGACCUAGAGUGUAGUUAAGACUUAUAACUAUUUUAAACAUUCCUUAAAAAAACUAAUCUAUAAAAUGACAUACGAUUAAUUAUAAAUAUGAUUGACAUAUACUCUAAAAAAGGAAAUGUUUGCAUAUGGUAUUUUAAACACCGUUCUCGUGAACUUAACUCAAUUGAUACGGACAAUGCUUAAUAUGUGCAAGGUCUAGGGUUUUAACCUUGAUCACAAAAAAAACACCAAUAUUUUUUUUCGGGGAUAUUAAACACCAAUAUUCUUUGGAUACUUCUACCCUAAUAUCCAUUACUAAAGUAUUUUAAAUUAUUUAUUUAAUUUUUGUGUGGCUUUUGAUGGUCUAAUCCUAAUUUGUAGAGCAACAUGCAAAUAAUUGGACUAUAAAAGUUACGUGCACAAUUUUUCAUCAAGAAUUUUUUGGCAGCACGCAUUGAAAAUUUGUGUCUCAUUAAGAAUUUGUUAGCACUACGCAUGCAUAUUCUUUUGGGCCUGUCAUCCUGUGUAUUUUCAUUUUCAACAGUAAUUUGUCGGCACUACUAAGCAUCUAUAUCUAUCUUUGUUUUGAAACAGCAAAACUUAUAAAAAAAUCCACUCUUUAGACAAAAACGAACAAAUACCGACAAUUCAAAAACUACAAAAUAAAACGUCAUAUGUAGGCAGAACACAAAAAAAACACCAUAACAUAUCUCACCUCACCAAACAAAAACCUACGUUCAACCGCCAUAAGAAAACAAUCACCAAACCCAACUUCAUCACUCAAACCAAACUCCAUCGCAAACGACCACUGAAAACAAAAUCCAUAAACAUCCAUCGUCCGCUACUCACCCCAAUACCUCCAAAAACCAUCUUAAACAUCAUCAUCUUCUCAUCACCAUAACCUAGCCCAAUUUAACACCCGAAAAGUCCUAUUCCAACUCUCCUUCGGGUUCUACCACCCCUCAUCCCCUGGUCCACCAAAGAAAACAUCAUAAAUAUCCCAAAAUAAACUUGACUCACCGUAUAUUUAUAUCUAUAUCUAUAUCUAUAUCUAUCUAUAUAUCAAUUAAUUCAGGCUCUCAAGUUAUAUCUAUUAAUUUAGGCUCUCAAGUUAACCUCUUCACAACUCACCAUGUUAUAUAUAUCAUAUAGUCUAAUUUUGGCCACAUCAAAUAAAUUCUAAUGUGACAUCUUCCAAAACACACCAUUCCUUAUUCUCUCGUUGCCUUGCUUCAUAAUUUAUGUAUUAUUACAUCUCAUUCCCUUACGAAUUCACAAUUAAAUGACGUUUACUACAUGUCAUAACUCUCAUGUAAUAACGUCAAAUAAGAUGCAUGACCUUAAAUGUCAAAUCAUUAUUAUUAUUAUUAUGAGAGAAGAAGUGAAUGAAUAAUAUUCUCAUUAUUGAUCAAAUGAUAGAGGUUACAACUUAUAUAGUCAUGGUCUAGGAAUACAGUAAUACAAUAGUGGUAACAUCGAAUAUAAAAACUAAGAUAGCUAACUCUACUUGAUAAUAACUCUCAUGUAAUGUCAAAUAAGGUGCAUAACCUUACAUGUCAAAUCAUUAUCAAAUUUAUUACGAAAUUAAUCAAGAACCAAACCUUGAUCCAACAUGGAACUCAAUCAACAAUCAACCCACUUAUUUUGUCGUUAACAUGUUUGUAUGUUUUUUUCUUUUGUUCUCUUUGUAUCAUUUGAUUAUUACUUUAUUGUUUAGAUUCUUUAGAUUGAAUGUGUUUUUUCCUUCAUCUCCUAUGCAAUUAAUAUAUGGACAUGUUUUAAUUCGGUAAUAACGGUGUGCUCAUCAAAUUGGCAAAAUGUUUCCACAUAAAAAAAAAUAAAAAAAUAAAAAAUGUAGCGGUUCAUGUCUAAUAUGAAUCCGGUUAAUAAAAUAAUAUUUUUUUCUCUCCAAUUUUUGCUAAACAUAGGACACCAUUGUUAUUUUUUGCAUGUUAUUUUUUAAGCGACACGUUUUAUAGAUUUUUUUUAGGGAACAUUGUAUGGAAUUUUAGGAAAUGGAUCUCGCCAACUUAAUUUUUUUGUCAGGUUGUCUAGUGGUUCGAGUUCACACAUAUUAGAGAUAUAUAGUUUAGUUACAAGUAGUACUAGUCCUGGUAGUAUAUAUAGUUGUAACCACCUCAUAAGUGGGAUACUUUUCACUCAUUAGUAAUAUUUCAUUUCUAUCAAUACAAAGAGUUUGUUAGAUUUUGCUCCUUCGAUCUAUGGAUGCCAUGUUUCCUAACAACACAUUUUAAAUGUGGUGAAAUAGAGUAUCCGAGUUUAAACCCUAACCCCUACAUAUAUUAUGCGAUGUCCUUAUCAAUUAAGCUAUGUUCACCGGAAUAUUUCUUUCUGUUUUCACAUCUCAACCAUCAUAUAACCUCUCUCUCAAAUUCCAAUAUCAAUGUCAUCUCCUCUUUAUAAUUUAAUGGUCUAGAUUCCCACACUAAUUCUUCAACUUCUUUUUUACCAUGUAUCAUUUUUGUCACAUCACUUAUUUUUCAACAUGCAAGACUUUAUUCCAUUUUGCAUAUCCUACACUCCAUGUUUGUAAUUGCAGACGAUCUAAUUUCUCAUAAAUGAUCUCAACCUAGGAUCAUGGAUAUGGUCAAUAUCAUGGAUACCGCUAGAAAAUUCAUUUGUAGACCACAAAUGAAUUUUCUAACGGUAACCACAAAUGGAUUUAUGGUUAUAUAUAUAUAUAUAUAUAUAUAUAUAUGCGCGCACGCUGGGGGCCAUGAGUGAGAUGAGAACUGAGGGAGAAGGAUCCACAUAUGCAAUGGUUGCUAGUGAAAAUCCUUCCUUAUCUUAGUUUCAAAGGAUUUAUUCCAUUGCAUCUAUAUAGAAAAAGAGAAAAACUAAAAAUGUGUAGUUCUGUUAUUGAUCAAACAAAUAGCUAACUAAAACUAUAUUAACUAUACCCUCUAGAUGCAGACAAAUAGAAUGCUCAUAUACAUAUUCCCACCAAUAUUCUUCACUUCAAAUGAAUAUAACUAAAUGUGUCGGGGUCGUUUAGGUUUCAAAUAUCAACAUGUGUCGGACACUAAACACACAUCAAUUUGAAGUGUCAAUGCUACACACUUUAAAACCUUUGACCUAAGCAAGCUUACCAUGUCUAUUUUACAUUAAAACUGUUUUCCAUGCUAGAGUAAAACAUUUACUUAUGAUUUGUAUUUAAUUAGUUAGUUAUUCCUAACAAAACUAUAAAUCUUGUAGAAUAGAGAAGGAUGUUAGUUUAAACCUGUACACACGGCAAAAUGAUUGUUUUGCCUUAAUUUAUCCUUCACAUGAGAAUGGAAUUCAAGAUACUGUGGAAAAAACCUAACUCACCCAACUGCAAUUAUUCAAAGCUAUAAAAUUCAACUAAUAAAGAUUUAAAUACAUGCCAUAUAACUAUCUAAUUCAAUCCAUUUAAUAUUAGCAAUAACCACUAUUUUAUUUUAAGAAUUCUUGCACAAGAUAUGUUCAAUUCCAUCAUCAUAAACUGAUUACUUAUUAGCAUCAUCUCUUAAAUUCAAUGUAAUACUAAAUUGCAUAAAAAAAAGUCACUUAGGUUUGAUUUUGUUUAAGCAAAACCUCCUUAAUCACUUUUUCCAAAUUCAUGUAUGAACAACCACCAGGUCUCGUGUCCUCCUCCGCCUUCGUCUUCAUCUCAAUUAUCUUUUUCCACAUCUUCUUUCCUUUCUCCCCCUCCAUCAAUUCAUUGACCAAAUUCUCUACCUCAUCUCUCUUCACAUUGGUGUCAAUUUCCAUGCCAAUCUCCCAUGUAUUGCAAAUAUAUCUGCAGUUUGCUGGCUGAUCAGCAAAAAAUGGCCAACACAACAUUGGAACUCCAGCAGAUAUGCUUUCAGUGGUUGAGUUCCAUCCACAAUGAGUCAAGAAUCCACCAAUUGAAGGAUGGUUUAAUACUUGCUCUUGCGGGCACCAGCCCGCGAUUAGGCCUCUAUCUGAAAUUUCAUUGACAAACUCCGAUGACAAAACAACUGAGCCACCGAUGACAAGAUCGGGCCUAAUGAUCCACAAAAAGGGUUGCUUGCUAUUUGCUAAACCCCAUGCAAACUCUAACAGUUUUUCUGCCGUCAUAACUGUCAUGCUCCCAAAAUUCACAUAAACAACGGACCUCGGUUCCUUGGAUUCAAGCCAACCAAGACACUUGUUAUCUUCUUUCCAAAGAUUGGUACUUAAACUUGCCAAGUGAUUAUGUGGACUUUGACUUAAAAGUGAAGAUAAAGGGCCGAUACCACAAAUAUUUGGGAACGUCGAGGAGAGAACAUUCAUUACAUCCUUCUCAAGUUCACUAGAAGUAUUAAAAAUAAAAGCAGACGCUUUGUGAGCCCUUCCUGCUGCUUCAACGAUAAAUUCUACCAUCGAAUCAUUUGUAUCUGUAAUCCUUAUAAAGUCAGGCAGAUCCUUCAGUCGAAAGUUCUGCAAUCCUGGAAUACAAUCCACUUUAGUGUCCAAAUAUCCGUUUGUCAGAUAACUCUCAUCUACAUGUCAAAUUUAUAAAAGUUGUUAGCUGGAAAUAAAAUCUCCAUACUCCUAAUACAUGUCAUUUGAUUUUGAACACUUUAACUAUUCUACAUAUAUGAAGAAAGCAAGAAGAUUAAUUGUUACCUUUUAGUGGUAUGAGACCUUUAUCCAACAAUGUACUAAAAUGAAUAAAAGUCAAAAAUGUACAUGCAUUGGAUGGACUAAAGAAAACAGAAGGGAUUGAAAGUUCUUCAGAAGCUUGUAUGGUAAAAGACAUGCCAAUAUCAGAAACUAUGCAAGUAACUGGAGGGACAAGACCAGAUGUUGCAGAGUCAUUUAGUCUAGCAAGAAGUUCGCGGAAAGGUUGUAGGAAGUUCUUUCUGAUUGAUUUACAAAGAGCGUAAAUGUCUUGACUAACAUCGCCAUCACCAUCCGUUGGAGUUAAACCAUCCGGAAUAGUCUCAAAGCUAAAAUCAGUGAAACCAUCAAAGGCAUUUGGACCUCUUGACUUGAGCAACCGUUUGUGGUUGUAUUCAGUGUUUACAUAGGUUAUGUGAAAUCCUCUAAGGUGAAGAAGUUUUGCUAGUUUCAACAAUGGAUUGAUAUGGCCUUGAACUGGAUAUGGAAUUAACACAGCAUGUGGUUUUUUAUCACUCAUUUUUGAGUUUUUGUGUUUGAAUGUUGAGCUAAGGGAAGCCAAUGGUUUAAUAAAGAUAAAGCCAAUGUUUCUUGGAUUUGUGUAAAAGAAGAUAAGAGACAAAAGUCAAGGAAAGCAAACUCAAAUUCUAAGUAAUAUGUAACACAAUAAUUGAUACAUACUUAUCAAGUCACCACUUUUUGUUAUAGAAGGAAAACAAUUUUUCAUUAAAAAGUUUAUUGAACAAACUUAAGCAUGCCUUUUGGUUUGCGGUGGCGAGAAUUGAUUUGAAUGAAUUUGUUUGAUAAAAUUAGUAUCAGGUUAAAAGUGCGUUGAAUAUAAAAUAAUUUGUGUUUAUAUAAAUUUACGUAAAAUUGAUUUGAACUAUAAAUUGAAGACUAAAAAUCGAUUAUAAAAACAAAAUUUUGAUAUCUUAACUUUAAAUUACGAGCAAUUUGGAGACAAAAUCAAUUCUAUUUAAUUUGAGAACACAUAACCAUAGGGUCUGACUAGGCUUAUCUAAGAUCCCUAAUGUAACCAACUUGCAUCUAAUCAUAACUAACUUAUAACUAUCUUGAAAAAUAUCAAACUAAUUUUAACAAAUCUGAAACUAUAUCUAACACAUACUUGCAUGGAAUUGCAACCAUUCAGUAGAAAGAUAUUAUCAAACAAAAUCUUCAUAUGCUUUAGUCAAAAAAAAGGAAAAUCUUCAUAUGCUUGUGGACCAACUGAUCCAUACGUUUCAGUUUCAAAAUUGAACUAGAUGACACUUUUAUUCAAGUAAGUGUAAGAUAGUUCUGACAUCAAAGAUUUUUGUUGUACAAAGAAAAUAAUCAUGACCACUUAUUUAUUUUAUAAUAGUCUAUUGGCUAUUAUUUUCCAUGCUUGAAUCAGUCAGACAUUGGACAUCACAAAAAAAAAUUGUCCUUUUCAACAAAGGCUCAAGAUUAUCUCCAAAGUCACAAUUGCAUAAAAGCCAAAUUUACUUUUAUUGUGCAGAGAAAAGUGGAUGUAUAUUAUCAACACUGCCUUCCAUAAGGGCUUCGUGUCCUCUAAUUUUUUUUUUUACUAGUCUUUGUUAUGUCCUUUAUCAUGUCUAUGAGGUAUCAACUCAAUGGUAAGAGUUUGAGCUUUUAACCUCAAGGGAAAAAGUACAAUUCCCCUUAAUAACAGUGGUAAAAAUGCUCAUUGUUGUAACUUUAAUUAAUAAACCCUUAUAUUGACUAAUAGGAAUGUUAAAAUAUUUCUUGAAAUCUCAUGUUGAAAGUUUGUUCUUCUUUUCGGUUUGAUUAGUGUUCCCAUGCACUAGGCGCAGUUGUUUGUUGUUUUCAGCUUGUUGUAAUUUGUAGCUUGCGCAAGGCGAAGGAUAUAGCUGACUGAGGCGCAGGUGUGCAUCAAGAUCUAUAGAUAAGCAGGUUUUGCAUCAGUUUUCAGGGUAAAAAAGUGGGAAUUCUAAGGUAACAAAAGAGGGAAUUUGUAGGGUUAAAAGUUCACAUAUAUAGAUAAGAAUUUGUAGGGGACAUUGAUGAUUUCACACAAUUUGCAUUUGCAUCAUCGGUGAAUGUUUUUGAAUGUUCAUAGAGGAAAGAAACUUUGAAUUCAAAUGCUUUCAAAUCAAUCUAUGCAACAAGAAGCUGACAAAGUAGUGCAGAGAAAUUUUAUAAACGAGCUAAAGAAGAAUAUAAAUUUAAUAUUAUUAUGAUUUUGAAGUAUUGUCUUACUUCGAAGUAUGAACAGCAAUGUACCAUACUUAAGAACAUAGCAAGACCUAAAAUACAAAUGAUUUGUUCCUAACAAAACUAUAUAUAUUGUAUAAAAGUAACUUAUGUUUGAUUUUGUUUAAGCAACACCUCCUUAAUCACUUUCUCCAAGUUCAUGUAUGAACAACCUCCAGGUCUCGUGUACACCUCCGCCUUUUUCUUCAGCUCCAUGGCCUUUUGCCUCAUCUUCUUUCCUUUAUCUCAGGACAUCAAUUCAUUGACCAGUUUCUCCACGUCCUCCCUCUUUACAUUUGUAUCAAUUUCGUUUCCAAUCUUCCAUUCAUUGCAAAUAUAUCUUCAGUUUGCUGGCUGAUCUGCAAAAAAUGGCCAACACAACAUUGGAACUCCAGCACAUAUGCUUUCAGUGGUUGAGUUCCAUCCGCAAUGAGUCAAGAAUCCACCGACUGAUGGGUGGUUCAAUACUUUCUCUUGUGGACACCAACUUGCUAUUAGUCCUCUAUCUGAAAUUUCUUUCAAAAAUCAGAUGAGAAAACCACCGAGCCACCAAUGACAAGAUCAGGCCUAAUGAUCCAUAAAAAUGGUUUCUUGCUGUUGGCCAAACCCCAAGCAAACUCUAAGGCUUCUCUUGAGACUUAACAGUGAUGCUGCCAAAAUUUACAUAAACAACAGAUCCUGGUUCUUUUGAUUCAAGCCAUUCAAGACAUUUAGUAUCUUCUUUCCAAAGAUUACAGUCUAAAGAUGUCAAGUGAUUUUGUGGACUUUGAUUUACAAAAGAAGCUAAUGGACCAAUUGUGUAUAGAGAAGGGAACAUAGAAUAGAAAGCAUUCAUAACAUCACUCUCAAGUUCAUUAGAAGUAUUGAAUACCAUACCAGAAGCUCUAAGACAUUUAUCUGCCACUUCAGUGUUAAAUCUUAUCGUCAAGUCAUUAGGAUUUUUUGUCUUUAUUAACCUAGGAAGAUCCUUCAAUCUGAAGUUUUUCAAACCUGGGAUCCAGUCAACUUUCGUGUCCAGAUAUUCAUUUGUUAGAUCACUCUCAUCUGCAUGUCAUAAUUGCAAAAAUCAAUAGCUUAAAGUCAUAUGUAUAAAUAUAUAUCAUGGUUUAAAAUCACAUUAACAAUAAUAAUUUUGCCUGUGCUAUCAUAUUGAUAUUGCAUAUAAUCCCAAUCAAAUCUGGCUGAUGAAACCUCAAUUGUGAUUAUAGAGACAUCGCAACCUUGAUGUUCGGCCCAUAUUGUGACCGCAAAGCUUUUUUAAAAACCAUAACAUACACACAAAAACACACACAGAUCUCCUAAAAAGAAAAAGGGAACAGAAAUGAUUACCUUUGAAUGGUAGUUGACUAUUCUGAUACAUUUUAGGACUGAGCAAACAAGCCAAGAAAUAACAUGCUCUACUUGGGGAAAAAAGAACAACUGGGAGUGCAUGUUCUUCAGCAGCAGCUACUGUAAAUGGCAUGUAGCAAUCAGAAACUAAGCAAGUGACUGGGGGGAUAAGACCAGCAGUGGCAGAGUCUUGAAGUUUAGCAAGAAGUUCAUCAAAGAAGUGGUGAAAGUUCGUUAUGAUUGAUUCACCAAGAGAGUGUAGGUCUUGACUAAUAUCACCAUCACCAUCCUUUGGAGUUAAACCAUCUGGUAUAGUCUCAAAGUUAAAGUCAGUGAAACCAUCAAAGGCAUUUUCACCUCUUGAUUUAGCAAACGUUUGUGAUUGUAUUCAGUGUUAACAAAGGUUUAUGUGAAAGCCUCUUAGGUGAAGCAGUUUUGCUAUUUUCAACAAUGCAUUGAUAUGACCUUGAACUGGAAAUGGAGUUAAUUAACACUGCAUGUGGCCUUUUCUCUUCAAAGUUGGUCAUGUUUGAUAUUUUUCUUAUGUAAGAAAACAGAGAAAAAACUGAGGUGAAAAAUCUAUGAGGCCUCUAUAACAAUGAGUAAGUUUUGUUACAUAUCUAUUAUCUAUUAUAUAGUAUAAAAAAAUUCUUAAGAAUAGAAAAACCAUUUUUUUUUAAUAAUUCAAUUACUGUCUAAUUCAUGUUUAUCUAAUUUUUAGUAUUUUAAUAAUUGAGAAGAUAAUAAUAUUUUUUUUAAUGUUGACGUUCCGAUUUUUAGAGAAAAUGGGUUCUGAUAAUUUGGAGUUCGGUCGUGAGGUAAACAUCACCUUACCAAGAAUUGAGAAGAGAAUAAAAUAAAAUAUAAUAACAUGAAUCUAACUGAAAAAUGAGGAGAUUGAAACUCCGAAAGCAACGUCUGCAUGUUGAAAGGAGACCACUUUCUAUACACACACAAUGGUGUUCAGACGGGUACAGACUUGCCAAUCUAUUUAUUAUGACCAACUAAACAAACAUACGAUUUUUAAACGUUAUCUAUGCGGACAGACUCUGGACCAUUGUUCAAGUCACAUGACUUUUAAACGUUAUCAAUUUGGUGCGCUUUUAAUCGAUUUUGAGGCUAAAAGACAUCCCAAUCGUAAGAUAAAAGAGUAUUUAGUUUGGUUUGGUUCAGUUGAUUUUUAAAAUAAAAUUUAAACCAAACCAAACCAAUAUGAUUUGAGUUGUAUUGGUUGAUGCGGUUUUUUUGAGACAAUACAAUUUUUUGUUUCCAACAUUAAAAUCGAGUUAAAAAGCUAUAACACAACAUAUUUUCAAUAAUGUUUGAAACAAUGUUUUCAAUUUCAUCCAACAUUACAAUUUUAUUUUCACAAAACAAAAUAGACGAAAUUUAAAAUGUGGACAAAAAGUAAUCCUAUUAUUUAAUAAAUGUAAAAGAUUAAGAUUUAUUAUUCUUAAAAUUUUAUUUUAUAAUUUUUUUAAUUUUUGAAAUAGAAAGCAAAGAAGAAACUUAACGUACAAGGGAAAAAAAUAUGCCGUUUUAUAAAAGUUUUUAUUGAGUUUCUAUGAGUAUUGGUGUAGGUGACAUAGGUUUAAUUUGGUUAGGUGACAUAGUUUCUAUGAGUAUGUCGUUUUACAAAAUAGUUUUUUUGCAUUUUUUGGUAUAUAAGAAGAAACAUAAACUAGUAUACAUAUGAUUUUUUGACAAAAUGGAUCCUUCACAUGAUAAUGGAAUUCAAGAUACUGUGAAAGAAUUCUUAUUCACCCAACUUAACAUAUUUAAACUUGUAGGAUUUAUAUUAUAAAGUUAAUAUACAUGCCAUAUAAUUAUCCAAUAUGCAUAUAUUCAAAACACUUAAAAUUAGCAAGAAUCACUAUUUAAGUUCAGGAACUCUUGCUGAAGAUGACUUCACUUACAUCAGAACUUAAAUUCAAUAGGGGAAGAUCAAUUAAUUAUCGUUGAACUGAAUUGCAUAAAAAAGUUACUUAAAUUGAUUUUGUUUAAGCAAAACCUCCUUGAUCACUUUGUCCAAGUUCAUGUAUGAACAACCUCCAGCUCUCGUGUUUUCCUCCACUUUCUUCUUCAACUCAAUUGCCUUUUGCCGCAUCUUCUUUCCUUUCUCUCCUGACAUCAAUUCAUUGACAAGUUUCUCCACCUCUUCUCUCUUUACAUUCGUAUCGAUUUCCAUCCCAAUCUCCCAUUCAUUGUAAAUAAGUCUACAGUUUGUUGGCUGAUCACCAAAGAAUGGCCAACACAACAUUGGAACUCCAGCACAUAUGCUUUCAGUGGUUGAGUUCCAUCCGCAAUGAGUCAAGAAUCCGCCAAUUGAAGGGUGGUUCAAUACUUUCUCCUGUGGACACCAACUUGCAAUUAAGCCUCUAUCUGAAAUUUCAUUCACAAACUCAGAUGACAAAACGACUGAGCCACCAAUGACAAGGUCAGGCCUAAUGAUCCACAAAAAGGGUUUAUUGCAAUUGGCCAACCCCCAAGCAAAUUCCAACAGUUGUUUUGGUGUCAUAACUGUAAUGCUUCCAAAAUUCACAUAAACAACGGAUCCCGGCUCCUUGGAUUCAAGCCAUUCAAGACACUUAGUAUCUUCUUUCCAAAGGUUGGAACCUAAAGAAUCCAAUUGAUGAAUUUGUGGAGUUUGGUUUAAUAAUGAAGGUAAAGGGCCAAUGGGGUAAAGAGAAGGAAACAUAGAGGAGAGAGCAUUUAUUACAUCACUCUAAAGUUCAUGGAAAGUAUUCAAAACAAUUGUAGAGUCUCCAAGAACUUUAUCAGCCGCAUCAAUUACAAAGUCUAACAUAAUAUCAUUUGGAUCUGUUGUCCUGAUACUGUCAAAGAUAUCCUUUAACCGAAAGUUUUUCAAACCUGGAAUCCAAUCUACAUUAGUUUCCAAAUAUCCAUUUGUUAGAUAGCUCUGAUCUGCAUAUCAAAUGUAUCAGUUAAUAUCUUGAAGGUUAUACAUACAUCCGUACAUACAUGAGUAUUUUGUUUUCGACAAAAACAUACAUAUAUAAUAAGGUAUUAUAAAUUGAAUAAAAGUCAUUUAUUGAUGUAUAAAUUUUAAUUUUGAAGUUUUAUGAAAUUUGUGGAGUUCCUCUAUUCAAUAAGAGUUUUUAAUUUGAUGGUUGCUUUAUUGAAAUUUAGUGUCUACAUUGAGUUUUAUAUUAACUGAAACUAUAUCAAGUGUUACUCUUGGAGUAAGUUGAUUAUCUCGCACACGACCAUUUAUAUAGAUUUAAUUCAUAUAUAGAGUCAAAGUAAAAGUUUUUUACACCGUCAAUAAAUCAUAAGUGUCAGAAUAGUGUAGCAAAAUUAAUAUUAAUCUCUCUAUAAAUAUAUACUUUAUGAAGAAAAAAACUUAACUUAGUACCUUUGAGUGGCGUGAGACCUUUUUCUACAAAGGAACGUAAGUGGUGAAUACUCAGUAACAAACUUGCACUGGAUGGAAAGAAGAUAACAAUUGGUAGUGCAAAUUCUUCAGCAGCUUGUAUAGUAAAGCUCAUAAAAUAAUCAGAAACUAAGCAAGUAACUGGUGGAACAUUGGCAGAGUCAUUAAGUCUUGUAAGAAGUUCACAAAAAGGUUUAAGGAAAUUUUUUCUUAUAGAUUGAGCAAGAGAAGGUACAUCUUGACUAACAUCACCAUCACCUUCUAUCGGUGUUAGACCAUCUGGUAUGGUUUCAAAGCAAAAACCACGGGAACCAUCUAAGGCAUUUGGACCUCUUGAUUUUAGCAAUCGUUUAUGAUUGUAUUCAGUGUUGACAAAGGUUAUAUGAAAUCCUCUAAGGUGAAGAAGUUUUGCAAGUUUGAACAAUGGAUUUAUAUGUCCUUGAAAUGGAGCUGGAAUCAACACAGCAUGUGGUUUUCUGUUUGCAAAACUUCCCAUCUUUGAAAUUUUUCUGUUUGUAUGUUAUUUGUGCAAGAUAUGAGGUUGAAAAACAAGUGAUAGGCAUGUGCUUUUAUAGAGAGAAAAAAGGACAAUGCUACAAAAUUGAAAAAUAUAAAGAAAUCCAAACAGAUAAAUUCUGGGAGGUUCUAACAAAAGGAAAUAAGUUCAUUGUAUGAAAAGACAGACACAUAAAAAGACACCAAAAAUGACACUGACACGUUAACGUCAAUGAUAAUUUGAGAAAUAAAUUAAUUCAAUGUAAUUACAAUGUGUCUGACAUAAAAUUGAAAUCUUAUACAGGUAUGUUCUUGUAAACUUUCCUAUAUGACUCAUUAUAUUGAUUGAAUAUGUUUGUUGGUAUUUGGUUUAACCAAUCAAUGUGGCAUUAACAAUUCAACUGUUACUUGUUACUUAGAUGUCGUUUGAGAUUUAUUUGGGAAUUGAUAAAAUAGAAAAGUUGAGAAAAACUUUAUAUUGUGAUCCUAAAAUCACUAAUAUAACCAAAUUGAAUCUAACCAUAUCUAACUAUCUUCCAAAAUAUUAAACUAAUUUUAACAAAUCUGAAACUACAUCUAACACAUACUUGCAUGGAAUUGCAACCAUUCAGUAGAAAGAUAUUAUCAAACAAAAUCUUCAUAUGCUUGUGGACCAACUCUAUACGUUUCAGUUUCAAAAUUGAACUAGAAGGCACUUCUAUUCAAGUAAGUAUAAGAUAGUUCUGACAUCAAAGAUUUUUGUUGUACAAAGAAAAUAAUUAUGUCCACUUAUUUAUUUUAUAAUAGUCUAUUGGCUAUUAUUUUCCAUGCUUGAAUCAGUCAGACAUUAGACAUCACAAAAAAAAUAUUAGUCCCUUUCAACAAGGGCUCAUGAUUAUCUCCAAAAGUUACAAUUGCAUAAAAGUCAAAUUCACUUUUAUUGUGCAGAAUAGUGACUAGUGGAUAUGUUGUCUUCAUUAUCAAUGGUACCUUCCAUAAGGGCUUUGUGUCCUCUAAUUUUUUUACUAGUCUUUAUUUAUGCAUGUAUUAUAAUCCUUUAUCAUGUCUAUGAGAUAUGGGCUCAAUGGUAAAAAUUUCAGCCAGUAAUCUCAAAGGACAAAGUUCAAACUCCCUUGAUAACAGUGGUAAAAUGGUCAUUGUUGUAACUUUAAUUAAUAAUUCUUAUUUUCACUAAUAAGAAUGUUAAAAUAUGUCUUGAAAUCUCAUGUUAAAAGUUUUUUUUCUUUUCGGUUUGAUUAUUGUCCCCAUGCGCUGGGCGAAGCUGUUUGCUGUUUUCAUCAUGUUGCUAUUUUGUUGCUUGGAUGAGGCGAUAUAGCUAAAUGAGUCAUAGGUGUGCGUCAAGAUCUAUAGAUAAGCAAUUUUUGCAUCAGUUUUCAGGGUGAAAAUGUGUGAAUUUUAGGGUUACAAAAGAGGGAAUUUUUAGGGUUAAAAGUUGAGAGCUUUUGGAAAAAUUAUAGGAUUAGGAAACAUUUUUGUACAUCUUGGAAAUAAAGCAUCGAGUCUUUUGUCCAUCGGAAGAGAAUUGGGAAAAUUGUAACCCUUGUAUUUCUUUGUAAGAAACUCUUUGUUAGUGGUAAGCCAGAUUUGGGUCGAACUGGAUAACUUUGUUUUGGUUGUUGCUAAUAUUUCUCCACACUUCAAAGUAUUGAUGUGAGUUUUUACAAAUUCACAACAACUGGAACCCACCGUGGGAGAAAUAAGAGGUAACUUUUUCAAGUGUGCAACAUGGGUACCAACUGGGAUAUCAAUAAAUUUAUCGGAGACAACGAUUUGGGGCUGUGAAAAGUGAAGAUGAAAGAUGUGUUGAUUCAACAAAAGUUUGCAGAAGCACUGAAGGAUGAGGUUGCUCUCCCAGCUACCAUGUUACAAGCAAACAAGACCGAGAUGGUGGACAAGGCCAUGAGUGUCAUUGUCUUGUGCCACACUGAUAAAGGUUUUAGAGAAAUCGUAAAGGAGCAAUUGACGAGUCCUACAAAAUCCUUGAUGAUUUGACAACUAUUAAAGUGGAUAUUGAGGAUGAAGACACGGAUAUACUCUUAUUAUUAUGAGCAUUAGCUAGAUCCUUUGAGAACUUCAAGGAUACUAUGCUUUAUGGUAAAGAAGUCAUUGUCACUUCGAGGAAGUCCAAGAGGCACAUAACCAAGUCCAAGAACUUGAAAGUUGAUGAUAGUGGUGAAGACAUGAGUGUCUAAAGAGGAAGACGUAUAAGUUGAUGAAAUCGAGGAAGCUCAAUUGAUGGUGCAAGUUGAAGUACAAAUACUCCAAGUGUCAAACGACCGGUCACUUCAAUAAGGACAUUCCCAAGUUAGAGGACAUUAAUGAUUCCGCACAAUUUGCAUUUGCAACAUCAGUGAAUGUUUUUGAAUGUUCACGGAAAGAACCUUUAAUUUCAAAUCAAUCUAUGCAACAAGAAGCUGAUAGUGUAGUGCAGAGAAGUAUGCUUUUGAAGUAUGAUUUCCAAGACAUCCUUAAUCACUUUGUCCAAGUUCAUGUAUGAAGAAUCACCAGGUCUUGUGUCCUUCUCUGCCUUCUUCUUCUUCAACUCCACGGCCUUUUGCCUCAUCUUUUUUCCUUUCUGUCCCACCAUUAAUUCAUUCAUCAGCUUCUCCACCUCCUCUCUCUUCACAUUUGUAUCAAUUUCGAUUCCGAUCUCCAACUUAUUACAAAUAUAUCUGCAGUAUGUUGGCUGCUCAGAAAAAAAAGGCCAACAUAACAUUGGUACUCUGGCACAAAUGCUUUCCAAUGUGGAGUUCCAUCCACAAUGAGUCAAGAAUCGUCCAACUGAAGGGUGGUUCAACACUUGCUCUUGCGGACACCAGCUUGCUAUUUGGCCUCUAUCCGAAGUUCCAUUCACAAACUCGGAUGACAAAAUAACUGAGCCACCAAUGACAAGCUAAGGCCUAAUGAUCCACAAAAAAGGUUUCUUGCUGUUGGCAAAACCUCAAGAGAACUCUAACUGCUCUGGAGUCAUAACCAUAGUGCUUCCAAAAUUCACAUAAACUACAGAACCUUGUUCCUUAGAUUCAAGACAUUUCAUAUCUUCUUUCCAAAGAUUGGAACCUAAAGAAGCCAAGUGCUUUUGGGGAUUUUGAUUCAAAAACGAAGAUAAAGGGCCAAUGGCGUAAAUAGAAGGGAUCUUAAUAGAUAGAGCCUUUACUACAUCACUCUCAAGUUCAUUAUAAGUAUUGAAAACAAUAGCGUUAGCUUCAUGAACCAUAUCGUCCGCUUCAAUGAUAAAAUUUAUCAUUAGGAUCAGUAGUUCUUAUAAAAUCAAGCAGGUCCUUUAGUCUAAUGUUUCGCAAACCUGGAAUCCAGUCAACUUUAGUGACCAAAUAUCCAUUUGUCAGAUAACUCAUCUGCAUAUUAUAAUCACAAAAUCCAUUAGCUUAAAGUUAAAACUCUGAACCCCUAAUAUAUAUCAUAUUAAUUCUAAUACUACAUUCUAUGUUGUAUACAUACUCUCAGUUUCUCCAAAGGAAGAACUUCCAUAGUAAAACUAAACUAUAGUAAUGAAACUCUUCACUUCUGCAUAAUAGUCCUACACUAUCGAUAAAGAAAGAACAUAAAUGAUUACCUUUGAGGGGUAUGACACCUUUAUCAAUAAAUGUACGAAAGAGCAAAGCACACAAAAGUGAGGAUGCACUAGCAGGAAUAAUUCAAUAUCAGAAACUAAGCAACUAACAGGAGGAAUAAGAUCAUCAUUGGAAGAAUCUUUUAAGUUUAGCAAGAAGUUCACAAAAAGGGUGAUAGAAAUUCUUUCUUAUUGAAUCAUCAAGAGAGACAAUUUCUUGACUAAUAUCACCAUAACCUUCUGUCGGAGUUAAACCAUCUGGAAUAGUCUCAAAGGUAAAAUCAGUGAAACCAUCAAAGGCUUUUGGACCUCUUGAUUUGAGCAAAUGUUUGUGAUUUCGGUGUUGACAAAGGUUAUGUGAAAGCCUCUAAGGUGAAGAAGUUUUGCUAGUUUCAAUAAUGGAUUGAUAUGGCCUUGAAGUGGAUAUGGAGUUAUGCUUACUGAUAUGAGUGAGAAGCAUAAGAAAAUCAUAAAUAUAUUUGACUUUAAUAGGUCCCCCAAAUCAUUGGAAUAUAAAAGUUAGGUGCACAAUUUUUCAUCAAGAAUUUGUUUGCAGCACGCAUUGGAAGUUUGUUUAUUUUUAUUCUCAUUAAGAAUUUGUUGGCACUGCACAUGCAUAUACAAUUGUUUCUUGGUUGAAAAAUAAUAUAUUUUUCAUGGUUUAUACUAUUUCAAUUCUUUUCUUGUUGAUAGUUGAAAUGGCAAGAAUCGUUGAAAACUCGCACACAUAAGUGGAGAAGUUUGGAUUCGAAACCCCAGUUACGGAGUUGGCCUAACAAUUUUGUUCUUUAUUGUCUAUUAAGCUAGAACUUGUCGACAUUUAUUUCCUGUUUUUUAUCAGACCAUACAUGUGAAUUUGAAUUGCAUGCAAGCACAAUUUCCACGCGAUCAGAAUUAAUUCAAUCAACAGCUCGGAGUCAUUUCAUCAAAUAUUCGACGUCUCUUAUUGUAGGAUAUGUGAAUCCAUUUUAAAAGCAAACUUAAAAUUGGAGUCGUCCAAUGUUAAUCUAAUAUCUCCGAGCUGCGCUGGCUGAACAAGUGCCUAAAAUUGUGAUUGUAGACAAAGGUUGCUAGUAAAAAUACUUCCUUAUCUUAGUUUUAAACGAUUCAUUAUAUUGCAUCUAAAUAGAAAAUAGAGAAAAACAUAAAAUUUAUAGUUCUGUUAUUGAUGAAAUGAUUUCCUAAAAGAAAAAAGCUUUGAAACUAUAACCUCUACGUACCGAGAAAUAGAAUGCUCAUAUACAUAUUCCCACCAAUAUUUUUCACUUCAAAUGAAUGUAACUAAAUGUAUCGGGGUCGUUUAGGUGUCAAAUAUCAACAUGUGAAGUGUCAAUGCUACACACUUUAAAACCUUCAACCUAAGUAAGCUUACCAUGUCUAUUUUAUUUUAAAACUGAUUUCUAUUUUAGAGUAAAAUAUUUACUUAUGACUUGUAUUUAAUUAGUUAAUCCUGAUAAAACUAUAAAUCUUGUAUAGAACGAUAGAACGAUAUUAAUUUAAACCUGUACACACAGAAAAAUGAUUGGUUUGCCUUAAUUUAUCCUAUACAUGAUAAUGGAAUUCAACAUAGUGUGCAAAAGCCUUACCUACCCCAUAUAAUUAUCCAAUUCAAUACAUUUAAUAUUAGCAAGAAGCACUAUUUUAGUUUAAGAAUUCUUGCACAAGAUAUGUUCGAUACAGUCAUCAUGAACUCAUUACUUAUUCACUACAAUAGCCUCAUCCCUUAAAUUCAAUAGCAGAAGAUCAAUGGAUCAAUAUAAUACUACAUUGCAUUAAAAACGUCACUUAGGUGUGAUUUUAUUUAAGCAAAACCUCCUUAAUCACUUUUUCCAAGUUCAUGUAUGAACAACCACCAGGUCUCGUGUCCUCCUCCGCCUUCUUCUUCAUCUCCAUUAUAUUUUUCCUCAUCUUCUUUCCUUUAUCUCCCACCAUCAAUUCAUUGACCAAAUUCUCCACCUCAUUUCUCUUCACAUUAGUAUCGAUUUCGAUUCCAAUCUCCCAUGUAUUGCAGAUAUAUCUACAGUUUGCUGGCUGAUCAGCAAAAAAUGGCUAACACAACAUUGGAACUCCAGUAGAUAUGCUUUCGGUCGUUGAGUUCCAUCCACAGUGAGUCAAGAAACCACCAAUUGAAGGAUGGUUCAAUACUUUCUCUUGCGAGCACCAACCAGCAAUUAGGCCUCUAUCUGAAAUUUCAUUCACAAACUCCGAUGACAAAACAACUGAGCCACCAAUGACAAGAUCGGGCCUAAUGAUCCACAAAAAGAGUUGCUUGCUAUUUGCUAAACCCCAUGCAAACUCUAACAGUUUUUCUGAAGUCAUAACUGUCCUGCUCCCAAAAUUCACAUAAACAACGGACCUCGGUUCCUUUGAUUCAAGCCAAUCAAGACACUUGUUAUCUUCUUUCCAAAGAUUGGUACUUAAACUUGCCAAGUGAUUCUGUGGACUUUGACUUAAAAGUGAAGAUAAAGGGCCAAUAGCAUAAACAUUAGGGAACGUCGAAGAGAUAACUUUCAUUACAUCCUUCUCAAGUUCAUUAGAAGUAUUAAAAAUAAAAGCAGAGGCUCUGUGAGCCCUUCCUGCUGCUUCAAUGAUAAAUUCUACCAUCGAAUCAUUUGGAUCAGUAAUCUGUAUAAAGGCAGGCAAAUCCCUCAGUCGAAAGUUCUUCAGUCCUGGCAUACAGUCCACUUUAGUGUCCAAAUAUCCGUUUGUCAGAUAACUCUCAUCUGCAUAUCAAAUUUACAAAAGUUGUUAGUGUGAAAUUGAAUCUCCAUACUCCAAAUAUAUGUCAUAUGAACACUUUAACUACUCUACACAUAUGAAGAAAGAAAGAAGAUUAAUUGUUACCUUUUAGUGGUAUGAGACCUUUAUCUAGAAAUGUACGUAAAUGAAUACCAGUCAGAAAUGUACAUGCAUUGGAUGGACUAAAGACAACAUUAGGGAUUGAAAGUUCUUCAGCAGCUUGUAUAGUAAAGGACAUGCUAAUAUCAGAAACUAUGCAACUAACUGGACGGACAAGACCAGAUGUUGCAGAGUCAUUAAGUCUAGCAAGAAGUUCGCGGAAAGGUUGUAGAAAAUUCUUCCUGAUUGAUUUACAAAGAGCGUAAAUGUCUUGACUAACAUCGCCAUCGCCAUCCGUUGGAGAUAAACCAUCUGGAAUACUCUCAAAGUUAAAAUUGGUGAAACCAUCAAAGGCAUUUUGACCUCUUGACUUGAGCAACCGUUUGUGAUUGUAUUCAGUGUUUACAUAGGUUAUGUGAAAACCUCUAAGGUGAAGAAAUUUUGCUAGUUGCAACAAUGGAUUGAUAUGGCCUUGAACUGGAUAUGGGAUUAACACAGCAUGUGGUUUUUUAUCACUCAUUAUUGAGUUUUUGUGUUUGAAUGUUGAGCUAAGGAAACCAAUGUUUUAAUAAAGAUAAAUCCAAUGUUUCUUGGAUUUGUGGAAAAGAAGAUAGAGACAAAAGACAAGGAAAGCAAAAUCAAAUUUAAAGGGUGAGAUCUUUUUCUUAUAAUAUGAAAUAAUUCUAAGUGACACAAUAAUUGAUGCAUACUAGUCAAGUCACCACUUUUUGUUACGUGAGAGAAGGAAAACAAUUUUUCAUUAAAAAGUUUAUAGCACAAACUUAAGAAUGCCUUUAGUAUGCGGUGGUCAGAAUUGAUUUAAAUAAAUUUGUUUGUUAAAAUUAGUUUUUGUUAAAAAGGGCGUUGGAUAUAAAAUUAUUUAUACUUAUAUAUAUUUACGUAAAUUUGAGUUGAGCAAAAAAUUAAAGACUUAAAAUCAAAGACUAAAAAUUGAAGACUUAUCUAACUUAAAUACUAUUAGUUAGACAUCGUUUGGGAUUUAUUUUGGAAUUGAUAGAAUAAUAAAGUUGAGAAACACUGUAUAUUGUGAUCCUAAGAUCACUAAUAUAACCAACCUUGCAUCUAAUCAUAACUAACUUUUUUUUAUAAGCAAUAAUCAUAACUAACUUAUAACUAUCUUAAACAAUACUAAACUAAUUUCAACAAAUAUGAAACUAUAUCUAACACAUACUUGCAUGGAAUUGCAACCAUUCAGUAGAAAGAUAUUAUCAAACAAAAUCUUCAUAUGCUUGUGGACCAACUCUAUACGUUUCAGUUUCAAAAUUGAACUAGAAGACACUUCUAUUCAAGUAUAAGAUAUAUAGUUCUGACAUCAAAGAUUUUUGUUGUACAAAGAAAAUAAUUAUGACCACUUAUUUAUUUUAUAAUAGUCUAUUGGCUAUUAUUUUCCAUGCUUGAAUCAGUCAGACAUUGGACAUCACAAAAAUAUUUGUCCCUUUCAACAAGAGCUCAAGAUUAUCUACAAAGUCUCAAUUCCAUAAAAGCCAAAUUCAUUUUUAUAUGUUGUCCCUUUACACAUGAAUUAUAAUCCUUUAUCACGCUACAACGUAUCAGCUCAAUGGUAAGAGUUUGAGCUUGUAAUCUCAAAGGACAAAGUUUAAAUUCCCUUAAUAACAAUGGUAAAAUGCUCAUUGUUGUAACUUUAAUUAAUAAACACUUAUUUUGACUAAUAGGAAUGUUAAAAUAUGUCUUGAAAUCUCAUGUUGAAAGUUUUUUUACUUUACUAUUGCCCCCAUGCGCUAGGCGCAGUUGUUUGUUGUUUUUAGCAUGUUUCUAUUUUGUAGCUUGCAUGAGGCGAAGGGUAUAGCUGAUUUAGCAGGUGUGCGUCAUGAUCUAUAUUAGUUAGGGGACAUUGAUGAUUCCACACAAUUGGCAUUUGCAAACAUCAAUGAAUGUUUUUGAAUGUUUAAAUAAGAAAGAACCUUUGAAUUCAAAUGCUUUCAAAUCAAUCUAUGCAACCAGAAGCUGACAAUGUAGUGCAGAGAAAUUUUAUAAAAGAUCAAAAGAAGAAUAUAAAUAUAAUAUUAAUAUGAUUUUCAACUAUUGUCUUACUUUGAUUCAGGUGAAUUCAAUCAAUCAAAAUUUGAAGGGGAAAAAUAAAGGUAUGUGAUCUUUAUUUAUGAAGAAUGAACUUGAUGAACAAGAAUGCAUCAUUACAAUGUUUCUGACUAAAUUGUUGAUGUUCAUACUUAAGAACAUAGGAAGACCUAAAAUAUGAAUUAUUUGUUCCUAACAAAACUAUAUAUAUUGUAUAAAAGUGACUUAAGCUUGAUUUUGUUUAAGCAACACCUCCUUAAUCACUUUCUCCAAGUUUGUGUAUGAACAACCUCCAGGUCUCGUGUCCACCUCCACCUUCUUCUUCAGCUCAAUGGCUUUUUGCCUCAUCUUCUUUCCUUUAUCUCCGGACAUCAAUUCAUUGACCAGUUUCUCCACCUCCUCCCUCUUUACAUUAGUAUCGAUUUCCUUUCCAAUCUCCCAUUCAUUGCAAAUAUAUCUGCAGUUUGCUGGCUGAUCCGAAAAAAAUGGCCAACAUAACAUUGGAACUCCAGCACAUAUGCUUUCAGUGGUUGAGUUCCAUCCGCAAUGAGUCAAGAAUCCACCGACUGAAAGGUGGUUCAAUACUUUCUCUUGUGGACACCAACUUGCUAUUAGUCCUCUAUCUGAAAUUUCUUUCAAAAAAUCAGAUGAGAAAACCACCGAGCCACCAAUGACAAGAUCAGGCCUAAUGAUCCACAAAAAGGGUUUUUUGCUGUUGGCCAAACCCCAAGCAAACUCUACGAGCUUCUCUCGAGACAUAACAGUGAUGCUGCCAAAAUUUACAUAAACAACAGAUCUUGGUUCUUUUGAUUCAAUCCAUUCAAGACAUUUAGUAUCUUCUUUCCAAAGAUUAGAGUCUAAAGAUGUCAAGUCAUUUUGUGGACUUUGAUUUACAAAAGAAGCUAAUGGACCAAUUGUGUAUAGAGAAGGGAACAUAGAAUAGAAAGCAUUCAUAACAUCACUCUCAAGUUCAUUAGAAGUAUUGAAUACCAUACCAGAAGCUCUAUGACAUUUAUCUGCCACUUCAGUAUUAAAUCUUAUCGUCAAGUCAUUAGGAUUUUUUGUCUUUAUUAACCUAGGAAGAUCCUUCAAUCUGAAGUUUUUCAAACCUGGGAUCCAGUCAAUUUUUGUGUCCAAAUAUUCAUUUGUUAGAUCACUCUCAUCUGCAUGUCAUAAUUGCAAAAAUCAAUAGCAAGUCAUAUGUAUAAAUAUAUAUAUCAAGGUUUAAAAUCACAUUUGCAAUAAUAAUUUUGGUUGUGUUAUCCUACUGAUAUUGCAUAUAAUCCCAAUCAAAUGUGGUUGAUGCAACCUCAAUUGCGAUUAUAGAGAUAUCGCAACCUUGAUGUUCGGCCCAUAUUGUGACCGCAAACCUUUUUUAAAAACCAUAACAUACACACACAGAUCUCUUAAGAAGAAAAAGGGAACAAAAAUGAUUACCUUUGAAUGGUACUUGACUAUUCAGAUACAUUUUAGGACUGAGCAAACAAGACAAGAAAUAACAUGCACUACAUGGGGAAAAAAGAACAAUUGGGAGGGCAUGUUCUUCAGCAGCAUCUACUGUAAAUGGCAUGUAGCAAUCAGAAACUAAGCAAGUGACUGGGGGGAUAAGACCAGCAGUGGCAGAGUCUUGAAGUUUAGCAAGAAGUUCAUCAAAGAAGUGGCGAAAGUUCGUUAUGAUUGAUUCACCAAGAGAGUGUAGGUCUUGACUUACAUCACCAUUACCAUCCUUUGGAGUUAAACCAUCUGGUAUAGUCUCAAAGUUAAAGUCAGUGAAACCAUCAAAGGCAUUUUCACCUCUUGAUUUGAGCAAACGUUUGUGAUUGUAUUCAGUGUUAACAAAGGUUAUGUGAAAGCCUCUAAGGUGAAGCAGUUUUGCUAUUUUCAACAAUGCAUUGAUAUGGCCUUGAACUGGAAAUGGAGUUAACACUGCAUGUGGCUUUUUCUCUUCAAAGUUACUCAUGAUUGAUAUUUUUCUUAUGUAAGAAAACUAAGAAAAAACUGAGGUGAAAAAUCUAUGAGGCCUCUAUAUAUAACAAUGAGUGAAUUUUGUUACGUAUCUAUUAUCUAUUGUAUAAUAUAAAAAAAUUCUUAAGAAUGGAAAAAACCAUUUUUCUUUUUGAAUAAUUCAAUUACUGUCUAAUUCAUUUUUAUCUAAUUUUUAGUAAAUUGAAAAUCGGAUUUUCUAAUUAAGAUAAUCCAUAUUUGAUAAUUUUUUCUAUACAUCAAACUUUCUUUAUAAACUCUUCCCCUUAAAUAUAUUAAGAGAAGGCCAUAUUUGACAAUAUAUCUUCUAAACCAAUAAAAAUCAAAUUGCAAAUUCUAUGGUACAGCCAAUAUAUUUGAAUGUACCGGUACACUUACUCUUUAAAUUAAUGGUUAAAUGAGUUGUUUUUUGAAGAAAAAUAUUAUUUUCUAUCCUUUAUAUUUAUAAUAACUAAAUCUUAUUCAUCAAAAGUGUUAACGAAAUAAAAUUAAUUUUUUUUGAAUUUUUAGCACUCAUAGUUGAGAAUAUUGAUUAUAUUUUACGAUAAUAUGCAAAAAAAUUACUAUAAUUCUUAUAAAUAAUGAACUGAUGUUUUUUCUUAUGAAAUGAUGUUCUAUAAAAUAUAAAUAUUGAUAAAUAGUUAUUUAUUUCACAAAAAAUAAUCGUUAAUUUAUAAAAUUAUGAAAAAAGAGUACCGGUACACCUCAUUUUGUGAGUCUACAAUAGAAGUUCCCCAAAUCAAAUACAGUCAAAAUAUACUUUAAGUAAAAAAAAUAAAAAUCAAAUAUACUUAAUACAAUAAAAAUCCAAUUUGGACUUGACAAAGAAAAAAAUCCAACAUGUGCAACAAAUUGACGUGGUGAACGAAAGCAACGUCUGCAUGUUGAAAGGAGACCACUUUCUGUGGUGGGGACUGAUUUUAUAUACAGACAAUGGUGUUCAGACGGGAACAGACUUGCCAGUCUAUUCUUUUAAUAGUGUUAAUUAAGGGUGUUUUGGUGCAUUUUUAAUCGAUUUUGAGGUUAAAAGUUAUCCAAAUCGUAAAAUAAAAGAGCAUCAUGUUUGAUUUAAUUGACUUUUAAAAUAAAACUUGAACCAAAUCAAUAUGGGUUGAAUUAUAUUGGUUCGUGUGGUUUUUUCGAGACUAUAAUUUUUUAUUUUUAACAUUAAAAUCGAGUUAAAAACUUAUAACACAACAUAUUUCCAAUAAUGUUUCCGACAAUGUUUUCAAUUUCAUCCAACAUGACAAUUUUAUUUUCACCAAAUAAUAAUAUAGACGAAAUUUAAAAUGUGGACAAAAAGUAAUCCUAUUAAAGAAAUGUAAAAUACUAAGAUUUAUCAUUCUAUAAAAUUUUAUUUUAUAAAAGUUUCCAUUUUUGAAAUAAAAAGUAAAGAAGAAAAUUAACAAGAGAAAAUAAUAUGUCGUUUUAUAAAAGUUUUCAUUGAAUUUCUAUGAGUAUUGGUCUACCUGAAUUAGGUUUAAUUAGCGUUUUUCUUAUGUUGCGGUUUAGUUUGGUUAAUAAAAUAAAAACUGCAAACCGAACCAAACCUUGCGGUUAAGUAAAAAAGUGAUCCGAAUUCAUCCAAACCAAAUGCAUUUUUUGCGGUUUUAGUUUGAGUUGGUUCGGUUUGCAGUUUUUCUACUGGAUUGGUCAGUUUUGAACACCACUAUUUUUUUUGUCUAGUAGCCUAGUGUCUGGAGCUCACACAAUUAAAUUUGAAGAAGUGGGGUAUCUGGGGUUCAAACCCCGACCCUGUAUAAAUUGUGCAAUGUUCUUAUCAAUUGAGCUAAGCUCACGGGGACGUUUCGAACACCUCUAGUGCUAAUGCAUAUAAAUUAUGAAUAUUUAGUAGUUUUUAUGAAAUUUUAAUUUUGAUUAAAAUUAUAGAUAUAGAUAUUUUGUUCUUUAUAUUCUAACAAAUUAUACUUAUUUUUUUUAAAUAACACUAACAAUAUAGCAAAUAUAAUAUAAAUUCUUAUCUUUUUAUUUAUAUUUUUAUUUUUAUAAGCCUUAUUUCAUAAGCCGUUUUCAGCAAAUUUUCAAAAAUGUUUUCAAAAUCAUUUAUGAAAACAUCUUAUAUAUGAAAACAAUUUAACAUAAAUUUAUCUUUUGCUGUAGAAAUAGUUUAUGCAUAAGUGCUCAUCAUAAUUAAUAAGAACUUGCGCUAUAAAUUAUUUAUCCAAACAUGGCCUCUAUUCAUUACUAUUCAACUUAUGAAGCGUGUAAGAAUUAUACUCCCCGAUGUCCAAAAAGGAACUGAAAGGUGAGCAUUUCUUAAUUCAUUGAUUUAGAAUUAUUAAGUUAUGUUUACAAUUUUUCAUGGUUCAUAUUUUUUUUCAGUUUUCAGUAGGACGCCUAUCUUACUUUUUAAUGAUUUAUUCUAUUGAAUUUAUAGAGAAAAGGAGGGAAACUGAAAAGUUAUAAAUCUGUUAUUGAUCAAAUGACUCCCUAAAACUAGUUCUGCAGUAUACCAAUCUUAUAUAUCAUUAAAAGCUUACUAGGGUUUUUUAUACAAGAAAAUGUUAAUGCUUAGUAUAUUAUGUAAGUAACCUGAAUUGGAAUCUUAGACCUCAUGUUAAGCAGUGGUUUAGAGUUUUUUUUUAUAUAAGAAAAUGUUAAUUGUAGUGAGUUAUGUUAGUAACCAGACUUGUUAGUUAUUGAUUUGAAUUCUGUUACAACUCAGACACUUAAGCUACCCCUUGAGGAUAAAAUUAUGCAAGAGUUACUUACAACAAAUAACUGUAGUAACCAUCGAUUUCAGAACUGGAUCCGCUGAUUGAACCAGGAAUCGGCCAGUCUAUACCGGUUGUUCAACCAUGGUCGGUUAUAAGUCUGUCAGAACCUCAUUCAACCAUGGUUUAUUCAACCGAAUCAUUGUUUUUUCGAAUGUUCAUACAUAUUUCGGGAAAUAUUCUUUAAUUCCUGGAUAUGAAAGACAACCAAAAUCUCAUAUUAGUUUUAUUCAUGGUCCUAUGUUAAAACCUGUUCUAUAAAGUAGCUGAUCUUAUGUACGCCUGAUAUAUUUGAAGUUUGAUCCUUCUGUUUGCAUAGGCUGUUCUUUGAUGAUAUUGAAAAUGAAUAGUAUAAUUGCAUAGUAGUACUCAACAUAAGUGAAUGUCUUUUAUUGUUAUAGGAUAGAACCUUUCAAAUCAAUCUCCGAAGCAAGAAGCUUACAAGCAAUGAGAAGUUUAUGAAUAUAAUAUUAAUGUGAUCUUUAGUUACGAAGAAUGAACUUGAUGAAGUUGAAUGCAUUGUUACGAUGUUCCUGACUAAAAUGUUGAUAUCCACACUUAAGAACAUAGGUAGACAUAAAAUGCAAAUUAUUUGGUCCGAACAAAACUAUAAAAAUCGUACAAAAGUCACUUAAGUUCGAUUUUGUUUGAGUAACACCUCCUUAAUCACUUUCUCCAAGUUCAUGUAUGAACAGCCUCCAGGUCUCGUGUCCUCCUCCACCUUCUUCUUCAACUCAAUUGCCUUUUGCCUCAUCUUCUUUGCUUUCUCUCCCACCAUCAAUUCAUUAACCAGCUUCUCCACCUCCUCUCUCUUCACAUUAGUGUCGAUUUCAAUUCCAAUUUUCCAUGUAUUGCAUAAAUAUCUGCAGCUUACUGGGUGAUCAGCGAAAAAUGGCCAACACAACAUUGGAACUCCAGCAGAUAUGCUUUCAGUGAUUGAGUUCCAUCCGCAAUGAGUCAAGAAUCCACCAAUUGAAGGGUGGUUCAGUACUUGCUCUUGCGGACACCAGCUCGUUAUUAGGCCUCUAUCUGAAAUUUCAUUCACAAACUCCGAUGACAAAACAGCUGAGCCGCCGAUGACAAGAUCGGGCCUAAUGAUCCACAAAAAGGGUUGCUUGCUAUUUGCUAAACCCCAUGCAAACUCUAACAGUUUUUCUGCAGUCAUAACUGUCAAGCUCCCAAAAUUCACAUAAACAACAGACCUAGGUUCCUUGGAUUCAAGCCAAUAAAGACACUUGGUAUCUUCUUUCCAAAAAUUGGUGCUUAAAGAUGUCAAAUGGUUUUCUGGACUUUGAUUUAAAAACGAAGAUAAAGGGCCAAUAGCAUGAAUACAAGGGAACACAGUGGAGAGAGCAUUCAUUACAUCCUUCUCAAGUUCAUUAGAAGUGUUUAAAAUAUAAGCAGAGGGUCGGUGAGCCCUUCCAGACGCUUCAAGGAUAAAUUCUACCAUGGAAUCAUUUGGAUAUUUUGCUCUUACAAAGUCCGGAAGAUCCUUGAUUCGGAAGUUUUUCAUGUUGGAAAUUUAGGUCUUAAUAUAAACAGAUUUCAUAAUACAUGUUCAACAACUAUGAAUCAAUAGCGGAAGCAAACAAAACAUUGAACAUGAUUAUGAUCGGAUCUACGACAUGUUUGAUUUACCAAGGAUAUUAAGAAUUAGGGUAUUAGGAAUACCUGGAUAAAGCUUUUGUAACAACCCUCUCAUCAACAACGAUAACCAAAGAGAGGAGAUGAUCUGAAACACGCAAUAGAGUUAGCGGCGGCUGAUUUGGUUCUUCCUCAACCGGUACCUUUAUGCCUCAAGUUCUCUUCAGAUGGGGAGAAGAGAGAGUAUUGCCGUGUACGGUGUAUUGGGGACCAUAGCCUCUUUUAUAUUGGAUGGCCAUUAGGGUUUCCCAUUAUUCCAUUAAUGGGUCAUCCGGACAUCCACUCAUGUUGAGUCCAUAUCAACUAAUUAAAUAAUUAAUUAUCCAAAAUAGAAAUCUAAUUAGCCUUAUUACUUAAUUUGAUCACUAAUCAAUUAAGGCUCACAAUUGAUAAAUAGCUAAUAUAAUUAUUAUUACGAUAUUUGCCCACAUAAUGAUAUUGGAAUAUUAUUAAUUAAUAAAAUAUUCCAACAUUUCAGUCCUGGAAUACAAUCUACUUUAGUGUCCAAAUAUCCGUUUGUGAGAUAACUGUCAUCUGUACAUCAAAUUACAAAAUCUGUUAACUUGAAAUGUCAUAUUAAUACUUUAACUACACUACAUCUAUGAAGAAAGAAAGAAGAUUAAUUGAUUGUUACCUUUUAGUGGUAUGACACCUUUGUCAAACAGUGUAGGUAAGUGAAAACAAGUCAAAAACAUACAUGCACUGGCUGGACUAAAGAAAACAACAGGGAUUGAAAGUUCUUCAGCAGCUUGUAUUGUAAAAUACAUGCUAUUAUCAGAAACUAUGCAAGUAACUGGAGGGACAAGACCAGAAGUGGCAGAGUCAUUAAGUCUAGCAAGAAGUUCACAAAAAGGUUGUAGGAAGUUCUUUCUGAUUGAUUCACAUAGAGCAUAUAUGUCUUGAUUAACAUCACUAUCGCCUUCUAUCGGAGUUAAACCAUCUGGAAUAGUCUCAAAGGUAAAAUCGGUGAAACCAUCAAACGCUUUUGGACCUCUUGAUUUGAGCAAGCGUUUGUGAUUGUAUUCGGUGUUGACAAAGGUUAUGUGAAAGCCUCUAAGGUGAAGAAGCUUUGCUAGUGUUAUUAAUGGAGUGAUAUGUCCUUGAAGUGGAUAUGGAAUCAACACUGCAUGUGGCUUUUUAUCAGAAAAAUGACUCAUUUCUGAGUUUUCUUGUAUUAUAGUAUGUGUAUGACUUGAGGUUUAGAGAUAAAGGGAUUAGCCAGUGCCAACAAUACACCUACCUAACAACUCUAAUCAUAAUGCCAAAAAACAUGUCAUGUGACAGCGUUUAAAUUAGUCUGUAGCUGAAUAAAAAUUUGGUGAUGAAUAAUGGCAAUCAUUAGGCUGUGACCAAUAAUGUUGGAGGACUUAAUGAUAAGUAAUCUAAGUCAAAUAAUUGCAUGGUUUUGUAACCAAUAUAUGUGAACAAUAAAAGAUAUUUAAACUGUCUCAUUAUUGUAAGGGAAAUAUAUUACAGACUCUAAUUUGAACUACACAAUAUUCUAUCCGUCGCAUAAAAAGUGUUUUAUUUAGAAUGUGUACGAUUCUUAUGAAAAUAAUUAGCUGUGUUGAUUUUAAUGGUAAAAUUAAUAUCAUUUACUAAAAUAUUCAUAUUAAUUUAUAUCAUUUACUACUAAGACUUUGUUUGCGAGUUGGAUUUUGGAGGGGAGGGGAAGGGAAGGAAAGGCUCAUGGCUCAUGGAGUGGUAAAUCCUUGUUUGCGAGUUUUAAAAAAACAAGGGAAAGGUUUUGGGGGGUUUUGAAGGGCUUUAUUUGUCCAAUUUUAAAGUUCCCCCAAAUUGGGGGGUUUUGGGGGGUUAAACAUACAAAUUGACAAUUUUGCCCUCUUAAUAAUUCAAAAUUCUAAUUUUAGACAUUACUAAAAUUAUUACAAUCUUUUUUAAAAACAACUUAUUCAAAACAACUUAUUUAUACAAAACAGCUUAUUACGACCUCAUUUUCAAAAACGGCUUAUUCAAAACAGCUUAUUACGACCUCAUUUUCAAAGACCACUUAUUCAAAACAACUUAUUUAUAAAAAACAGCUUAUUACGACCUCAUUUUCAAAAACCGCUUAUUCAAAACAACUUAUUUAUGCAAAACAGCUUAUUACGACCUCAUUUUCAAAAACAUCUUAUUUAUGCAAAACAGCUUAAUACGACCUCUUUUUCAAAAACAGCUUACUCAAAACAGCUUAUUUAUGCAAAACAGCAUUAUACGAUCUCUUUUUCAAAAACAGCUUAUUACGACCUCAUUUUCAAAAAUCGCUUAUUCAAAACAACUUAUUUAUACAAAACAGCUUAAUAUGACUUCAUUUUAAAAAACAGCUUAUUCAAAACACCUUAUUUAUGCAAAACAGCUUAAUACGAUCUCUUUUUCAAAAAAAAGCUUACUCAAAGCAGCUUAUUUAUACAAAACAGCUUAAUACAAUCUAUUUUUCAAAAACAACUUUUUCAAAACAGCUUAUUUAUCCAAAACAGCUUAUUAUCACCUCUUUUCAAAAAAACAGUUUAUUUGUGCAAAACACCUUAUUUCGACCUCUUUUCAAAAAAUAGCUUAUUCAAAACAACUUAUUUUUACAAAACAGUUUGGAUAAAUAAGUUGUUUUGAAUAAGUUUUUUUUAAAAAAGAGAUCGUAUUAUGCUAUUUUGCAUAAAUAAGUUGUUUUGAAUAAGCUGUUUUUGAAAAAGAGAUCGUAUUAAGUUGUUUGGUAUAAAUAAGCUGUUUUGAAAUAGCUGUUUUUAUAAAAGAGAUUGUAUUAAGCUGUUUCGCAUAAUAAGUUGUUUUGAAUAAGCUGUUUCUGAAAAUGAGGUCAUAUUAAGCUGUUUUGUAUAAAUAAGUUGUUUUGAAUAAGUGAUUUUUGAAAAUGAGGUCAUAAUAAGCUGUUUUAUAUAAAUAAGUUGUUUUGAAUAAGCUGUUUUUGUAAAAGAGAUUGUAUUAAGCUGCUUUGUAUAAUAAGUUGUUUUGAAUAAGCUAUUUUUGAAAAUGAGGUCAUAUUAUGUUGUUUUGUAUAAAUAAGUUGUUUUGAAUAAGCGAUUUUUGAAAAUGAGGUCAUAAUAAGUUGUUUUGUAUAAAUAAGUUGUUUAAAUGAGGUCGUAAUAAGUUGUUUUGUAUAAAUAAGUUGUUUUGAAUAAGCGGUUUUUGAAAAUGAGGUCGUAAUAAGCUGUUUUGUAUAAAUAAGCUAUUUUGAAUAAGCUAUUUUUGAAAAAGAGAUUGUAUUAAGCUGUUUUGCAUAAAUAAGCUGUUUUGAAUAAGUUGUUUUUGAAAAAGAGAUUGUAAUAAGUUGUUUUGUAUAAAUAAGCUGUUUUGAACAAGUUGUUUUUUUGAAAAGAGGUCGUAAUAAGCUGUUUUGUAUACAUAAAUUGUUUUGGAUAAGUUGUUUUUGAAAAGAGAUUGUAUUAAGCUGUUUUGAAUAAGCUGUUUUUCUGAAAAGAGGCCAUAAUAAGUUGUUUUGUAUAAAUAAGCUAUUUUGAAUAAGUUGUUUUUUAAAAAAAGAUCGUAAUAAUUUGUUUUUCAUAAGAUAAGCUAUUUUUUAAAAAGAGGUCGUAAUAAGUUGUUUUGUAUAAGUAAGUUGUUUUUAAAAAGUGAUUGUAAUAAGUUUUUUUUUUUUUUUAUAAAUAAGUUGUUUUUUAAAAAUAGAUUUUAAUAAUUUGUUUUUCAUGCGAUAAGUUGCUUUGAAUAAAUUUGAAGUUAAAUUACGAAGUAUAACAAUGUAUUGAUUUUAAGAGGAAAAAUGGUAAAAUAGUAAAAUUAUACUAUAAGCCCUCCAUCUCCUUUUCUUUAUUGACUUUUUAACUCCCAAACAAGAGGAAGGUUUUCCCUCCUUUCUCCCUUCCCUCCCUUUCCUUCCCUUCCUCUCCUUAGCCUUUCCUUUCCUUCCCCUCAAAACUCGCAAACAAAGCCUAAAAUGUAUUUUGAGAGUUCGCUUCGUAAAAUAUUUUUUGUUUAAUAGUGAGUUGAACAAAAAUUAAUUUAUGUUUAGAUAUAUUUAUUAGCGCAUCUUGCAACGUUUCUCUUUUGUUGUAAUCUAAUUAUGAGUGAUAAGAUAAUUAACUCGAUGAGAGUUAAGAGAAGAAAAUAUAUGUUGCAAUCUGAUCUCAUUAUUAAUGGAAAAAAAUUUACUACAACUUAUUUAUAUGGAAAUUACUUGCUAGUCAAGCAAAACAUACUCAACUUACCUAGCUGUAUUUUGUAGUUCAGAUAUUGAUGAAAAAGCUAAACUAUGGAAAUUACAACAACUUAAAAUUUACUACAACUUAUUUAUAUGGAAAUUACUUGUGAAUUUACAUAAAAUUAAGACUAAAAAUUAAUUAUUCUAUUGCAUCUAGAUAGAAAAUAGAGAGAGAAAAAAAAUUAAAAUUUUAGUUCUGUUAUUGAUCAAAAAGCUAAACUAUAACUAUAUUAACUAUAACAUCUAGAUAAGAGAAAUAGGAUGCUCAUAUACAUAUUCUCACCAAUAUUCUUCACUAGUAGAAUAUGUAAAGAGAACAAAAAUAUCAUAUUAGUUUCAGUCAUGUUCCAGUCACACCAACAUGGACACUAGACAUGACACGACUCGACACUGACAAUGAAAUUUUGAUGCCUGCAAUAAUUUGAGAAAAUAGAAUAAAUGUAUUUAAAUGUGUUGGAGUCGUUUAGGUGUCAAAUAUCAACAUGUUUCGGACACUAAACACUCAUCGAAGUGUCAAUGUUGCACCCUUUAAAACCUUACACCUAAGUAAGCUUACCAUUUCUAUUUUUUUAUAUUAAAACUGAUUCCAAUGUUAAAGUAAAACAUUAACUUAUGGCUUGUAUUUAAUUUAGUUAUUCCUAACAAAACUAUAAAUCUUGUUUAACAUAGAAGGAUAUUAAUUUAAACCUGAACACACAGCAAAGUGAUUGUUUGCUUUAAUUUAUCCUUCAUAUGAUAAUGGAAUUCAAGAUACUGUGGAAAAAGCCUCACUACCCCAACUUCAAAAUUUCAAAGCUGUAAAAUUCAACGAAUAAAAAUUUAAAUACAUAUGCCAUAGAAUUAUCCAAUUCAAUCCAUUAGUUUAAGAAUUCUUGCACAAGAUAUGUUCAAUUCCAUCAUCAUGAACUCUUAAUUUAUUAGCAUCAAUAUAUUUGUUAUACAAUACAAUAGCAUCAUCCCUUAAAUUCAGUAGGAGAAUAUCAAUGGAUCAAUAUAAUACUACAUUGCAUAAAAAAUUCACUUAUAGGUUUGAUUUUAUUUAAGCAAAACCUCCUUAAUCACUUUUUCCAAGUUUAUGUAUGAACAACCUCCAGGUCUCGUGUCCUCCUCCGCCUUCUUCUUCAACUCGAUUGCCUUUUGCCUCAUCUUCUUUCCAUUCUCUCCCACCAUCAAUUCAUUGACCAACUUCUCCACCUCCUCUCUCUUCACAUUGGUGUCAACUUCCAUCCCAAUCUCCCAUUCAUUGCAAAUAAUUCUACAGUUUGUUGGCUGAUCAGCAAUGAAUGGCCAACACAACAUUGGCACUCCAGCACAUAUGCUUUCAGUGGUUGAGUUCCAUCCACAGUGAGUCAAGAAUCCACCAAUUGAAGGGUGGUUCAAUACUUGCUCUUGCGGGCACCAACCCGCGAUUAGGCCUCUAUCUGAAAUUUCAUUCUUAAACUCAGAUGACAAAACCAAGGAACCACCAAUGACAAGAUCAGGUCUAAUGAUCCAUAAAAAAUGUUGCUUGCUAUUGGCCAAACCCCAAGCAAACUCUAAUAGUUUUUCUGUAGUCAUAACUGUUGUGCUCCCAAAAUUCACAUAAACAACGGACCUCGGUUCCUUUGAUUCAAGCCAAUCAAGACACUUGGUAUCCUCUUUCCAAAGAUUUGUACUUAAAGAUGCUAAGUGGUUUUGUGGACUUUGAUUUAAAAAUGAUGAUAAAGGGCCAAUGGCAUAAAUAGAAGGGAACUUAGUGGAGAGAACAUUUAUUACAUCCUUCUCAAGUUCAUCAGAAGUAUUAAAAAUAAAAGCAGAGUCUUUGUGAGCCGUUCCUGCGCCUUCAAUGAUAAAUUCUAUGAUCGAAUCAUUUGGAUCAGUAAUCCUUAUAAAGUCAGGCAAAUCCUUUAGUCGAAAGUUCUCCAAUCCUGGAAUACAGUCCACUUUAGUGUCCAAAUAUCCGUUUGUCAGAUAACUCUUAUCUGCAUAUAUCAAAUUUAUAAAAGUUGUUAGCUUGAAAUUGAAUCUUCAUACUCCAAAUAUAUGUCAUAUGAACACGCUAACUAUUCUACAUAUAUGAAGAAAGAAAGAAGAUUAAUUGUUACCCUUUAGUGGUAUGAGACCUUUAUCCAACAAUGUACUAAAAUGAAUACAAGUCAAAAACAUACAUGCACUGGCUGGAUUAAAGAAAACAAGUGGGAGUGAAAGUUCUUCAGCAGCUUGUAUAGUAAAGGACAUGGUAAUAUCAGAAACUAUACAAGUGACUGGAGGGAUAAGACCAGAUGUUGCAGAGUCAUUAAGUCUAGCAAGAAGUUCGCGGAAAGGUUGUAGGAAGUUCUUUCUGAUUGAUUUACAAAGAGCGUAAAUGUCUUGACUAACAUCACCAUCACCAUCCGUUGGAGUUAAACCAUCUGGAAUAGUCUCAAAGCUAAAAUCAGUUAAAUCAUCAAAGGCAUUUGGAGCUCUUGACUUAAGCAACCGUUUGUGAUUGUAUUCAGUGUUUACAAAGGUUAUGUGAAAUCCUCGAAGGUGAAGAAGUUUAGCUAGUUUCAACAAUGGAUUGAUAUGGCCUUGAACUGGAGAUGGGAUUAACACAGCAUGAGGUUUUGAAUCACUCAUUUCUGAGUUUGUGUUUGAAUUUUGAGCAAAGGGAAGCCAAUGGUUUAAUAGAGAUAAAGUGACCACUUUUUGUUAUAAAAGGAAAUCAAUUUUUCAUUAAAAAGUUUAUAGCACAAACUUAAGUAUGUAUUUGUUUGCGGUGACGAGAAUUGAUUUGAAUGAAUUUGUUUAACAAAAUUAGUGUUUGGUUAAAGUGCGUUGAAUGUGAUAUAUAUUUAUAUAAAUUUACGUAAAAUUGAUUUGAAAAAUAAAUUGAAGACUUAAAUUCGAUUAUAAAAAUAAAAUUUUGAUACCUUAGCUUUAAAUAACGAGCGGCUUAAAGGCAAAAUCAAUUCCAUUUAAGAACACACAACCAUAGGGUCUGACUAGGCUUAUCUAAGUUAAAUACUGUUAGUUAGAUGUCGUUCGAGAUUUAUUUUGGAAUUGAUAGAAUAAAAAAGUUGAGAAACACUUUAUAUUGUGAUCCUAAGAUUACUAAUAUAACCAAAUUCCAUCUAAUCACAAUUUUUUUUUACAAGCAAUAAUCAUAACUAACUUAUAAAUAUCUUUAAAAAUAUUAUAUUAAUUUAUCAAACAAUAUCAUUAUUUGCUAGGGUGGAAAUAAAUGUGGUCAAAUUAAUGUACCUAGCCAGUGUUAAAAGCAAUACACCUACAUUUCAGGUUUUUUCUAGAUUACCCUCUCUUAUUUAGAGGAUAUUUUACCCUCUCAUGAUAUCAACCAAUUAAAAUGUAAUAUAUAUUGGCAACAUUAAAUGUCAUAAAUGAGUCAAUUUUUUUUUCUAAAAAAAGAAUCAAUUAUAAUCAUAAGGUAACUUUUAAUACUUUUAAUUUUUAUUUAAUUAUAGACAUGAUUACAUUAGAGAUCCUUUAUCUUAUUUAUUUGUUACACUUGGGUCCUUUAUCUUUAUUUAUUUUCACUCAGGUCUUUUAUCUCUUAUAAAAGCACAUAUACACCAUUUUUCUCAUUUUUUUUAUUAAAAAAAAUACAUAAUUUUAUUUUUUAAAAUAUCUUUUUAUUAAAAAUGAAACAAAUCCAGAAAUAUGAUGAAGAUGUUCAUCAUCUUCAUCUUCUUCCAUUGAAUAUUCAUCAUCUUCAUUGAAUCAAAAAAAUUUCUACACAAAUAUAUCUCCAAAUAUCAUGAAUUAAUGUUAUAUUCACCUCAAAUCUUCCUUUAAACACAAAAAUCAAACCCCUAUAGAGAAAGAGAUUUAGUUUCAUCACCAAAAAAGAAAAAUUAGUUAUAUAAAUUGUCACGCUGUAUAUUAUUAUUAUUAUUAUUAUUAUUAUUAUUAUUUUCUAACUCAAUAUUCAAGCCCGAUAUAAAAAUAAUCCCAAAAUUGAUAGCAACUUUACACAUCAAUUUUGUUGUUUUCAGAGCAAUCUUAACUUUCGUAAAGCCUAACCCUUCCGUCAGUGACUAAGCCUCCACCAUCCGCCUUGCAACAUUUGUGAAAUUAAGGUUUUGAUUUUUGUGUUUAAAAUAAGAUAUGAGGUGAAUAUAACAUUAAUUCACGAUAUUUGGAGAUAUAUUUUAGUAGAUUUUUUUUUAUUUAAAGAAGAUGAUGAAGAUUCAAAGGAAGAACAUGAAGAUGAUGAACAUCUUCAUCAUAGUUUUGGAUUUUUUUUUUCAGUUUUAAUAAAAAUAUAUUUUUAAAAAUAAAAUUAUGUAUUUUUUAAUAAAAAAAUGCGAAAAAAGAUGUAUAUGUGCUUUUAAGAGAGAUAAAGGACCUAAACGGGAAAAAAUAAAGACAAAGGACCAAAGUGUUACAAAUAAAUAAGAUAAAUGACCCAUAAUGUAAUAUUGCCUUAAUUAUAUUUAGGUGUUCAAUCUUAAUUAAUUUACACUACAAGAUUGGCUUAGAACAAUAAAAAUUUCACAUCAAAUUUCUUUAAUCUGAAUGUUCUUAAAUUUAUCAAUUAUAUUUAUAAAAUUUAUUCCUCCCAUUUUGAUUGUUCAAUUUUGUCGUUCCCAACUGCCACAUUUUUCAAUUUUCGUGAGAAUCGUCAUGAUUUCAAAUAUCGUGAGAAUUGCCGUUAUUUCCAGUACAACGUCAGGUAUGAUGACUUGAUUUUUCUUGGUUGUGAGGUAGUUAAUUAAAACAAUCGAGUAAAUCAUCCGUUGUACUUUGAGGGCUGCUAGCAGGUGUUGCCGCUGUGAUGUUGUGGGAGUUUGCUAGCAUUUUUUUGGUUGUUGCUGAAAUGAUUAUGUGAUGAGGCUUUUGUUCUUUUAUUUGGACUUAAAGGCUUUUGCUGAUAGUGAGACAGGUCUAUGCGUGUUAACAGAUUUUAUUAGGUUGACUGCUUAAAUAAAAAAAAAAAGUCACGAUACCUGACGCGGUUCUAAAAACAACGACAAUUCUCACGAUAAUUGGAAAUUGCGGCAAUUUGAAACGACAAAAUUGAACAAUCAAAAUGGGAAGAAGAAUGAAAAAGAAACAAAAAUUGAUCAAUAUGGAAGAAUAAAGAAGAAGAAAUUUGAAAGAAGGAGAUGUUUUUGUUCUCACGUUCGAGGUUCUGGAAUGGAAGAAAUUUUAUGAAUGUAAAUGAUGAAUUUAAGGACAUCCAGAAGAAAGAAAUUUGAUGUAAAAUUUUAUUUGUUAUAAGUCUUGUAGUGUAAAUUAAUUAAGAUUGAACACCUUAAUAUAAAAAAAAAUUAAAUCAUUUGUUGUUUAAAAAAAAUAUUAAAAGUAUUAAAAGUUACCUUAUGAUUAAGAUUAACUCUCCUUCAAAAAAAAAAUUAAGAUUAACUCUUUUAUUUUUAAAAAAAAUCUAUUUAUUUAUUUGACAUUUAAUGUUACCUAUGUAUAUUACAUUUGGAUUGAUUGAUAUCAUGAGAGGAUAAAUUACCCUCUAAAUAAGAGAGGGUAACGUAGACUUCACCUACAUUUCAACUCUAGUCAUAAUGCCAACAAAACAUGUCAUAUCACAGCAUUUAAAUUAGUCUGAAGCAGAUGAAAAAUUUGGUGAUGAAUAAUGGCAAUCAUUAGGCUAUGUUACAACUGGUCAUAUAACAAUAUAAGAUGUUGGAGGACUUGAUCUAAAGUAAUCUAAGUCAAAUAAUUGCAUGGUUUUGUAACCAAUAUGUGACCAAUAAAAGAUAGUUAAACUUUCUCAUUAUUGUAAGGGAAAUCUAUUACAGACUCUAAUUUGAACUACACAAUAUUCCGCUCCUCGCAUAAAAAGUGUUCUAUUUGGAUUAUGUUCUAUUUUUAAAAAAUAAAGGGAAAUGUUAACGAGUCUUUUUUGGGGAAUUCUUUAACGACUAUAAGUAAUAAGUAUUUAUAAAAAAAUUUGUAAUUAAUGCAUUGGAAAUUAAAACGUUUGAUUUUUUUUUAAAAGUAAUUGCUUAUUUUAGAAUGUUUAAGGAGUAUUCCGAAGGCGCUCGUUAACACAAAACCCAUAAAUAAAUUAAUUGUGUUGAUUUCAAUAGUAAAAUUAAUAUCGUUUACUAAAAUAUUCAUAUUAAUUAAUAUGAUUUUACUACUAAAAUACGCUUAGUUUGUGUUUUUUCUUAGUUUGUGUUUAAAUGUUGAGAUAAAGUCAAAGUUUCUAGAUUUAUGGAUAAGAAAAUAGAGGAAAAAGGCAAGGGAGACUAACUUAAAGUCCCAACUUAGUAUGACCCUUUUGAUAAUGAUACGUAAGAUAAAAAUAACAAUUUCUUAAUCAAAAGUUGGUAGCACAAACAUAAGCGUGCCUUUGGUUUCAUGUAGUGAGAAUUGAUUUGAGAAUUCGAUCACUUCAUAAAAUUAUUUUUGUUUUAAAGUAAGUUGAACAUAAAAUAAUUUAUGUUUAUAUUUUUUUUUUAGCGCAUUUUGUAAUUUUUCUAGUUUGUUCAGUAAUCUAAUUAUGAGUGAUAAGAUAAUUAACUCAUGAGAGUUAAUAGAAGAAAGUAUAUCACCACAACAUAAUGGAUAUCUAUCCUUCAAAUAAAAAAUAUAAUUAACAUUUAGUAACAUUUGAAAAUUAUUACUAAAUCAAGAAAAAUGUUACCGAUUAAAAUCAAUAACCUUUGUACAAUUGUUAGGUAUAGUCUGUAUUACUAAAUACAUUAAUAAUGGCAUAAUACACUUUAUAUAGUGAUCAAGGUUGCUAAUUUCCUCAACAAAAAAAAUAAAGGGUCACUAAUAUUAGCAACCGACAACUAAUCAUAACUAACUUAUAGCUAUCUUAAUCUUUCAAAAAAACUUAUAACUAUCCUAAAAAAUAUGAAACUAAUUCUAACAAAUAUCAAACUAUCUAAGAAAUUAUCAAACAAUAUCUUCAUAUGAUUGUUGACUGACCAAAACAAAAAAGAUUCAAUUUCCUAUUUGAACUAGAAGACAAUCGUAUAAGAUGUUUCUCAUGACAAACAAAAAGAUUCUAUAAUUGUACAGAAAAGAUCCAAAACAAGUAUGACUAUUUUUUUCUUUUAUCAGAGUCUAUUGGCUAUUAUUGGCCAUGCCUUAAUCAGUCCAAAUUUUCACAUCAUGAAAAUAUUAAAUAUUUGAAUUUGCACAAGACAAUAUCUCUCCCUUGUCUUUUAACGAGGGUUGUAAAACUGUUUUAUACAUGCAUCCAAUCAAGCCAUGUCAUAAUGGCAAUUGUUUAGGUUACUUCCUCAAAUAUCUCAAAAUAUAAUAAACAUGGGGUGAUCUGAUAAGAUUCAACGCGUAAAAAAGCUUUACACCGUCAGUUUUCAGCAAUUAAUCUCUGCAAAGUAUUUCUGCCUACAAGAUUUGAUAGGAUUCUACAUAUGAUUUUUAUUUUGUUUUGAAAAAAUGGAUCGGAUCCUUCACAUGAACAUGAUAAUGAAAUUCAAGAUACCGUGAAAGAAUUCUUAUUCCCUCUACUUUACAUAUUAAAAUGGUAGGAUUCAUAUUAUAAAGUUAAUAUACAUGCCAUAUAAUUAUCCAAUAUGCAUAUAUUCAAAACAUUCAGUUUAGGAACUCUUGCUGAAGAUGAGUUCACUUACAUCAUCACUUAAAUUCAAUAGGGGAAGAUCAAUCAAUUAUUGUUGAACUGCUUUGCAUAAAAAAUUACUUAAAUUUGAUUUUAUUUAAGCAACACCUCCUUGAUCAAUUUGUCCAAGUUCAUAUAUGAACAACCUCCAGGUCUCGUGUUCUCCUCUGCCUUCUUCUUCAACUCGAUUGCCUUUUUCCUCAUCUUCUUUCCUUUCUCUCCCACCAUCAAUUCAUUGAUAAGUUUCUCCACCUCCUCUCUCUUUACAUUCGUAUCAAUUUCCAUCCCAAUCUCCCAUUCAUUGUAAAUAAGUCUACAGUUUGUUGGCUGAUCACUAAAGAAUGGCCAACACAACAUUGGAAUUCCAGCACAUAUACUUUCAGUGGUUGAGUUCCAUCCACAAUGAGUCAAGAAUCCACCAAUUGAAGGGUGGUUUAAUACUUGCUCUUGAGGACACCAGCUCGCGAUUACGCCUCUAUCUGAAAUUUCAUUCACAAACUCCGAUGACAAAACAAUUGUGCCACCAAUGACAAGAUCAGGCCUAAUGAUCCACAAAAAAGGUUUAUUGCAAUUGGCCAAACCCCAAGCAAACUCUAACAUUUUCUCUUCAUUCAUAACUGUAAGGCUGCCGAAAUUCACAUAAACAACGGAACCCGAUUCCUUCGAUUCAAGCCAUUUAAGACACUCAGUAUCUUCUUUCCAUAUGUUGGAACCAAAAGAAUCCAAUUGAUGGAUUUGUGGAGUUUGGUUUAAUAAUGAAGGUAAAGGGCCAAUGGGGUAAAGAGAAGGAAACAUAGAGGAGAGAGCAUUUAUUACAUCACUCUCAAGUUCAUUGAAAGUAUUCAAAAUAAUAGUAGAGUUUUUAUGAUCUUUAUCAGCCACAUCAAUUACAAAGUUUAACAUAAUAUCAUUUGGAUCUGUUGUCCUGAUAUAGUCAGCAAUGUCCUUCAACCGAAAGUUUUUCAAACCUGGAAUCCAAUCUACUUUAGUUUCCAAAUAUCCAUUUGUUAGAUAACUCUCAUCUGCAUAUCAAAAGUAGCAAAGUUAAUAGCUUGAAGGAGGGCCGUAUCUGAGGCAGGGCGAGGAGGACGACCGUCCCAAGGUCCCAAAAAAUAAGUUUAAAAUUUGGGUCAAAAAUAUAAAACUAGGGGUUCAUUGGGUAAAAAACAUAUUAGGAUAUGCUAAAAUCAUAUACAUUUUAACUUAAAAAGGACAUAUCAGGAAUUGAUGUACAUUUCCUAACAUAAUAAAAACUAUCAUCUUCAAGAAAAUUAUUUUUACACUUUAGGAAUUCAAUUUUUUUUUUGUACUUAUUAGUUAGGGCCCAAACUGUAGGUUCAUCCGUAGGCCACCUGAAUCUCAGAAACGGCCAUUUGAAAGUCAUACAUACAUACACACGUGUAUAUUUUGUUUUCGACAGAAACAUGCAUGUAUAAGGUAUUAUAAAUUGAAUAAAAGUCAUUUAUUGAAGUAUAAAUUUUAGUUUUGAAGUUUUAUCGAUCAAAUUUGUGGAGGUCAUCUAUUCAAUAAGAUUUUUUAAUUUGAGUGUUGCUUUAUUGAAAUUUAGUGUCGACAUUGAGCUAUAUAUUAACUGAAACUAUAUCGAGAGUUACUCUUGGAGUAAGUUGAUUAUCUCGCACACGAAGAUAUAUAUAAAUUUAAUUCAUAUAUAUAGUUAAUGUAAAGAUUUUUUACACUGUCAAUAAAUCAUGAUAUAUUGUAAGAUAAUAGAAAAUAUGAACUUUAAUCUUAACUACUUCUAAAGUAAAUCAUAUGAUUGGUUGUGAUUUGCUGACACCGUAAAACUUUUUACACUAAUAGUAUAUCAAAGUAAAUAUUAAUCACAAUAUAUAUAUAUAUAUAUAUAUAUAUAUAUAUAUAUAUAUAUAUAUAUAUAUAUAUAUACUUUGUGAAUAAAAAACUCAACUUAGUACCUUUGAGUGGCGUGAGACCUUUUUCUACAAAGGAACGUAAGUGAUGAAUACUCAACAAAAAACAUGCACUGGCUGGAAAAAGGAUAACAUUUGGGAUUGCGAAUUCUACAGCAGCCUGUAUAGUAAAGCUCAUAAAAUAAUCAGAAACUAAGCAAGUAACUGGUGGAACAUUGGUAGAGUCAUUAAGUCUUGUAAGAAGUUCACAAAAGGGUUUAAGGAAAUUCUUUCUUAUAGAUUGAGCAAGAGAGGGUAUGUCUUGACUAACAUCACCAUCACCUUCCAUUGGUGUUAGACCAUCUGGUAUGGUUUCAAAGCUAAAACCAGGGAAACCAUCUAAGGCAUUUGGACCUCUUGAUUUGAGCAAACGUUUAUGAUUGUAUUCAGUGUUGACAAAGGUUAUGUGAAAUCCUCUAAGGUGAAGAAGUUUUGCAAGUUUGAACAAUGGAUUUAUAUGUCCUUGAAGUGGAGCUGGAAUCAACACAGCAUGUGGUUUUCUGUUUGCAAAGUUUCCCAUCUUUGAUAAUUCUCUAUUGAAUGUUAUUGUUAUGUGUGCAAGAUACGAGGUUGAGAAACAAGUGAUAAACAUGGGCUUUAAUAGAGAAAAAAAAAAGGAAAUUGCUAUAAAAUUGAAAAAUAUAAAGAAAUCCAAACAGUUAAAAUCUGGAAGGUUAACUUAAAAUCGGGAUUUUGCUUCAGAUCGAAAGGUAAGAGCAAAAUCGCAAUCAAAAUCUACGAAAGUUAACUUAAAAUCAGGAUCUGAAAGAAAUUGUGCCACGGCCGGAGGAAUUGUGCCACGAUUGUGAAGGAAAUUUCUGGAGCAGGUCUCUGGAAAAAACAUGUCAUGAUGGAGCCACAAAGUGGCACGAUGGAGCGUUGAAGGAGAAAAAUAAAACCAUAACUUUCAGCGUAAUAUUUGUUCCUAAUUUUAAGGGUUAUAGAAGGGAGGGAGGGAGGGAGUGUGUGAGAGAGAGAGGCAACAACAAAACUAGGGUUUGUAGAGUUUUCACUUGGCAACAAACACUAGGGUUCAAAUAUUAAUUUGGUUUUCAUAACAAUGCUAUGAAACACAGGCAUAGAAAAAGACAUAAAAAAUAACACUGACACGUUGAUACUAAUAAUAAUAAAAAAAAUUAAUUAAUUGAAUGUAAUUACAACGUAAUUGAAUGUAAUUACAACGUUUGACAUAGACACAUGUUAGAUACCAUUCACAUCUUCGGUGAGGGUCGUCGGUGGCACACAGUUACAAUUUUUUCUUAUAUACACAAAUAUAAAUAUCAAUAAGUUGUAGUUAUGUUACUUCUUCUACUUCCUGUCCUCGUCAAUUCAUCUCCCUAUAUGACUCAUUAUAAUGGUUGAAUGUGUUUGUUGGUUGUUGGUUAAUUAACCAAUCAAUAUGGCAUUAAAUUUUAUGUUGUGUGUACUUGUGUCCAUUUGGUAACCAAGAAAAGGAAAGUUGAUAGAGUCCACAAAAGGGAAAUAUUUAUGCAUGAUUAUGGAGAUGGACCACCACCAUAAGCCGCAGUUCCCUUACGUCCACAUGCAAAUUGUAAACGUUUUUACAUACAUAUAUAUUAGUAAAAAAAAGAAGGUAGAGUAAAACUUGAAAUUGGUACAUGAAUUGUAAUUUGUAACAGUGUGUAACUUACUAUAAAGAAAUUUCAAGUUAGUAUCCCAAAUUGAGGAAUGCUAGAAACACUCUCUCUAGCACUCACUCUUUUAUUGAGUGAAAUCAAUGUAUGUCUCACCACUUUUUAUGGGUUCCAUUUUCAAAGUGUAAGUCCUACAUUAAUUUCACCAAAGAAAAGAGUGAGUGCUAAAGAGUUCUCAAAAGAGAGUGUUGCUAGCAUUUCUCAUCCCAAAUUUGUUCACAUAAUUAUCCCUUCAAAACAAUGUAAAAUAGUUAGGUACUAGAAUGCGACCAUAUUUGUUGUUUCAAUCAAAUUCAUUGUCAGUAUCAAACCGUAAGAAAACGUAUAGUAAUAAAUAAGCUCCUUUAAUUUGACAGAAAAUGCACAAUAAGUAGGGUAAGCAAAGGAGCUCCUUUCAAGGACGUAUUCGGGGAAUAUCAGGUUCGAUUUUCAGGGGGAACAACGUUUGGCCAAUGUACAUGAGCCGGAUUAGUCGUCCACCAUUAGUGGGUUGGAAACCAGUGCGAAGGCAAAAAAAAAAAAGUUAAAGCAACCAUGACCCCUUAAUUUGAUAGCAGGCGCUAAAAAUCAUUUUAUUAAUCAGGUAAUGCAAUUGUGAAAAAACUCCCAUUAUUUUUUUUUAAGAAGCCAAAAUUGAAUUAUAUUAACAAUAAAAGAGCAAUCCCCAAAGCACAAGAUGUGCCUUUGAGACUACGGCAAAGAACCAAGUUUUAUAUCAUAGUACACAAAUACAGCUCAAACAACAUUAGCCAAUACCCAAACAAACAAGAGGGUUUGACCACCGCUGUUGAGAGCCAAAAACAAAACAAGCUUUUUUUUAAGUUUUAUACAUAUGGUAUUUAGAUAAAGAGAGAGAUAAGACCACAUAAGCUUUAUAUUAAAGAAGGGUUGUGUUGUAUUUACCAUGGUUGUUAAAAUUGGGAUUUUGUUUUCGGUUGAAAGGGAGUAGCAAAAUAAAAAAUUGUAAAAUUGCAAUCAAAAUUGAAGGAUUCUACUCAAUUACUUUUCUAGAAUUGAUAUAGGAUAGCGAAACACGAAAAUCGUAAAAUCGCAAUAAAAAUCGGUGGAUUCUACCAAAACAGCAAAAAUAAUGCUAAAUACAUGUUAUUAAUUGCAUAUAUUUUGGAUCCACAAAAUACUUAUACAUAAAUGACUCACACCUAGAUGCCAAAUAUCUUUUAGUAGUGAUAAUAAUGCUACACAACUUAGACAAAAUACUUAAAGUAAAUCCUAGAUGCCAGACAAAAUAAUUGAUCAUAAAUGAGUAAAUGACUAUUAAGUUUUAAGGAAUAGCCGAUAUGGCUACCAAAAUACACAAUCGAAAGCCUAGAUGCAAUCAUAAAUCAAUUGACAGACCAGGUCACCCAUAUAAAAAAAAAGGCUAGAAUCCUUCAAAAUUAUGUAAAAUCCAACGAUUUUGCAUGAAUUUCACGAUUAUGUGUGGUUUUACUAGGAUUUUGCCUAUUUUUAAAUUCUGCAAUGAAUUUGAAUCGUUAAAGAUGAAUAAAGUCACAAAAUCCUAAAUUUAGGAUUUAAAUUGUGAUUUUGACAACAAAGGUAUAUACACCAGAAUUGAAACAUUUAUAUUCAAAUGUAUUGUAAACUUGUAGUUAUGGAACCUUAACUACUCUUUUUUUUUUCCAUGUAAGCUUGUAACAGUGCAACAGGGAAAUAUUAUAUAGGAUAAAGUGCACUUUUCGCCCCCUAUGUUUCAAAAUGUUGCGAUUUUGGUCCCCUAUUAAAAAAAAUGACAAUUUUGGCCCCCUUCAACCCAAAAUUACUGAAAAGACGCCACAUGUCCCAAAAAAGGGGCCAUAAUUGCAACUUUUUGUAAAGAUAAGGGGUCAAAAAACAUAUUUCCCUUAUGUUAGGAGGUCAAAAGAGCAUAUUUCCCUAAACAUAGGGGGUCAUUUUUGCCAUUUUUUAUAAUAGGGGGCCAAAAUUGCAACAUUUUGAAACUUAGAGGGCGAAAAGUGAAGUUUAGCCUAUUAUAUAUACAGUUUAACAUUGUGAAAUUGGAAUUAUGUAAAGUUAUUUUAGGGACACUAUAUAUGGAUUAAUCUAAUUGCAUAGUUUUAAUUCAAACACUAAUGGGAACAACCGUGAGUGCUCACGAGUAUUUAAAUGCAUUCAAAUCAGUCUCUUCAAAAGAUCUAAAGAAGCAUUCAAGCAUAUAAAUAUAAUAUUAAUGAGAUUUUGAAGUAUUGGCUUACUUUGAUCCAUAUGGAUUCAAUCAAAAACAACCAAAGGCCAAAAUAGAGGUAUGUAAUGUAAUCUUUAAAUGUGAACUUAUGAAUAAUGGACUUGAGGAAGCUGCAUGCAUGCAUCAUUGCAAUGUUCCUGACUAAAAUGUUGAUGCUCACACUUUAGAAUAUAGGUUAACAAAAAGUAAAAAUUAUUUGAUCCUAAUAAAACUAUAAAUAUUUUAUUAAAGUUAAUUAAGUUUGAUUCUGUUUAAGAAACACCUCCUUAAUCACUUUCUCUAAGUUCAUGUAUGAACAACCUCCAAGUCUCGUUUCCUCCUCCGCCUUCAUCUUCAAAUCAAUUGUCUUUUGCCUCAUUUUCUUUCCUUUAUCUCCCGACAUCAAUUCGUUGACCAGCUUCUCCACCUCCUCUCUCUUCACAUUAGUUUCAAUUUUGAUUCCAAUCUCCCAUUCAUUGCAAAUAUAUCUGCAGUUGGCUUGCUGAUCCGCGAAAAAGGGACAACACAACAUUGGCACUCCGGCACAUAUACUUUCAGUGGUUGAGUUCCAUCCGCAAUGAGUUAAGAAUCCACCAAUUGAAGGAUGGUUUAAUACUUGCUCUUGCAGACACCAGCUUGCAACUAAGCCUCUAUCUGAAAUUUCAUUCACAAACUCCGAUGACAAAACAACCGAGCCACCAAUGACAAGAUCAGGCCUAAUGAUCCACAAAAAGGGUUUCUUGCUAUUGGCCAAACCCCAAGCAAAGUCUAACAACUUUUCUGCAGUCAUCACCGUUAUGCUCCCAAAAUUCACAUAAACAACAGACCUUGGUUCAUUGGAUUCAAGCCAGUCAAGACACUUGGUAUCUUCUUUCCAAAGAUUGGUACCUAAAGAUGCCAAAUGCUUUUGUUGACUUUGAUUUAAAAACGAAGAUAAAGGGCCAAUGGCAUAAAUACAAGGGAACAUACUGGAGAGAACAUUCAAUACAUCAUUCUCAAGUUCAUUACAAGUGUUAAGAAUUAUAGCAGAGGCACGGUAGCCCUAUUCAUCGCUUCAUUGAUAAAUUCUACUAUAGAAUAAUUUGGAUCUGUUAUCCCUAUAAAAUCAGGAAGAUCUUUCAGUCGAAAGUUUUGCAGUCCAGGAAUACAAUCUACUUUAGUUUCCAAAUAUCCGUUUGUCAGACGACUAUCAUCUGUAUAUAUCAAAUUACAAAACUUGUUAGCUUGAAAUUGAAUUAACAUAUAUACUUCAUAUGAACAAUUUAACUAAACUACACCUAAGCAGAAAGAAAUAAGAUUAAUUAGUUAUAUUACCUUUUAGUGGUAUGAGACAUUUUUCAAACAAUGUCGGUAAGUGUAAACAAGUCAAGAAUGUACAUGCAUUGGAUGGACUAAAGAGAACAAUAGGAAGUGAAAGUUCUUCAGCAACUUGUAUAGUAAAGGACAUGUUCCAAUCAUAACUAAGCAAGUAACUGGAGGGAUAAGACCAGCAGUAGAAGACUCAUAGAGUCUAGCAAGAAGUUCGCGAAAUGGUUGGAGGAAGUUAUUUCUGAUUGAUUUACAGAGAGAAUUUAUGUCCUGUGUAACAUCACCAUCACCAUCUAUUGGAGUUAAACCAUCUGGAAUAGUCUCGAAGGAAAAAUCAGUGAAACCAUUACGAGAAUUAGGACCUCUUGAUUUGAGCAAGCGUUUGUGAUUGUACUCGGUGUUCACGAAGGUUAUGUAAAAUCCUCUAAGGUGAAGAAUCUUUGCUAGUUUGAUUAAUAGAUUGAUAUUUCCUUGAAUUGGUAAUGGAAUCAAUACUGCAUGUAGUUUUUUACCACUCAUUUGUGAGUUUGUGUUUGAAUGUUGAGUGUGUAUGAUAUGAAGUAUAGAGAAAAUGAGAAAGGGGUAUGUCAGUGGUUUAAUAAUUGAGAUAAAAGCCAAUGUCCCUUAGAUUUGUGGAAUGGAAAAUAGAGAAAAUAAAAAUGGAAAAGAAACAGAAAUUCAGAGUCUAAGAUAUGUUUAUUUUAAAAUGGAAUGAUUCCAAGUAAUACAAUUUGAGCCUUAUCCUCAUUGUGACAAAGAUUGAUCUUGAAUCCUCUCAAUAAUCGAUGCAUACUAGUCUAGUCAAAACUUUUUGCUAUGCCAGAAAUUAAUUUGAAUUAUUCACAAUUAUGUUUAGAAUCUGCAGACAGCAAAUGUAGUCAAGUUCUAACUCUAUCCUUUAGUGAAAAAGAAAAAGUCCAAGUCUUGUAACAUCAUUUGUAACACCAUUCAUUUUUAAGGUGUCACUGUAUUUUGAGAAAAAUAGUUAAGUGAAGAUUGCGAUCAUUCUUAAGGAAACCAAAAAAUUGGUUUUGGUUCAAAAUUGUUCGCCUCCACUGUUGGUCGUGCAAUGCUUUAAUGUGGUUUUGUAGCGGUGGGAGUGACACAAUCUUUUAAAGUACGAUUUUCAGCCAUUUUAGACUUGUGAUCACUCUCUUCUUCGUUGAUGGAGAAAUCUCUCUUUCUCGAGUAUUGGUGGAACAAUUUUCCCGAGAAUUCAAGUUCUUCACGUCCAAACAAGAAAACAAGCAAAAACAGAAAAUAUUAUUGUGGCACGAUUUUGACAAUAAAGAAACUUGGAAAUUUUGUAUCAUACCAAAAAAUCUCAAAACUAUAUCUUACAAGAAUACUUGCACAGCAUUCCAACCGUUCAUUAGAAGAUAUUAUCAAAAAUAUAUAUGAUUGUGGAUCAUCUUCAUAAAUUUCAGUUUACUACUUGAACUGCAAUUAUAAUAUAUUUCUUACAUCAAAGAUUCUAGUUGUACAGAAGAAAACAUGUGCAAAUUGAUGAAGCAACAAUGACCACUCAUUCUUUUUAUCAUAGUAUUGUCUAUUAUUUACCCAUCUCUGAAUCUGGCAAAUUUUGGACUUAUGAUAAAGAACAGAAAAAUUUGUCUUUCAACAAGGACUGGAGAUUCUCCCUAAAGUCACAAUUGUAUAAAAUCCAAAUUUACCAAUCAAGAGGGAUGGAUGUGUCCCUAUUAUCAAGAUAGCCUUCCAUUCUCUUCACUUGUAUAUGCUUUCACGUCAUUCGGGGUGUAUUUUAUGUCCUUUUAUAGUGUGUGUAUUUUAAUCCUUUGUUAUGCAUAUGAGGUAUCAACUAUGGUUUUAGUCCUUCCAAAUAUUUGGUUCCAGAUGUUUUGUUUUGGUCCCUAUAAAAUCUAUUCAUAUUUAAAUUGAUACCUAAUAUUCAUUUUAGUCUUUAUUUUGAGGGACUAAAAUCAAAUAUUCUACAUAUUACAAGGACCAUAUCCAAUAUGAAUCAAUUUUGUAAUGAUAAAAAACCAAGGACCAAAAACAAAAAGUAAGAUAUUUGGAAGGACUAAAACCGAAAACAUUUUUUUACAAGGAUUAAAACCAAAAUGCUUACAUUUGCAAGAACUAUUUGCAUAUUAAAAUCUUGGGUCAUGCUAACUGGUGCCCCGGACACUUGUGAAGGAAGCCAAAAGAAGAAAUUUGAAAUCAAAAAAGAUACUUUUUAAAUUUUUAAUGCAUUGAUUACACAACUUUCAAUGUAAAAUAUUACUAUAUUUUAUUUUUUAACCAGUGCCCUGGAGACACUGGUUAGUUUGUGAUCAAUCUGUAUCACAUGCAUGGGAGUUGGUUAAGCUAUAGUAACUGUGAAAGGAAACUUAUUCCAAACUUCAAUUAAUAAAGUUUCUUUCUAAUCAGCCCUAGGAAAAAUAUUUGAAGCUUCACAUAAUAUUAAUCCCAAAUUCAAUAUUGGAAUAGUACAUAGUAAAAAAUACAUUGCAUCAAAGCAUAGUAAUAGCUUAAUAAUUUAAUUAGAAACAACCUCCAGGUCGAUAAAGUAAUAGAAUACUGCAUUGUAUAAAACAAUAUCAUUAUAUAUCUAAUUUUGUUUAAGCAACACCUCCUUAAUAACUUUGUCCAGGUUCUUGUAUGAACAACCACCUAGUCUAGUGCUCUCCUUUGCCAUCUUCUUCAACUCCAUGGCCUUUUGCCUCAUCUUCUUGCCUUUAUCUCCGGCUAUCACUUCAUUGAUCAGCUUCGCCAACUCCUCUCUCUUCACAUUUGUAUCGAUUUCCAUACCAAUCUCCCAUUCAUUACAAAUAAAUCUACAGUUUGUUGGCUGAUCGGCAAAAAAAGGCCAACACAACAUCGGCACUCCAGCACAUAUGCUUUCAGUGGUUGAGUUCCAUCCACAAUGAGUCAAGAAUCCGCCGAUCGAAGGGUGGUUCAACACUUUCUCUUGUGGACACCAACUUGCUAUUAGGCCUCUAUCUGAAAUUUCAUUUGUAAACUCAGAUGACAAAAUCACUGAGCCACCAAUGACAAGAUCAGGCCUAAUGAUCCACAAAAAUGGUUUAUGGCAAUUGGCCAAACCCCAAGCGAAUUCUAAUAAUUGAUGGGGUGUCAUAACUGUAAUGCUGCCAAAAUUCACAUAAACAACGGAUCCCGGCUCCUUGGAUUCAAGCCAUUCAAGACACUCAGUAUCUUCUUUCCAGAGGUUGGAACCUAAACAGUCCAAUUGAUGAAUUUGUGGAGUUUGAUUUAAUAAUGAAUGCAAAGGUCCGAUAGUAUAUAAAGAAGGGAACAUAGAAUAUAGUGCAUUCAUUACAUCACUCUCAAGUUCAUUGUAAGUAUUCAAAAGAAUAGUAGAGUCUCUAUUAAAUCUAUCUGCAAUUUCAAAAAAGAAUUCUACCAUAAUAUCAUUUGGAUCUGUUGUCCUGAUAUAGUCAAGAAUGUCCUUCAACCGAAAGUUUUUCAAACCUGGAAUCCAAUCUACUUUUGUUUCCAAACAUCCAUUUGUUAGAUAACUAUCAUCUGCAUAUCAUAAGCACAGAAGUUAAUAUCUUGAAGAUUCAUACACACACAUAUUUAUAAAGUUACUAUACAUUCAAUGAAAGUUAUUUGUAGUAUAACAAAUUUUAGUUUUGAAGUUUUAUAGAAAUUUGUGCAGGUCAUCUUCUCAAUGACAAUGAGAGCUUUUAAUUUGAGGUUUGGAUUGUUAUUAACUUUAUUAAUUAAUUUAUGAGUUAGCUCUCUGGUAAGAGUUUGAUUCAGUAAUCUCAAUGUGCAGAGAGUUCAAAUCCUUUAGGGAUCAUAUAUAUAUAUAUAUAUAUAUUCAAGAAGCUGAACUAACCCAUCAAAAUUGACACUAGGGAGAAUUGAACCUGAGACCUUAGAACGCUCCAAGGUUUCAAGCCAACUAAUAUAUAUAUAUAUAUAAUGUGCAUUUACAAAAUACUAUUAACUAUGAAGAAAACAAACUUAGUACCUUUGAAUGGUAUGAUGCCUCUUUCUACAAAGGAACGAAGAUACAUAACAAUCAAUAAAGAACAUGCACUUGAUGAAAAAUAGAGAACAUUUGGAAGUGCAAAUUCUUCAGCAGCUUGUAUAGUAAAGCUCAUACAAGAAUCAGAAACUAAGCAAGUAACUGGUGGAACAUUGGUAGAGUGAUUAAGUCUUGUAAGAAGUUCACAAAAGGGUUUAAGGAAAUUCUUUCUUAUAGAUUGAGAAAUAGAAGGUACAUCUUGACUAACAUUAUCAUCACCUUCCAUCGGUGUUAGUCCAUCUGGGAUUGUUUCAAAGCUAAAAUCAGUGAAGCCGUCUAAGGCAUUAGGACCUCUUGAUUUGAGCAAACGUUUGUGAUUGUAUUCGGUGUUGACAAAGGUUAUGUGAAAUCCUCUAAGGUGAAAUAGUUUUGCUAGUUUCAACAUUGGAUUGAUAUGGCCUUGAAGUGGAUAUGGAAUCAACACAGCAUGUUGUUUUCUGUUUGCAAAGUUUCCCAUUUUAGUUAAUUUUCUAUUUGGAUAUUAUGUGUGCAAAAUAUGAGGUUGAAGAACAAGUGAUAAUAAGCAUGUGCAUUAAUAGAGAGAAUAAAUGACAAUGCUACAAAAUUGGAAAAUACAAAGAAAUCCAAAGAGAUAAAAUCUGGGAGGUUGAGAUUCUAACAAAGUGAAAUAAGUUCAUCCAACUCAAUUUUUAAUUUGGCUAUCACAACAAUGAUGUGAAGCAUGGACAUACAUACAAGGACAAGAAUACAACAUUCACACGUCCAUACCGGUAAUAAUUAAGAUGAAAACAUGAUUAAUUGACUGUACUUACCUGUGUUGGUGUCAAACGUACAACAACACAUGUCCAACAUCAAAUACAUCUCUUAUCAAAAGUGUCGCUGCUACAUCGUUUGUAUUUUCAUAGGCAAAUGUUACUAUGUUGGUAGUACAUUUAGUUCUUAGAUUUAAAAUUUGGAACCUUUACUUUACUCAUCAAUCGACCUACCGGUUAAUACUCAUCAUAACGGUGUUGAAUUGUUGCUCUUUGGUUUCUCCAAUCAAUAUGGCAUUGAAUUUUCAGGUCUGCCCAUAUGCUAAAUUACCAAAACAAGAAAUAUAUCUAACAAAAGUAUGCAGUUGUCUUGUAGAGUACAGUUAAUAUGUCAUAAAUCACAUUUCGGUCUUUCAUGAAUUUGAAGGUUAAAAUAAGUUAUUAUACAUUUUUUGGAGGUUAGAAAUAAGUUAGUAAAAUUUGAAGGUAGAGUAAAACUUCAAAUUGGUACAUGAAUUUGUAAGUGUGUGUCAACUUACAUUAUAUAAAUUUCAUGUUAGUCUCCCAAAUUUGAUUAGAUUAGUCCCUUCAAGAUUAUGUCAAUUCGGUCUUUUCCUUUAUCAAUAUUUUAAAAUAGUCCAAUGGCCAUCCCUCCUAAGAUCAAGGGUUAUGCGAUCAAAUUGUCCCAUAUAUAUAGAUUUUUCUAUUUGGUCAGGUAUCAAGCAGAAAGAUCACAUCAUCAAAGAUAUUUGUCAAUGAUUACUUGGGAAAGGGGAUAAGAUUAAUUUGUAAAAUGCUCACUGGCUUAACUUUUCAAUUGUCGAUCAGCUUGAUAUUCCAGAGAACAAGCAUCAUUUACUUCAAGGCAUUGUGAAGGACUUCAUCAGAAAUAAGAAAUGGUAUCUUCCUCAAUCAAUUCUUUUGAAUCAUCCCUAAUUUUAGGACGGGUGACAAUCGAGUUUGGGAGCACACAAAUAAUGGGUAACUUUGUUUUCGUGAAUCUUAUUUUUUUCAAAAACCUCCCCUUAGUGAGGCAUAUUGAGCUAAUUAAGCCUUAUAUAUGAAGUCGAUCCAUCCGACCGGACAAAUAUCUUCUUGUUUGGAGGCUUUUUACAAAGAAAUUCCUACCGAUGAGAAUCUGUGUGCUAGAGGUUGCAAUGUUGUUUCUUAGAGUAACUUGUGUGACAAGGCAAUGAAAACUAGCCAACAUUUUGUCUGGGAUUAUACAUUUAUGAAAAAUUGUUAGGGCUGGCUUGCUUCUACUCAUAAUAUUUCUAUUGACACCAACUGCUUCUGGUGGUAUUUUUAGAGAUAGUAAUAUGUCCUUUGUAGCGUGUUUUUUUCAAAAUUUAAACAUAUCUACUACUUUUCAUGCAGAGGUCAUUGGGGCUAUGCAUUGCAAUAGAGAUAGAUUUAAAAAAAAAAGGGUUUGACCUCUCUUUGGUUGGAAAAAGACUCUCAAUUGGUUACUAUGGAUUUCAAGAAUCCUAGUCAAAAACAAGUGGUUUAUCUGUGUUGAAUUAACUAAAAAUAUGUGAUUCAUUAUUUCUCAUAUCUUCAUAAAAGACAAUUGUUGUGCACAAAAAAAUUGCUUAUUUGGGCUUGAACAUAAUAGUUUGGGUUAAAUAUGUUUUUGGUCCCUAUAAAUAUAUCAACUUUUCGUUUUAGUCCCUCUAAAAUUUUCCUUCAACUUUUAGUCCCUAUAAAAUUUUGAAUCACUACUUUUGGUCCCUAUUUUAAAUUAAAUUUUUGUAUUUUUUAAUGAAAUUGUACAGAAAUGUGUAGAAUAUUGUAAAAACAUUUCCCAAAAAAAAUUAGAACUUUUCAAGUAAACAUAAAUUAAAUAUGAAUUUUUAACCAUAAAAAAUAUAAAAAUCAUAUUAAAUUCAUGUUUAUUAAAAAAUUCUAAUUUUUUUUGGGAGAGAUUCUGAUAAUAUUAUAAAUUUUUCUGGAAAAUUUGAUUCAAAAAUAUGAAUUCUACAUAUGAGUUUAUUUUAAAAGAGGGACCAAAAGUGAAGAUGGAAAAUUUUGUAGGGACUAAAAGUUGAAGGAAAAUUUUAGAGGGACUAAAACGAAAAGUUUGUAUAUUUAUAGGGACCAAAAACAUAUUUAACCCUAAUAGUUUUACUAGAAUUUGACCCGGGCAACGCACGGAAUCCUUGCCUGCAUUUUUUUUUUCAAGUGGGGCACAUGCAUUUACGACUUUGGUAAAAUUUGGCGAAACAGCCCACUCGUGACUACUGGAAAAGGUGUGCAUUAUUUGAUUUGAUUCAAUGCCAACUUGAAGAGUCCAUGCCCGUGACAUUAUUGUAUAUAUUUCCCAUUCUUUUCUAUGUCACGUUUAGUGGUAGAAUUAUCACUAUUUUUAGUGAAAUUUUCACGUGUAUAAUCUUCAUGCAUGGGUAUCUCCGACUUGACAUAUGUACAUUCACAUUAGUAGCUAUAGAGAACAAAAGUAGAGAAAUUACAAGUUGUGAAAAAACAAAAUUCUAGCCAAUACUAGGGAAAAAGUUUUGCCUCUUAUGGGUAAAUCAAGGUUUAGACUAGAUAAGGGUAGACGAAUAUUUUCAUACAUAGUUGUAGUACAUGAAAGAACCACUUACAUGACGCAACCCAAGACCAAUUUGAAUAUAGUAUUGCACACUUUAUAUUAUUAAUGGGAAAUAUUUAAAACAAUAAAAAAAAUGUAAAGCUAGUUUUUUUUUUUAAUAUAAGGUAAAGAUAUAGGCUGAGUUGCCCCUUUGUGACUAUUAAAGACUUGACUUCAUAGAGAGGCUAGUAAAUUGUAAUAUCAUUUUUCAAGCUCAUCGUUGUUAGAUAAUACUUCAUUGCAUGUUUUGCAUGACUGUCCAUUGGCAACGGUGAUUUGGAUGUAUAUGUUUGACAUCGAGAUUAGGAACGUUUUCUUUCCUUGUUCUUGGACUCAGUUGCUUAGGCUCAAUAUAGAGAACGAAUAUUUCACAUCGAGAUUAGGAUCGUUGUCUUUCCAUGUAAUUAGGCGGAGGGGGACAAGAGACCAGGUGGUUUUUCAUACAUGAACUUGGAAAAAGUGAUUAAGAAGGUUUUGCUUAAACAAAAUCAAACCUAAGUGACUUUUUUUAUGCAAUGUAUUAUUAUGUUGAUCCAUUGAUCUUUUCCUAUUGAAUUUAAGGGAUGAUGUUAAUGUAGUGUAUAGCAAGUAUAUUGAUACUAAUACGAUCGAGUUCAUUAUGAUAGAAGUGAACAUAUCUUGUGCAAGAAUUCUUAAACUAAAAUAGUGGUUCUUGCUAAUAUUAAAUGGAUUGAAUUCGACAAUUAUAUAUGGCAUGUAUUUAAAUAUUUAUUAGUUGAAUUUUACAGCUUUGAAUAAAACUAAUAGUUAUAUUAACACAACUUUUUUUUCCUGGAAUUCACUUGAUCAAUAACUGAAGUACAAAUUUUAAGUUUUUCUCUAUUUUCUAUCUAAAUGUAAUAGAAUAAAUCAUUUAAAACUAAGAUAAGGAAGUAUUUUCACUAGAAACCUUUGCAUAUAUGGCUCUUUUAUGUCAGUUCUAUAUAUAUAUAUAUAUAUAUAUAUAUUUUCUAGCACCGUAAAAAAAUGUCCUCAAUAUUGAGCACAUCCAUGAUCAUAUAUAGGUUGAGAUCCUUUAAGAGAAAUUAGAUUGUUUGUGAUCACAAUUUUAUCAACUCGUACAGUUAGCAACAAUUUGGAGUUGUUCGAUUAAGAUUGAACGACUCUAAUUCUAUGUUUGAUUUUAAAAUGGAUUCACAAAUAUAGCUUAAAAUAAGAGUCGGCCAAUAUUUGAUCAAAUUGCUCCGAGCUACCGAUUGAAUUAACCGUGAACGCGUGGAAAUUGGGCUUGCAUACAAUUCACAUGUAUGGUCCAAUAGAAAACUGAAAAUAAUAUCAACAUGAAAAAUAUGUAAUUUUGCAACUAAGAACAAUUGUGAACAUUUAAUAAAAAAAAGUGUAAACAAAAUCAAUUCACAAAUGUUUUUUUUUUCUUUUUUUUUUUACAAUCUCAAACUUAAUUUAAUAAAUCUAAAUUAGAUAUAGUGGUCAAAUUUAAGCUAAUAGACUAAUCAAACGAAAGGAAAUUCACAAGUGCCGACAAAUUGUUGUGGAAAAUGAAAAUACACAGAACCACAAGAAUAUUCAUGCAUAGUGCAAACAAAUUCUUGAUGAAAAAUUGUGUACGUAACUUUUAUAUUCCAAUUAUUUGCAUGUUGCUCUACAAACCCUAAAUACCACAUAAAUACGUAGAUACCAGAAACUUUUGAAAAUUAGGAUGAGACCAACAAAAGCCACACAAAAAGUAAUAAAUUAAAUACAUAAUUUAACAUACUUUUGAAAUGGGUAUUAGGGUAAAAGUAUCCUAAGAAUAUUGGUGUUUAAUAUUAGGGAUGUAAAGUGAGCCGACCAGUCCCGUUAAGGUUGUCCCAUCUAGGCCCACUUAAAAUGGAACAAGGUGAACCUAGUCGAAUUAGAUGGUCGAGUUCAAAAUUUCUCCUCAUCCUGUUUAAUGACGGACUGACGAGUUGGCGGGUAGAUCCGUCAAACAAAAACACUUUUUUUAAUGUAUUAUUUUACAACUUAUUUGUUAAAAAAAAAUGUUGCUUUUAUCAUAAAAAUAUAAAAAGAAUAGGCAUCAAAUAAAUUGUUGGGAAAAACAAGAUAAUUAACAAAAUCCUGAAUUCAACAUCAUAAUUAAUAACAUAAUAAGGUAAAUCAACCAAAUUAAAAUAAAUCUACAACAUAAAAUAAAUCCAAGAAUAAAUAAUUGUUAUUAUUCAUUAUAGUUAACUGCCUACAAUAAAACAAGAAGGUAAUUGACAUUGACCUUUCUUUUAGAAAUAUUUCUAUACAAGAUAAUGAUCAAGGGAAUAAUAAUAAAUCAAUAAAACAACUCGAGAAGCCACCGAUACAUGGAGAGAUACAUUGUGAUUUAUGAGUUACGGAUGAGGAAAAAUAGAGGCAAGUAUUGUAUCAAACAAAAUGCUACUAUGUUUUGUCCUAUACAAUUAUGCAACUCAAAUAAUAAUUGAUUAUUGCAUACCUGAAAUAGUAAAAAAUUGAAAACAAGUUAAGUGGGUUGGCCUGGCCCGCUUUGUGCCCACCUCGGUUUUUUUAAUGAGUUAGGCGAGGCAAACCAACUAUAAGAAACGAGUUCAAAACUUCAAUUCAGUCCGUUAAAAAUUGCGGACUAAACAGGCUAGAUCGAUAGGUUGGAUCCGUUUUACCACCCCUACUUAGAAAUAGUAAUCGUCAUAAAUGUGGCUUCCCGCGUUAGUUAGUUACCUAGUUCUCUUUCUCUAUAAAUAGUUGUUCAAAUGAUGUAAAUAAGGUCAUAUACUUGCAUUUUGAAGCGUACUCAUGAAUUUAAAACGGAUUUUAGUUCUCAGGAUCUGCCUUUACAUUUUGUGAUCAAACUUUUAUGUUUCUUUGCAAUUUAUGUUCAAGCAAUUUAAUUCCAAGUCCUUUAAACUUUCAAGCAUUUCUAUUUCAAAUCAUUUACUUUUUAGCAAACUAUACAUUUUGUACAAUCUAUGUUAUGUCAUUUUAAAGUUCCCUCUGAUGUCAUUUUAUUUUCAGUAAUUUGUAAGAUUGUCUUUAAUUUUUCGCAAAUUGUAUUUUCGUCUCAGUAUCUCUGUUGGUUCUUAAAAAAUACGUAAACUCUCACCAAUAAUUAUUCGAGUCAAGAACUUUAUUAAUCCACGCACACGCACUCACACACGCAAGGUCUCACAAGUUACCAAUUAGCUUGGCUAAGAUCCAAUGAUUACAUAGAUUAAACAUUCAUUUAUGGUCGGUUUGACAUGCUUCACCGUUAACCAAAACCGUCCUAAACAAUGAUAUAUGUAUACAUAUAGUUAGCAAAAUAAAUAAAAAUAGAAUUAAUCAUGUAUAUAAUUUUAAGCUUUGAAUAUUUUCUUUAGAUAUAAUAGCACAAGUUAAGUCUCAAUAUAGUUCAUCUCUAUCACCAAAAAGUUUAACCUUUGUCGAUGAAUGAACUAACCAAAGUUCAACUAAUCACAAGUUAAUCUCACUGUAGCUCAUUUGGUUCAGAAAAGAUGUAGAACGUUUGUCGACCAAUGAGCUAACCACAAUUCAAUUGUUCAUACGUUAAGCUUCAUUGUAGUUUGUCCGAUUCAAAAGAGAUCAAACCUUUGUCGACCAAUGAAGUUUAAAUACUUAAUUAAUGUGGUUUGAUUUAAUAUAAACAAUUGUAAUAAUUUUUAAUAUAAAAAUACAUUUAUCAUGUAAAAUUGUACCAUUAAUAUAUAAUAUACUUCUUUAAAAUGAAUACUACAAAAUCAUUUCCCAUUCCCCAUUUAGUCUCUUGACUCUAUGCAUUUCCCAACUUAUACGUUUUCCCAAUCUUUAAUUAUUUGGUUCCUAUCAAGUCAAGACAAACUUAUAUUGUGCAUUAUUUGUCUGUUCUUGGCAACUUUAAUUGUUAUCAUCUGCAUAAAAAAAUAUCACUUAUUUAGCCCCCAAAUGACCGGCUUCUCAACACCAAGUAAAGUCUACAGCAGCAUGCAUGAACCUAUAUUCACGAUAAGUGUGAUUGUUACAUAUUCUGGAUUUCCACCAAGUCCCGAAUUAAAGAGAAUGAGACUGUUUUGUAAGCAACCAUUAAGAUAAAAACCAUGGUCUAGAAAUAUAAGCGCCUUUUAAAUUGUUAAAUGUAUUCAAUUAUUAGGCUGAUGCUUUCAACUUAGUACACACCAAUGUUAUAGAAUUUGGUCACAAUAUUACGUCAUAUCGGUCUUUGUUCUCCUCUCAUUUUGCAAACUUUAGGAUGAAGUUUACUCGACCAACGAAUAUAUAUAUAUAUAUAUAUAUAUAUAUAUAUAUAUAUAUAUAUAUAUAUAUUAUUUUUUUUACUUUUUUUUUAUUUAUUUUUUGUCUUAAAUGAAGUGGUAAACCACUGAACUCACACAACUGUGAGGUCCCAGGUUCGAACCCGGGUCAUGAUGUCUGGCCUGCAAUUUCAGCAUUUUCUAGUUAAGCUAGAACUUCUAGACUUGUUACUCUUAUAUUUAAUGAAAUGCUAUAAACAUUUUUGACUUAAAAAAAAAAAAUUCAAUUAAUCAGUUCAUAAUGAUGGAACUCAUCAUCAGCAAGAGUUCCUAAAUUUAAGUUGUGAUUCUGGCAAAUCUUAAAUGGUUUAAGUAUAUGCAAUUGAUUAAUUAUAUGUCAAGCAUAAAAAAUUUCAUAGAGUUAAAUUUUGCAACUUCAAUCUAUACUCAUUUUUUUUAAUUGUUUUACUACUCAUUCUGUACUUUAAUAAGUGAUCAUUUUGUAAAAAAUUAUUGUUUUAAAAUAACUUAUCCAUUUUACUUUUUAAUGCAAUAUUAAUUACUUUUUUUCAAUUCAAUUUAUUUCCAAUUUAUUAUAUUUAUGCUAAUGGAAAAUGCACCAAUACUUAACAAAAGCACUUAAAAUCAUUUUCUCUAUCCUUCAUUUAUACAUUUAAUAAAUGUGAAAUGAGCAAAUGACUAAGUGAAUUUUUUUUUUGGUUACAAAUGACUAAGUGAAUUUAGGACCGAGGGAGUAUUAUUUUUGGGGAAAAAAACCAGAAUCAUUUCUGUUAAAUGUGAUGAAUCUGUUAUACCUUUUCUAAUAAUUGAGUUGAAUGAUAUAAAAUUAUAUUUUGAAUAUGUAGAGUAGAGUGCAGCUGCAGCAUAUAUAUAUUUUGGAUGGAUAAGUCUUGAUGAUAUCAGAUAGUGUUUCGUUGUGCGGCUUGCAUGAGCUCAAGAAUAAAACUUAUGGUGGAGGUCCACAAUCAUAUAUUUAUUGAUUUAGUGACCUUGCACUAAUAUUUGUCCAAUUAAAUUAAAUAGUCUUUAUAAUCGUGGAAAGGUUAUCGAAAGCUGCCAUGCAUGCAAAAUUUUAGUUUAAGAAGGGAUCUGGAUCUUCUGCUGUAACUGCUUUAUGCAGUAUAGAUCUCGACCAUAAAAAAGUGAUUCAUUGGUUCAGUUUUAUUUGAUAAAUUUUCACACAGUUUAAUUUUAACCAUUCGUUUUUAAUCGGACAAAUCAAUUCUCACCCCCACAAACUAAAAUGUACACUAUGUUGUUUGCUAUUAUCUUUUUUAAUUAAAAAAAAAUUAUUCUAGUUUUCUCAUAGAGUAUAUCAAAAAGUGGUGGCUUCACUAGUAUGCAUCAAUUAUUGUGUUAAGUUGGAAUUUUUUCAUUUUAAAAGAAAAAUAUCUCAGACUUUGUAAGCUUCCUUGUCUUUUCCUCUAUUAUCUUUUUCCACAAAUCCAAGAAACAUUGGCAAUAUUGCUAUUAAAGGUUAAAACCAUUGGCUUAUCCCUGUACACAACAUUCAAACACAAACUCAGAAAUGAGUGAUUCAAAACCACAUGCAGUGUUAAUUCCAUAUCCAGUUCAAGGCCAUAUCAAUCCAUUAAUCAAACUAGCAAAACUUCUUCACCUUAGAGGCUUUCACAUAACAUUCGUCAACACCGAAUACAAUCACAAACGCUUGCUCAAAUCAAGAGGUCCAAAUGCCUUUGUUGGUUUCACUGAUUUUACCUUUGAGGCUAUACCAGAUGGUCUACCUUCAAACGAAGGCGAUGGUGAUGGUGAUGUUAGUCAAGACAUAUAUGCUCUUUGUGAAUCAAUCAGAAAGAACUUCCUACAACCUUUUCGCGAACUUAUUUCUAGACUUAAUGACUCUGCCACUUCUGGUCUUGUCCCUCCGGUUACGUGCAUAAUUGCUGAUAAUAGCAUGUCUUUUACCAUACAAGCUGGUGAAGAACUUUCAAUCCCUGUUGUUUUCUUUAGUCCAGCCAAUGCAUGUACAUUUUGGACUGGUUUUCACUUACUUACAUUGUUUGAUAAAGGUGUCAUACCACUAAAAGGUAACGAUCAUUUAAUCUUCUUUCUUUCUUCAUAGGUGUAGUGUAGUUAAAGUGUUCAUAUGACAUGUAUUAGGAAUCUGGAGAUUUUAUUUCAAGCUAACAACUUUUGUAAAUUUGACAUGCAGAUGAGAGUUAUCUGACAAACGGAUAUUUGGAUACUAAAGUGGACUGUAUUCAAGGAUUGCAGAACUUUCGACUGAAGGAUCUUCCCGGCUAUAUAAGGAUUACAGAUCCAAAUGAUUGCAUAGUACAAUUUACAAUUGAAGCAGCAGGAAGGGCUCACAGAGCCUCUGCUUUUAUUUUUAAUACUUCUAAUGAACUUGAAAAGGAUGUAAUGAAUGUUCUCUCCUCGACGUUCCCUAAUAUUUGUGCUAUUGGUCCUUUAUCUUCACUUUUAAGUCAAAGUCCACAAAAUCACUUGGCAAGUUUAAGUACCAAUCUUUGGAAAGAAGAUACCAAGUGUCUUGAUUGGCUUGAAUCCAAGGAACCGAAGUCCGUUGUUUAUGUGAAUUUUGGGAGCAUGACCGUUAUGACUGCAGAAAAACUAUUAGAGUUUGCUUGGGGUUUGGCGAAUAGCAAGCAACCCUUUUUGUGGAUCAUUAGGCCUGAUCUUGUCAUUGGCGGCUCAGUUGUUUUGUCAUCAGAGUUUGUGAAUGAAAUUUCAGAUAGAGGCCUAAUCGCGAGCUGGUGUCCUCAAGAGCAAGUAUUAAACCACCCUUCAAUUGGCGGAUUCUUGACUCAUUGUGGAUGGAACUCAACCACUGAAAGCAUAUGUGCUGGAGUGCCAAUGUUGUGUUGGCCAUUUUUCGCGGAUCAGCCAGCAAACUGCAGAUAUAUAUGCAAUGAAUGGGAAAUUGGGAUGGAAAUUGACACCAAUGUGAAGAGAGAUGAGGUAGAGAAGCUGGUCAAUGAAUUGAUGGUGGGAGAGAAAGGAAAGAAAAUGAGGCAAAAGGCAAUUGAGUUGAAGAAGAAGGCAGAGGAGGACACGAGACCAGGAGGUUGUUCAUAUAUGAACUUGGACAAAGUGAUCAAUGAGGUGCUGCUGAAACAAAAUCAAACUUAAAAAAAAAAAAAUUAUGCAAAGAGUUUCUUAUUGAAUUUAAGUGAUGAUGUAAAUGAACUGAUCUUCAGCAAGAGAUGGUAAACUUAAAAUAACGAUUCUUGCUUAUCUUGAAUGGUUUGAAUAUAUGCACAUUGGAUAAUUAUAUAGCAGGUAUAUUAACCCUACAUCUUUAAAUUUGUUAAGUUGGGGGAAGUAAGAGUCCUUUCACAGUAUCUUGAAUUCCAUUAUCAUUUGAAUGAUUCAUUUUGUCAAAAAAUAAUUUUUCCUAUGUAUUCCAGUUCAAAUCAACAUUCUCCAAUAGCACAUAAUACUUAUAGUUUUGUUAAGGACAAGUAAUUUGUUGAGAUUAAUAGGCAUGCUUUGACGGUGUAAAACUUUUAUAUACCAAUCAAAUCACGCUAAAUGUUAUUUUUAGAGAUAUUUGAAGAACUAACCGACAAAAUUGACAUAAUUAUGCGACUUUUUUUUAAGAAAUAAUGAUGUGAUUGGUGUAAACAUGUUUCUCAUUGAGUCCACUAACGAAUACCUCCUUCUCAUUUUUUUAAAAAUUCUCAGGUAAUCUUUCGAUUAUUCUCCGUUUCUCUUCCUUUGUUGUUGUUGUUGUGGUUUAGGGUUUAUGGAACGACUUUUAGUUUUGAUUUAGGUUUCUGUCGUUACUGUUAGUAGAAAGUGCAGGUUAGCAUGUACGUGAACCCAGUUCGUGAAUUUCUGGCAUGAUGUUGUGUGGUAGAUUUGGAACUCCCGCAAUGAUUUGAUCUUUGCUCGAGAAACAACCAAACUCUUUUCAAAUAUUUAUACUAUAUUUGUCAUUCAAACAAAAAAAAAAUCACGAAUUCUUAGUUUAGGUAAGGAUGGUUAGAGUAUUUGGGAUGUAGUUUGUGUCGAUUUUGUAACCAAAACACAUUAGAUACAAAGUGGUUACAAGAAAUUAGAUCUAAGAGCUCACAUGAACAAUCACUAAUAUCCCCGCAUAGAGAACCUUGGAGAAAACAAGAGAGAAUUUUUUUUUUUAUCCUUAAUCUAACGAAUCUCACUAAUCAAGGUGUUCAGAAAGUGUUUCCCAAUUCAAGAAUCUCACCCAAAAACACUUGCCCUUAGCAGUUAAGUUCUUUCCUUUUGUUUGACAAGAUUACACAAAAAAAUAAAGAAUGCUUAAAUAAGGUCAAAAACCCAAUCCAAAAUCGCCUCACAAUUUUGCACAUCGUGGUGCAAUCCAACCAAGUAGAAAGAGCCAUUGCACCAAACUUCACGAUCAUCGGGGCACAAUUUUGACACUAAAAAAACUUGGAAAUUUUGAGUCAUACCAAGAAAUCUCAAACUAUAUCUAAAAAAUACAUGCAUGGCAUUCCAACCAUUCAGUGGAAGAUAUCAUCAAACAGUAUAUGAUUGUGGAUAUUCACCCUCAUAAUUUUCAAUUUUUACUUGAAUUGCAAGUAUAAUAUAUAUUUCUCAUAUCAAAGAUUCUGGUUUUACAGAGGAAAACAUUUUCAAAUUGAUUAAGCAACAAAGACCACUCAUUAUUUUGUCAUAUAUAGUCUAUUGGUUAUUAUUUACCCAUGUCUGAAUCCGGCAAAUUUUGGAUAUCGCCAAAAUAUCAGCCCCUCCAAGAAUUUGGACACAUAAUAAAGAACAGAAUUUUUUUGUCUUUCAACAAGGACUAUAGAUUCUCUCCAAAGUCACAAUUACAUAAAAGCCAAAUUUUCCAAUCAAGAGUGUGGAUGUAUUUUAAUACUUUAUUAUGGGCCAUAAUUUUUGGGUAUAUGAGGUAUCAGCUCGGGACAAAAGGUAUUUCAUAAAAUGGUUAUUAUUGUCACUUUAGAAUGAAGACUCAAUUCGGUCCUUCACAAAAAAUUUGUGGGCCAAUUUAGUCUCUAACAAAAAAUAAACCCAAAAUAGUCCUUCUAUUUUAAUAUUGACGAGAAAUUAGAACGUAACUCUUUGUAUUAGAGUAACUAAUUUGUCCGUUGUAUGAAAAUCCCAAGGAAUAAUUUGGAUUUAUUUUUUGUGAGGGAUUAAAUUGGUCAGCGAGAAAUUGUGAGGGACUGAAUUGGAGCUUCACUCUUAAUAGUAAUUCCUUAUUUUCCUUAACAAGAAAAUUCAUUUUCAAUAUCCAAUGUGCUUUGAGAAAUGUUUAAGAACCGGGGAUCUCUGGUGCAGAAAGUUUCACUGGUUCGAUCUCUGAUCCCAGCUUUUAAACAUUGCUUGGUAUGUUACAGAGCUUUUUUCCUUCUUGGAAUUCAUUCAAUGAAUAAAAGAAUUACAAAUGUUAUGCUAUCCUCUAUUUUCUCUCUAAAUUCAAUAGAUUAAAUCAUUUAAAAGAAAGACAAGGAAGGAUCUUCACUAUAUAUGAGUUAAACAUAUAUAUGAUAUUCUUACCUUUAUAAAUCUGUUAUCAAUUAGAAAAAUUUAAUUUUAAUUUAAUUUAAUACUAAUACACAGAGAAAAAAGAUUUUAAUAUAGUACAAACUAAUUAAAUGAAUUAGUUUAUGUUAGCUUUGUAUCACAUAAAUCUGGUAUCAAGUAAUUGUGGAAGGAGCCUUGUUCCAAACUUCAAUUAUAUGAAGUUUCAUCCUAAUCAGGCUGUAGAAAAAAUAUUUGAAGCUUCACAUAAUGUUAAUUGAUGACACACUGCCAUAACAAUAUUUUUGUUAAAGCACGCACAUUGCGCAGUUGAAGAAAACACAGGACAGGCCCGCCUCAUGUGCAUCCCACAGAAGCACCGGCGCAUCGCGCAGGGUGUUCAAGUUUGGGACUGUGCAUCGCACACAACACUCCCUGAAUUGGGUGAUUUUGCUUUCUCUAUUUACAAAGCUGAGAAGCUUUAUUUUCAGGAAGUCAAGGUUGAAGAUUGAACUAAGAAACAAGAUUGAAGCAACUUUGUUAUCAAUUUAUUCAUGAGUGAUUUCUUUAAAUUAGGAUGGUAGAUAAACUUUUGUGAUCAGCUUGAACCAUGUAAUCGUUGAUUACUCUUUUAUGCAAUUGCAAUCUAAGAUAAACUCUGAAUAUGAACUUAGAAAUUUAUUACUUUGAUUGACGAUUUGGUACACUUACCAAUAAUCCACCAAUAAACCCAAAUUAAAUAUUGAAACAAUACAUAGUUAAAAAUACAGUACAUCAAAGCAUAGUAAUGGCCUAAAAAUUUCGAUACGACCUCCUGGCUUAAUUUUGUUUAAGCAACACAUCCUUAAUAACUUUGUUCAAGUUCAUGUAUGAACAACCACCUGGUCUAGUGUUCUCCUCUGCCUUCUUCUUCAACUCCAUGGCCUUUUGCUUCAUUUUCUUUCCUUUAUCUCCGGCUAUCACUUCAUUGAUCAGCUUUGCCAACUCCUCUCUCUUCACAUUCGUAUCGAUUUCCAUACCAAUCUCCCAUUCAUUACAAAUAAAUCUACAGUCUGUUGGCUGGUCGGCAAAAAAUGGCCAACACAACAUUGGCACUCCAGCGCAUAUACUUUCAGUGGUUGAAUUCCAUCCGCAAUGAGUCAAGAAUCCUCCGAUUGAAGGGUGGUUCAACACUUUGUCUUGUGGACACCAACUUGCUAUUAGGCCUCUAUCUGCAAUUUCAUUUGUAAACUCAGAUGAGAAAAUCACUGAGCCACCAAUGACAAGAUCAGGCCUUAUGAUCCACAAAAAUGAUUUCUUGCAAUUGGCCAAACCCCAAGCAAAUUCCAGUAAUUGCUCGGGUGUCAUAACUGUAAUGCUGCCGAAAUUCACAUAAACAACUGAUCCCGGCUCCUUGGAUUCAAGCCAAUCAAGACACUCUGUAUCUUCUUUCCAAAGGUUGGAAUCUAAAGAGUCCAAUUGAUGAAUUUGUGGAGUUUGUUUUAAUAAUGAAGGUAAAGGGCCAAUCGGAUAAAUAGAAGGAAUUGUGGAGGAGAGAGCAUUUAUUACAUCACUCUCAAGUUCAUUGAAAGUAUUCAAAAGAAUAGUAGUGUCUUUGUUAACUCGAUCUGCAACUUCUAUAAAGAAUUCUAACAUAAUAUCAUUUGGAUUUGUUGUCCUGAUAAAGUCAACGAUGUCCUUCAACCGAAAGUUUUUCAAACCGGGAAUCCAAUCUACUUUAGUUUCCAAACAUCCAUUUGUUAGAUAACUCUCAUCUGCAUAUCAUAAGGACGAAAGUUAAUAGCUUGAAGGUUCAUACACACAGAUAUAUAAGGUGUUACACAUUUAAUAAAAGUUAUUUGUUGAAGAAUAAAUUUUAUUUUUGAACUUUUUAAAUUUUAUUUUUUUUGAAGGAAACUUUUUAAAUAAUUUGACAGUUGGAUUGUUAUUAACUGGAUUAACUAAUCUGUGAGUUAUAAACUCCGGUAAGAGUUUGACCUUGUAAAUUCAGGUAGUUGAAAUACUUUUGUAAACAAUUGUAAAAUUAUGAUCGGUAAUAAUUUUCCCCUUUACUAAAUUUUAAAAAAUAAAAUGGAAUAACAUUAUGUCAAGACUAUAACUCUUGGAGUAAUUUAAUUUGUAUAUAUAUAUAUAUAUAUAUAGAGAGAGAGAGAAUAAACUUAGUACCUUUGAAUGGUAUGAUACCUCUUUCUACAAAGGAACGAAAGUGCAUAACAUUCAAUAAAGAACAUGCACUUGAUGAAAAAUAGAGAACAUUUGGGAGUUCAAAUUCUUCAGCAGCUUGUAUAGUAAAGCUCAUACAACAAUCAGAAACUAAGCAAGUAACUGGUGGAACAUUGGUAGAGUGGUUAAGUCUUGUAAGAAGUUCACAAUAGGGUUUAAGGAAGUUCUUUCUUACUGAUUGACAAAGAGUUGGUACAUCUUGACUAACAUCACCAUCACCUUCCAUUGGUGUUAAACCAUCUGGAAUGCUCUCAAAGUUAAAGUCCGUGAAACCAUCAAAAGCCUUUGGACCUCUUGAUUUGAGCAAGCGUUUGUGAUUGUAUUCGGUGUUAACAAAGGUUAUGUGAAAGCCUCUAAGGUGAAGAAGCUUUGCUAGUUUGAACAAUGGAUUGAUAUGGCCUUGAACUGGAUAUGGAAUCAUCACAACAUGUGGUUUUCUGUUUGCAAAGUUUCCC
This 111601-nucleotide long non-coding RNA is filed under the name Medicago truncatula (barrel medic). RNAcentral describes it as "long non-coding RNA (MTRU_LNC003834)". The stretch from base 36182 to 36349 matches the Rfam family "MIR2680 microRNA precursor family". The record is from RNAcentral. Lineage: Eukaryota; Viridiplantae; Streptophyta; Magnoliopsida; Fabales; Fabaceae.